RNAcentral lists this long non-coding RNA (122939 nucleotides) under Malus domestica (apple). RNAcentral describes it as "long non-coding RNA (MDOM_LNC007056)". Lineage: Eukaryota; Viridiplantae; Streptophyta; Magnoliopsida; Rosales; Rosaceae. The record is from RNAcentral.
UCGAUUACGUAAAUUUUUUGUGUGCACAUGGCUAUAGUACCAGAUUAUUGAAAGCUCUUACCGGGAAUAGCCAUAGCUGCUCAUCAUCACAAUCUAGUCAUGGAACACUCAGUGAUCAUCUAAACUAUCCUUCUGUUGCACUUUCCACCUCGAACCCUAAAUCCGUCAAUGGCAUUUUCAAUAGGACCGUCACAAAUGUUGGAUCACCGAAGUCCACAUAUAAAGCUAAAGUGAGUGCACCACCAGGACUUGAAAUCAAAGUUAAUCCAAGCGUUCUAAAGUUCACAUCUCUCGGGCAAAAGCUAUCGUUUCAAGUCACGGUGAAAGGGUUGAUUGAAAAAACCAUAGUCUCCGGUUCUCUAGUGUGGGAUGAUGGUAAAUUCCAAGUGAGGAGCCCCAUUGUUGUGUAUUUUGUGUUUUGAGAACAAAGUAUGUGUAAUAAUGUAUGAUGCAUGAAUAAGCAAUUGCAUGAAGCUUUAAUAUGAUGUAGUACCUCGAAAUUUGAAAUGUACCCAUUUAAGGAUAUUUUAUAAUUCUCUGUGCAAUCUAAUUGUAUAUUUGAUUGUUCAUUUUUUGUUUGCAUGGGAAAUAUGGAUUUUCUCCUAUGUUGAUUACUUGAUUGAAGGCCCCAUCCCUCGUUGCCCGUUUAUACAGGUAGCUAUCACUAAAUCAAGUUAUCAACGAGACUUUAGUCGGAACCUUCCUGAUUAAAAACAAAAGACCGAAAAACUUCGGUGGGGACAUUUGCAAAUAACUACGUAUACACACGAAAAAUAUCAGAGUAGCAUCAUGAAUCGGUGGCAUAAAUAUCUUUACCCACAGUGGCGGAGCUAGGAUUUCUUGUGAGAAGGGGCCUCACACAAGUAUAGAAAAACAAAAAAACAAAUAGUGGUUACAAAAUUACGAAUGCAAAAACAUCAUAAAAAUAUCCAAAUAAUUAAGUAGUCAAAAUUAACAUAUGAAUACAUAAUUUUAUCUAUUUAUAGUAAUCAUAAUUAUUCUCGACGAAUUUCAUAUUUUAAAACCAUUGCAUGAUGUCAUCUAUUCUAUACUACUGAAAGAAUUAUUAAAAUCAAUGGAGAGAAUAAUAGAGUUUUACAAACCUUAUUUGUUCUUUAUUCAAUAAGUUUGGGAUUUGGAAUGACUAAAUAUAUGAAAUUCAAGAAGAAUAUGGGGAAUAGCUCUGCUAGUGCACGAGCGAAGGACAAUUUUAUUAGUUAAAAGUGAAUGAUGGGUUUUAAUUUAAAAGUUUUAUUGAUUUGUAAUAAAUGACUAUUUGAAAUAUUAUUCUUAAUUCUAGGAUAGAAUUUGGAUGAAAAAAUAGAUAAAUAAUUAGAUAAGUGUUGAGAAGAGUUGCAAAGCAAUAGAAAUAGGUGUAAUACUAAUCUUGUUUUUUCAAGUCAGGGUAGGCCUAGGACUACUCUAGUCCUCAUGUGCCUCCGCCAGUGUUUACCCACCCACUUGUUCCAGAUGUUGGCACAUGAUCAUACAUCGAUCAAUAUACGUAUGGAUAAUACAAGCCCUACCUACCAUGCAAAUUAUGCCAAGAACAACAAUCGAUCGAGUGACCAGUGGUGGGAGAGCUAGGAAUAUUAGCAAGCUGCAUUUUCUCACUUCCCACUCUCACUUGUUUGUGCAUACAGACUAAUAUGCUUGUUUCUUGACUUGUGGAUGUAUAUAAAGGUCAAUAUGGAUGCAUGGCAUGUGAUGUAGGUCAGGAGGUUUUUCUUCUUUUCAAAAGCAGUAUAUGUUGGAAAAGUUAGACAUGAAAUUGAUACCACAGUUAAUAUGUUUUUGUACCGUCAUUCCCUAUGUUUGUAUCAUACUUGACCAAUCCCGAAACUACUGAGCACCGGUCAACGUUAUACCGUCAAGGAUCCAAAAGAGUUUCCCUCCAAGUCGACAUCAGAAGCCAAUCACAGUGCGACACGUGUCGACAUCAGAAGCCAAUCAUAGUGCGACACGUGUCAACAUCAAAAGUCAAUCACAACACGACAUGUGUCAAUGUCAGAAUGAAACGAGAAACUCACUUCUAUAAAUAGAGAUAAUUCUCUCACAAUAUUUGCUGAUGUCAUUUGUACUAAAUCAUUCACUAGUACUUACUAAAGAAGAGCUUGAACCUAUGUACUUGUAUAAACCCUUCACAAUUAAUGAGAAGUCCUCUAUUUCAUGGACGUAGCCAAUCUAGGUGAACCACGAACAUCUUGUGUUUGCUUCCCUGUCUCUAUCUAUUUGCAUACUUAUCCACACUAGUGACCUGAGCAAUCUAGCGAAGGUCACAAACUUGACACUUUCUAUUGUACCAAAGUCCUCACUGAUUUUGUGCAUCAACACCCUAUAACCAAAAAUUGCAUGAAGUAAAAAUUACCUUAUUUCGCAACAUAUCUUCAACUGGCUACUGGCUCUCUAGUUUUUCAAUUGUCAUCAUGGUCGAAGUACCUAAGCUGGGUCAUUUUCUUCUUUGAGCAGAAGGACGUUAACCAUCGGCUGGGAUUACCAUCAUUGAAGGCAAUUGCACAUGUUAUGCACUAAGAAAAGGUUGCAAGCGGUUAUUUGCUUGCAGAGCUACCGGCUGCCUUAUAGUACAAACUAGAAAGUUCUACCUUAGCAUCGUUGCGGGAUUAAAAAUUGUGUAAAAAAAUUAUAUUUCUAAGGUAUAAACCUAUCAACUUGUAUCACAUCUAAUUAAACUACAACAUCAUAUUGAUGCACUUAAUAUGAAAAUUGAUAAACUAUUUGACAAUAUGAAAUCAAGCAAUUAUUGAAAAUCAAAAUGGAGCUUAGAAAGUAAAAUAUCCUACCUCAUUAUAUUAAAACAAUUAACAAAUGAUCAGUGAAUGAUCACAAAAAAGGUAAAGAAAAGUAAUUCAAUUUCUUGAAUUCAAAAACGGUAUAGAUUAAAAAUAAAUAAAAUAAAAAAAAAAACAGGUUCUCAGUUCUCACCAUAAUGAAAAUUAUGACAUCGUUUUAACAUGAACUCAAGUUCAUUUCAGUCACUAGCAUUAAUAAAACUAGUGACUUCAACCUGUGCAAGGAAACAACUAACUUAGAUGCAAGCCAACCAACUUCAAAUCUAACCAAAUAAAAAAAGCAAUCACAAUCGAACUAACCUCUUCUUCCCAAAUGAAGUAGAAGAUGUCCCCUGUUUUGCCAUUGUGAACAAUGUACUCUACUCCCAACACACAAAAUGCUAAGCAAUAUUAUAAAAACAACACAUAUACAUCAUUGUAUAUAUAUUGGACAUAAAGUAUAAAGAUCUGCUGACAGUAUCAAGCUUAAAUUUAACAAAAGAAGUAAUUACGAAUUGAAAUCAAACGAUAUUAUAGUUGUUAAAAAAAUUUCUAACUAAAUUUUACAAAUAGCAUCAUAAAUGUUAAAAAAAAAAACCAUUGAAAAAACUCAUUACUCAAAUUUGUAAUUCUAUAAAAACACAUCACUGAAAACUUCAAUUUCAUCAAAACAUGUCAACUUAUAUCACAUCCAAAACCCAUUAAUAAUCCCUUCUUGUGUAUAGCUCAUCCUCAGAAUUCGCAGCUAAAAACGGAAUGUAAGUUCAGAGUAUGAUGAAAAAGAAGAAAUGAAAGAGUUGUGUCAAUGGAAAAAAAUAAGAGUAGGUAUCAGAACAAUCUACAAAGAAGAAGAAUUUGAGAUGAAUAAGUGGAUAAAUUGCUUACAUGAAGAGCUGAUUUCAAAUCGAUGAUCCACUACUCACCCUAAUAAUAUUUAACAAUUGCAAUUAGUAAAAUUUUCUUGAUAAGAGGAAAUCUAGGAGCAUAAUAAUAAGCAUUAGAAAUAGAAAAGCCUUAUAUAGUGAUUAAGGCCCUUAAUUAACUUGAGAAGCUUGAAAAGUCAUUCUCUUCACGUGGUUAAUUUGGAAGUUAUCCAAUGUAUGUAACAACAUGAAUCAGAAGCAAAUUGAUGAAAUCGGAGGGAAAAAAUGUUACUUAGUAAUUGUAUAUGUUAUGAAAGCAUCAAAUAAAGUCCUGAUAAAAUACAUGCAUCUUUAUAUUAACCACUUUACAUAUAAAUUAUAAAUGAUUAUCAAACAGCCUUAAACAAAUUUCAUUUAGGGAAGAUUGAUGAGGGGAUAUACGACUCACAAACAACUGAGACCGUCUUCUUUUUUUUAUUUUUUUUAUUUCUUCAUAUCAACAAACACACAAAUUCUUAUAUUUCCGAAAGCACCUGCAUCCCAAUAUAAAAACUUAAAAAAUACAUGAAUCAUCUAUGUUUUGCUUUGCAAACAGCCAAGGGGAUGGGAACUAAAAUAAAUUUCGUGCCCAAGAACCACUUAAAAACCAAGCUUGAAAGCAUAAAAAUAAAGCUUUCAAUCUUUCUGUGCAAAUUAAUAUCACAAUCAAUUCUGUUUGUACCAUAUUUAAGGCCUCGUAUUUAGAUCUCGUACAAAUACUCAGGGGACUUAAAUGUAAUUAUGUGAUAAAGGAAGGGGCAAAUAUGUAAUAAGUGAUGAGUCCUUAUUCUAUAAAAGGACCCCUCACCCUCACAAUUAAGGAGGGUUUCAUUCUCACCCUAGGAGGUCAUUUCUGAAGCCUUCUCACACCUCUCAAAUCCCCUAUCAUAUUCAGAGGUUCUCUCCCUCACCUCUCAGAUAAAUACAUAAUCAGUGUGGACGUAGCCCAAGCCUUGGGGUGAAUCACGAUACAUUUUGUGUUAUUUACAUUACUUGUAGAUUCACGAUCGGAUUUACGUUGUUCCAAGACCUUCGGUUUUGUGCAUUAACAUUUGGCGCCGUCUGUGGGAAUCGACACGAAAAGUUAUGUUGGGGCUCUCUCAAAUUUUCACCUCCGCCGUGAAUCUACAAAAACCCACACAGAGACACAGACACAGAGCUCCCUCUCUCCCUCCCUCUCUCGGCCUCUGAACUCACGCCUUUCCCCACAACCCACACAUUUUCCACUUCUCAGAAAGUAGAAAAAACAUCUCUCACCAUUCCUCAUCAAGUGAUCUGCGAAAUCACGAAAAUUAUCAUCUACGACAUUUGAACUGUGAUCAUAGUUGUGGAAAUACUAGUCCAGUGAGCAAUGCAAUUCAGAAACGUGUUUCACGAGCUAUUCGAGAUGAGAGAUGACAAGAGGAAGAAAUCAAGAAGAGAAGGGGAAGAGAGGAAGUAGGCAAACCAAGUUGAGCAAACCAAGUGGGCAAACCAAGUGCAAAAUGUCACAUUGCUCCGGAACAUACAUUGUCAUCACCUGCAUCAGUUGAGCAAACCAAGUGGGCAAACUUGCCCCCAGAGCUGCUUCUUGACAUAGUCCAACACGUUGAAGCGAGUAAGACUCAUUGGCCUGCUCAGAGGGAUGUGAUUGCUUACGCUUCGGUUUGCAAGUCGUGGAGGGAGAUUACGAAAGGGAUCAUCAAGAUUCCAGAGCAAUAUGGCUGGCUUACCUUCCCUGUCUCACUCCACACGGACCAGGGUUUGCACGGGCCUCACACAGGCCCUACACAGACCAAGCCUUUCAGCGAGGAUCAUGCCUUCAAGAUGGGGACUUUGCAGAAAUUCCCCAAAAGCUUUACCAGAAGAUGGCCUUUAAGGUCAUAAACAGACCUCAAAUCCAAAAGAUGGGGACUUUGCAGAAAUUCAAGCUCCUCGCCACGCAGUGCGGCAUGGCCUAGAGCCCGAUGCGAAGCCCGCGGUCGAGCCCCUUGAUCCAACUCCCCCGCCGCAAACCCACCUUGCUCAUUUCCUCAAGUCCAAAAUCCAAUCCCUGGAAUCCCGUUCCCGCGAAACCUUGCAAGCCCUCGACCACAGCGAAGCCUCCAUCCCGGAGCGCGAGUCCUCCGCUGUUGCUCGAAUCGAGGAGCAGAACACCGUGACCUUCGCCGAGGUGGAGAAGAAUGUUUCCAGGGAUUUGGAUUUACAGAUCCAUUUCUGACGGAAGGCUCAGAGUUUUUGAAGCAGGAAGGGCGGAGAAGGGUCGUGGCAUGGGGAGAAAUAAGGAAGUCAUUACCAAGGAUCGACGACUAUCUCCACCAUUUUCCGGCCACGCUAGUCAUCACGACAUAGGCAUCACUAGUAGCCAACUGGUCCCAUACAUCACCGUCACCCGUAAACUCCUCAAACCAUUUUUGUCGGUGAUGCCGUCAAGGAUAAGUCUGGGUGGCUUUAGUCGACUACCCACAGGGAUUGCUUUUGUCGACCACCCAAGAAAAGUUAUAAAUGUGUUUGUUGAAAAGCAUGCAAAUCUGCAAAGAGAUUGCUCUGAAAAAUGGACCCAUGAUUCUUGAAAUGGGCAUUUACAGGGACCAUGGUCACUUUAUGUCUAAUCACACGUGAUGAGAUUUCUAGCAUAAGGUUGUAUACAAGAGAGGAAGAAUCAGCUUAUUAUAUGUGCUUAGAAAAUGGAGCAGGGCCAGGGAGGGAUGAGACAGAGAGAGGCGCAGUGGGAAACAGAAAGCAAAGCAGAAAGCAAAAGAGAAAGCAAAAGCAAGGAAUAAACACCCCACCGGAAUGAUGUGAUUUGCUUUUCUUGUUUUUGUAUAAUGUAAUUUAUUUUUCCUAUCUUUCGGAAACAUCUGUAUAAACCCUAUCAGAGGGUAAAAAAAAAAAAGGGCAAAGCCCAAAAUAAAUGGGCUGGCAUGUUGUGGAGGGCGAAGGCCUAUAAGCCUAAAAUAGCUCCAACCAGGUGAUCAAAAGUACGCCCAGUAUUCCAAAAUUAUUCGGCAACCCGCCUCUAUUAUCACCAACCAGGUGACUAAAAGUACGCCCAGUACUCCAAAAAUUAUUCGGCAACCUACCGCUAUUACCAUUAACCAGGUGAUGAAAUGUAUAACCAGUACUCUAAUAUCAUUUGGCAACUAGCCAUUCAUACCACCAACCAGGUGAUGAAAUGUAUAACCCGUACUUUAAUAUCAUUUGGCAACUAGCCAUUCAUACCAACAACCAAGUGAUGAAAUGUACAACCCGUACUCUCCUUCAUGCCACCAACCAGGUGAUCAAAAGUACGCCCAGUACUUCAAAUCAUACAUGAGCAUUACUCAUGUCAUUCAUACAUAAACACUCAUGAGCGUCACUCAUACAUAAACAUUCAUGACCAUCAUUCAUGUCAACAUUCAUGAGCAUCACUCAUGACAACAUUCAUGAGCAUCACUCAUGACAACAUUCAUGAGCAUCACUCAUGACAACAUCCAUGAGCAUCACUCAUGUCAAUCAACAAAAACAUUCAUGAGCAUCACUCAUGUCAAUCAGCUUCAAAAGCUUCAUUUACAAAGCUCCAGCUUCGAAAGCUUCAUUUACAAAACUCUAGCUUCAAAGCUUCACUUGCAAAGCUUCACCUACAAAGCUUCAAUGCAGGGUAUACAAAUACCACCUCCGAAGAACCGCCACUUCAACCCAUACAUGGAUUCAAUUUGAAGUUUCUAGCCAACAGACUCUAUUGACCGAAGACUUGGGGGACUACAUUAUGUACCAUAUAUUGGGCCUCAACUGGGCCUCAUGAAAUAUACUUGAGGGACUUAGCCCAUUAUUUAUGUAUUAAGGAGCGAGCCCUUAUUCUAUAAAAGGGACUCCCUCACUUUCAUUAGAGAGCACCAAUUAUUCAUGUAUUGAGGAGCGAGCCCUUAUUUUAUAAAAGGGACUCCCUCACCAUCAUUAGAGAGCAUCACCGCCUACUGAGCAACCGCCUCGCCGCGAGCAUCAACUCUAGCUCAUCAUUUAUGUAUUGAGGAACGAGCCCUUAUUCUAUAAAAGGGACUCCCUCACCUUCAAACGCCACAAGCCAAGCUAACCAAGACAACAUAAGCCACAAACCGAGCAGCUUCGCAACAUGUACUACAUCUAGUUGAGCCUCAUUUCACAUUGAGCACCGCCUCAUAUCGAGUAUUCAGCUGUAGACGACAUCUAGUUACUUCAGCCCACACAUGGACUGAAUUUCAAGUCUCCAGCCAAAAGACUCUCUUGACUGAAGCCUUGAGGGACUACUGUUUGUACCAUAUUUAGGGCCUCGUAUUUAGAUCUCGUACAAAUACUCGGAAGACUUAAAUGUAAUUAUGUGAUAAAGGAAUGGGCAAAUAUGUAAUAAGUGAGGAGUCCUUAUUAUAUAAAAGGACCCCUCACCCUCAUAAUUGAGGAGGGUCUCAUUCUCACCCUAGGAGGCCAUUUCUGAAGCCUUUUCACCCCUCUCACACCUCCUCUCAUAUUCAGAGGUUCUCUCCAUCACCUCUCAGAUAAAUACAUAAUCAGUGUGGACGUAGCCCAAAUCUUGGGGUGAACCACGAUACAUCUUAUGUUAUUUACAUUACUUGCAGAUUUAUGGUCGGAUUUACAUUGUUCCAAGACCUCCGGUUUUGUGUAUCAAUAAAUUCAACCCCAUUUCUGCAAUCCAAAGCAUCAAACUUCAUACAAAAAUACAAUAAUUUUUAGAAUUUCACCCAAACAUAAAGAGAAUAAUAUUGUUAGGUGCGGAGAAGAAAAAAUCAGGGAAAAAUGGAAGAUGGAUUUAAGCCUGGAAAAGCAAUUCACAGCAACAAUAAAAAGUUGAAAUUAAAAACUGAAUUGAAUCAAAUGAAGAAUUUCUAGAGUGCAAACAAUUAGUGUUAUCAGCAAGAAGUUUCAAACCUUAAAAUGCAAAAGCAUGUGCCCAAAAUGCAAUCCUACAAAACAUGAAACAGCAGCCAUAAGAGAAUUGGAAAUUUUCUAAUAAAAAGAACCGAAGACCAACUUUGAAUAAUUGGUAACGAUGACGCUUUGACAUUGAUAGAGUGUAUGUGAGAGAGAGAGAGAGAGAGAGAUGGAAAUAGAAUUAGAAUUAGACCAAUGCAGAAAUCAACCAUAAGAUUCCCUCUGGGUCAAAUGGUUGAACCAUUGAUGAGAAACAGUCGGUAGAGGUUGAUAGUAGGAGAACUAAAAUUGCAUUCCUGAAACACAAAGGAUUAACCUUUUUCAAUUAUCAUCAGUGAAUGCACUAAUACAGGACUUAAAUUCUAAUAUAUUCAAUAAUCUAGUUACCAGAGAAUGACUUUUAUCCUUCUAUAGAGGCAGUUGAUAAAGGUGACUCUGGCCCAGUAUAACUUGAUUCAUAAAGUGGAAACUUUGAGGCUUCAAACUCUGAGCUAAAAGUUGAAGCUUCUUACUCAACAAACAAAAAUUACAAAUCCAAAACUAAAAAGAAUAAAAAACAAACUAAAACAUGGGAUUGGUGAAGGCCAUACCUUCGAAAGCAUAGACGCAGACAGCUCUUCGAGAGCGAUCCCAACCCGGGGUCGGAGGCGGAAACAGAGGCCAAUAUCCUCAAGAUUUUGCGUUGAAGAUUGUGAGAUCGGGAUAAAACAGUCGAAACCGAAGUUGCAAGUUUUGAAAAAAUGUUAAGGAAUCUGGGUUUCAAUGAAUAUGGAGGCUGCAAAUAAAAUCCCCAAAGAAACAAAAAAAAAAGGUCUCCUAUGUCGGUAUUUUGUGAGAGAAAAAGCGCAAGAUUCUAGAGCGAGUUCAACAGCGACAGAAGAACAGAUUUGCGAGAGAGAAGAAGCCGAAGGAAAAAUCGAGAAGAUGCAAGAGAGAGGCUUGAGUUGAGGCAAGCAUGGACAAAUAGGUAAUCUUACAUGUAAAGAGAGGAGAAAGAACGUAGCAGGAAAGCUGUUUGACGAGAGAUUUUUCAGUGUGAUGGAACACGAAGUAGUACAUCGCAUGUCAUUAUACAAAUAGUGGGAUAUGUGUGUUAAAAAAUUAAUAACUUAAAAAUUAUAAUUUUCCACCACCUGUAUAAAAACACGUAGUGUACCAUUCGUAUUUCGGUUAGAAAAAAUUCUCCUGUUUGAUAGGGUAAUAUCGCUAAUUUAAUGCUGGUGAACAACGUUUUUCCACCAGGUGGACGGCAAGGGCAAAAACACCUUUUUACUGUGAAAAUGGCACAUAAAAAAGCAUUCGGAGGGCAUUUUCGCCCGUUUACUGCUGAUGAACGGUGUUUUUGCUUGCGUUUUAGUAUAGGUUCAACUAAAAAUUGUUACCCGCGUAUUGCUAUGGGAUUAGAAACUGUUAAAAAAAUUAUCAUAAACUAUUAAUAUUAUUUACAUUAAAAAUAUUACACGAUUUUAACAAACAAAAGAUUUAAUUUAUACAGUAUGGCUACCUAGUCUUGUUUUUUGGAGGAAAAUAAUCUGAUUUUAUCCGAAUUAGAGAGAACUUUUUUUUCAACAAUUUAAUAGUCUAAUAAAUUGAUUAUACAAAAAAUCCAUUAUAAAAAACCUAAAAACAAUAAACUAUUCACUAAGUUUUUCAUACGAAAUAGAACAAAGCUAUAGAAUAUACCUUUUCAUAGUAAGUAUUGUGAAAAAUACAACAUAGCUUGAGACAAUGGUAAUUAACGUGUUUGGAAAAGUCUACCUACGUGGUGGUGUAAUCGUCACACAAAUAAACCCUUCAAUGCCAACUGAUUGAACUCUCAAGUGUUUUUUUUUUAACAAACAAUAUUAUUUACACUAAAAGGAAUAAGGUGGGCUUAGUCUCACAACAAGAGAAGCCUUGAAAUCGACUAAGUUGGUAUUGUAACACGGUAAGGUUGGGUAGAUUUUAGAUCCAAAUGUCACUAAACAAUAUUCUGCAGAUGGCAGUGUUCUAUCUAGAUUGUCCAUGGCACGGACGUAAACUGGAUGAUAACGCAGGGCAACACUGGUACUAUACCCUAAACAUUAUCACAAGCUAUAAACAAAUAGUUAAAGUUGAUAUGUACCAAGGGUACUAAAACUCAAUCCAUUGUUUAGUAAGAAGAACCACAAAAACAAAUUAGUAAAAACCGAAAUGAUUAUCAGAUGGACACUAAGAUUUUUGUACUACGUGAAACUUUACGUCGAGAAAUGGAAACAACUUUCAGGAGACAAUUAUAAGGAUUUCCUACAAUUCUAUAAAUAAUGUAUUCUUUCACCAUUGCUUCAAUUCAAACAAAAAUUAAAAAACAGAAAAGCUAGAAGCAGGAAAAUUGCAAAUGAUCAAUAUUUUCCAAACAAAACCAACCUGCAAUGCAAUGUCCUAGUUGCAAAUUCAACUCCAAUGGUGGACUUAGACUCCAAAGAAAACUCAUUCCUCGUAAACCUCGAAAGAAUGUUCGAUUUUCCGACACCUGAAUCUCCAAUCAAUACAAUCUUGAAGAGAUAAUAAUAUUUGUGAUCCACCUUGUACGCCAUACGUUCUACUCCUCACACACACAGCACCCCACACCUGCCGAGAUCCAAAAUCCACCAAACAAAAAGCCAUUAGCAAUCAUAAAACCAAAAAAAUUAACCAAUUCUCUUGUUUUGACAGAAGGGAUAAGAAAACCGCUGAUCAGAUAGCAUUUUCUUUUACCUACGUUUGCCUUCCAAUGUGAUUUUCCAGAGAAACAAACGGAAAGUGGGUAAUCAUAAAACAAUGGCGAAAAGAAUGGUGACUAACAAAAUAGAGGAUUUUUUGAACGUUGGGCUUUGUUGUUUUUGCAUUGAAGUUUGUGGAAACAGAUGAGAGGAGAAGAGAAGAAGAAGAAGAAAAAGAUGGCGCUGUAGAAAGUUACGAACAAAACAUUAGAAUGAAAAUGCACUUAAAACAGCUUUUCACGAGGGAAAGGGCACGGAAUUCGGAGAGUCUGUGUAAAGUCAACCACCCUUCACAAGUCAUGUGCAUAAAAUUUAGAGUUUUUAUCGUAAAUGAUCUCUGAGAUUUAUCAAACUCAUCAUUUUGAUCAUUUUUUUUUUCAAAAUCAAUUAAUGUGGUCCAUGACAUUCACUAUUGCAUAUUAAUUUGGUCAUUCUGUUAAGAUUUCAUUAACUAUUCUGUUAGUUUGUAUGUGAGACCCAUGAAACUACUGAAAUGGUGACACAUGGAUUACAUAAAAUAAGGUUUUUAUCACAAAUAAUCUCUAAUAUUGAUCCAACUCCUCAUUUUGGUCACUAAGUUUCAAAAAUCAAUAAAUUUGGUCCCUGACUUUCAUUAUCGCACAACAAGUUAGUCAUUCCAUUAAAAUUUCAUCAAUAAUUUUCGUUUGUGUGCUGAUGUGGACCCACUAAUCCAAUCAUAUAGCUCCACAUGGAUUAACUAUAAGAAACUACUUUUUUUUUAAGAGUAAACCAACGAAUGAGCAUUCGGCCUGACAUUUUUCUCGCAUAAAAUCAAAUACAAAUUCAAUUCAAAUUUUGAUAAGAUCAUAACCAACUAGAAGAGUAAAUUGUAGCAAUAGUCCCUUAACUUUAUCUCAAUUAGAGCAAAGGUCCCUCAACUAAAAAUGCAUUACCAUUGGUCCCUCAUGAACUCAUCAAAAUGUGCAGCUAUGAUCUUUCAACUAAAAAUCCAUUACCAUUAGUUCCUCAACUUUAAUCCAACUGGAGAAAUGAUCCCUUAGUUUUAACUCAAUUGGAGCAAUGGUCCCUCAACUUUAACCCAAUUAUAGCAAUGAUCCUUCCAACUUAACUCAUUUUGAUAAAAUUCUAACGAAGUUGAAGUUGACGAAAACGACUAUAUCUACAUGUUUUGAUGAGUUAAGAGACCCCAAUUGUAGCCAUGAUCCUUCCAACAUAACUUAUUUUGACAAAAUUCUGACGAAGUUGACAAAAAUGACCAUAGCUACACAUUUUGAUGAGUUGAGGGACCAAUGGUAAUGCGUUUUUAGUUGAGGAGAGACCAUUGCUCUAAUUUGAUUAAAGUUGAUGGACCAUUGCUACAAUUUACUCCAACUAGAAAGAAUGAUGAGUGAAUUCAAGAGGCCAAGUACUUUAGUGGUGUCAUGGUGCCUUUUUUUUUUUUUUUUUAAGCAUACCCUGAUGAAGACGAUGAUGACUUUUUUCUUUUAGUUUUGGGUAUUAGUUUUUUAUUUUACUUUUUGUUGAUACACAAAAUCAGUGAGGACUUUGGUACAAUAGAAAGUGUUAAGUAUGUGACCUUUGCUAGAUUGCUCCGGUCACUAGUGUGGAUAAGUAUGUAAAUGGAUAGAGACAGGGAAGCAAACACAAGAUGUACGUGGUUCACCCAGAUUGGCUACGUCUACGAAGUAGAGGAGUUCUCAUUAAUUGUGAAGGAUUUACACAAGUACAUAGGUUCAAGCUCUCCUUUUGUGAGUACUAGUGAAUGAUUUAGUACAAAUGACAUUAGGAAAUAUUGUGAGAGAAUGAUCUCCUUUUAUAGAAGAGAGUUUCUAGCUUUGUUUUGACAUUGACACGUGUCGUGUUGUGUUGGCUUCUGAUGUUAACAUGUGUCGCGCUAUGAUUGGCUUCUAAUGUCGACACGUGUCGCGCUGUGAUUGAACUCCUGGUUUGAGGGAAACUCUUCUGGGUUCUUGACGGUAUAACGUUGACCGGUGCUCAGUAGUUUCGGGAUUGGUCAAGUAUGGUACAAACAGUGCUCCCCUAAGUUCCCGAGUGAGGGAAGCUCUUCGGUUAGGGACUUGCAAGAUCCAAGCCACUGAGUAAUCAUGAAACUUCUAAGUACUGAAGUGUGGUAUUGUUUUCACUUGCUUUAUUUAUCUCAUAGGUAGAUGUGGCAUCUUCUCUGAAAGUACUUUUCCUCCAUCCAGGGGUGGUAUCCUUAACUGGUGGAGAUGCAUAAGGUAAUGUAUCAAUUUCACUUAAAGCUUACUUGUAGUUUCAGGCUUGGUCAAGCGUGAUACAAACCAUGUAGUAGGAGUCUCCCAAGUCGCCGAGUUAAGAGAUCCGCCGAAAGAUGUAACAGACAAGGUAAGCAAUCAGAGCUCCCAGCAAUCAGUCCCAGAUCAGAAGUUUGAUUUCGAGUUCCGGCUGAUUGUUCUCAUUCUCCCUAUCUUGCAGGUAGCAGGAAGGAUAAAAAGAAGAAAAAUGAGAACAGAUGAUAUGAGAUACUUUUGCUUUUGAAGAAGUAACUUUCCACAUGCUUAUUCUUGAACUGGGCUGGAGGGUUUUCUGGUUUCCUCCAGAGUAUAAGGUCGACUCAAGAAUUUGAGGGUCAAAACAAGUCCAUCAAACCAAGAGUGCGUUCGACCUUGAUGAUAUGGGAUACUUUUGCUAUUGACAAAGUAAUAGAUGAAUCGACACGUGUUCUGUUGCGCUUGUCUCCACAUGCUUCCUUAUAUUCUUCUCAUUUGCCCUAUCUGUUACUCAGGUAGAUGUGGUAUCUUUUCUGGAAGCAUAAAAUGUUGAAGAUGAGUACUCCAUUGAUAAAGCUUUGUUGAAUUUCCUAAUUUUUUUUUUUUUGGAAAACUAGAAAUUUGUUGAAUUUCCCAAUUUCCCUCUUUUUUUGUUUUUUGUUUUUUUUUUUGGGAAACUAGAAAUUUAAAAAUGUGGGAGAGACAACAUAUACAAAUUUUUCUUCCACACUGUUGAGCAUGAGCUUGUGAUGCAAGCCACACCUUGUAGUAAUUGAAGGUUUGGAUGAACCAUAUAAAUUGAAUCUGCUUCAAACAGUCUUGAUCAAAAGUGUGUGAAGCUUUCUACGAGUUGUAGUUGCCCUUCAUUGAUGAAGCUUUUGUUGGCACCAUAAAUUGGUUUUGCUUCACACUGUCUUGAUCAAGAGUGUGUGAAGCUUUUGAGAAUUGUGGUUGAACUCAUUUGAUAAAGCUCUUGUUGGCAUCAUAAAUUGGUUUUGCUUCACACUGUCUUGAUCAAGAGUGUGUGAAGCUUUUGAGAAUUGUGAUUGCCCUCUAUUGAUGAAACUUUUGUUGGCACCAUAAAUUGGUUUUGCUUCGCAGUGUCUUGAUCAAAAGUGUGUGAAGCUUUUAAGAAUUAUGGUUGAACUCCUUUGAUGAAGCUCUUGUUGGCACCAUAAAUUGGUUUUACUUCACAUUGUCUUAAUCAAGAAUGUGUGAAGCUUUCUACGAGUUGUAGUGUUUGCAUUGUUACAAAGGAGAAAUGUCUGAAGCAGAUGCAAAAGGGCUGAAUAACUUGAUCUUCGUAUGCCAUGCACUAAAGUUGUUGUUGGCUUGCAAUAAGACUUUUGUUUAUACCAUACUUGACCAAUCCUGAAAUUACUGAGCACCGGUCAAUGUUAUACCGUCAAGAACCCAGAAGAGUUUCCCUCCAACUAGGAGGCCAAUCACAGCGCGACACGUGUCGAUAUCAGAAGCCAAUCAUAGCACGACACGUGUUAACAUUAGAAGCCAAUCACAACACGACACUUGUCAAUGUUAGAAUGAAACUAGAAACUCUCUUCUAUAAAUAGAGAUCAUUCUCUCACAAUAUUUCCUAAUGUCAUUUGUACUAAAUCAUUCACUAAUACUCACUAAAGGAUAGCUUGAACCUAUGUACUUGUGUAAACCCUUCACAAUUAAUGAGAACUCCUUUACUCCGUGGACGUAGCCAAUCUGGGUGAACCACGUACAUCUUGUGUUUACUUCCCUGUCCCUAUCCAUUUACAUACUUAUUCACACUAGUGACGGGAGCAAUCUAGUGAAGGUUACAAACUUAACAUUUUCUGUUGUACCAAAGUCCUCACUGAUUUUGUGCAUCAACAUUUGGCGCCGUUUGUGGGAAACGACACGAAAAACUAUGUCGGUUCUCUUUCAUUUGUCCAUCUCACCACCGUGAGAUCUCACCACACUCCAUCGUGAAUCUGCAGAAACCCAAAACCUCCCUCCUUGGGCUUUUCCAGAAACCCCCAUAAACACAAAGCUGCUCGUCCCUCCCUUUUACUUUCUCUCUGUGAAAACUCCAAAUUCGGAAAAGCUCUCUUUCUCUCUCUCUUUUUCUUUUUCCGUAAAGAAUAAACUUCUGGAGAAAAGGAAAAAAAGAAAGGAAUGUCGAUCUAAACUCACUUCCCAUACUAACAAUUCGCAAAAACCCAAACAAAAAAAUACGUUCUUUUUCCCAUUACAGAGAAAGAAAGAGGAGAGAGAGUGAAUGAUUGAGUUGCCAGUUUUGAGAGAGGGAGUGAUAUGGGUGGGGUGACAUCGUCCAUGGUGGCUAAGUCCGCCUUUUUCACACCGAACCCACCUUCCUACAAGUUUAUCACAGACGACCAUACCGGCCUCCUGCUUCUCAGCCCCUUCCCUCACCGGGAAAAUGUGGAGGUUCUGAAACUGUCGACCCUCCAUGGCAUUGAGGUUGUGGCCAUCCACAUUCACCACCCUUUGGCCAUUUCCACACUGCUCUACUCACACGGCAACGCCGCCGAUCUAGGCCAUAUGUACGAGCUCUUCAUCGAAUUGAGCAUCCACCUGCACGUCAAUCUCAUGGGGUACGACUAUUCGGGGUAUGUGCAAUCAACUGGAAAGGCAAGUAAGGAGAAUACAUAUGCAGAUAUUGAAGCUGCAUAUAAGUGUCUUGAAAAAUGCCAUAAUAUCAAAGUUCUUUCACGUCCCCCAAGGUUUUCUUCACUGAUUCCAUCACUGAAUCUGAGAAAUAAAAGAGAAAAUAAACUUAGAGGGUGUGAGGGUGGCAGAUCUAGACAGCAAAAAUUCCAAGUUCGGAGAUUUCUCUCGCAUGAGCUCAAGCAGCUCAUCCGCAACGUCCGGCGAUGGAGCACACAAAACUCGAAGGAGAGGAAAUGUUGGAGCACUCAGUGUCUGGGUCCUUCUCUUUUCCAUUAUUGUCAGAACCCUCUCAAUAUUGUGGAAUAUUUUGACAGACACAAUCGGGGAGGAACGUGCGAGAGGAAUAUUUUUUACCAUACUUUCUUGGUCUCUGGUACUUUGAGAUAUCAUCUGAAGCUUUACCCAGCAACCAUGUGAUAAGUUCAGUAUACUCAACAAUAUUUUGACCAUACUUUCUUGGUCUUUAGGGUUGUUGUUGGUACAAUCAUGUGAGAUGGAUCUGCUAUUGUCGACCACCCACAUGGAAAAAGAUAAGAUGCUCUCCUUUAAUAUCUCAUCAUUAUGUUUUCUCAAUAUCAUUUUUUAUUUAAUACCUUAUUAUUUUAUUUAUGUCAUGAUGAUUAAUUAUAAAAUAAUAAUUUUAUUAUUUUUAUGUCAUGAUGAUUUAUGAUUAAAUAAUAUAAUUUUUAUUUUUGUUAUCACAUGAUUACUACCACAUUAUUGAUUUAUACAACAUGUGAUUUAUCACAUAACAGAAUAAAUCAUUUAUUCACAUAAGGCACACAGUACAAUAUUUUUGCCUUGACAAACUUUGUCAAUUUGAUUUAUUCAUUAUACGGUUAUACUUACACUAUCAUUUAUUGUUAGGAAUUAUUGAGUAACUAGAUUCACUGAUCAACAUUGUUGUUGGGACACCCACUUGCUCGGACAUUCGCUUAUUGGGACACCUAUGUGCCCGGACCCAACUCGAUGACCCUACAGAUAGCCCCAACUCAAUGACCCUAGAGAUAGCCUAAACUCGAUGACCCUACGUAUGGCCCUAACUCAAACCCGACUUGCGGACCCGAUCCGCGGAUUCGACAUAUAGACCCAAUAUGCGAACCCGACAAGCAGACCCGAGUCAUGUCGAGAAUCAACUCAUAUUGACUGCAUGUCGACAUAAAAUAGAUACUUGCAAUGAGGAAUACCACGAGCCGAGCUGCCUCGUAGCCAACAUAGCCUCUAGCCGAGCCGCCUCGCAACGAGCAUCGCCUCCAACCGAGCAAACGCCUCGCCGCGAGCAUAGCCUCUAGCCAAGCAACCUCACAAUAAGCAUCGCCUCCAGUCGAGCAGUCUGGUAACGUGUGAUACCUUUAGCCGAGUAUUGCUUUAUGUUGAGCAUUGCUUUGGGUUGAGUAUUGGUUCAAGACAUCUAGCCACUUCGGCUAGUACAUGGAUUGGAUUUAAAGUCUCCAACCAAAUGACUCUCUUGACUGAAGACUUGAGGGACUACUGUUGGUACCACACAUAUUGGGCCUCAGACUUUGAUACAUUGGGCCUUAUUACCCAGCCCAUAUGAUUAUGUAAAAGGAGGAGCCCAUUAUUCUAUAAAAAGUGACUCAUUCCCCCUCACGAAUCGGACUCGGUAAACCCAAUAGAAGGCAAUACCCUCACAAACACAACAACACUCUCUUCCUCAUGGGGACUCCCAUCACCUUUGUAAUCCAUACAUACAGUCAGAGAAAUACAAUCAAUGUGGACGUAGCCCAAACCUUGGGGUGAACCACGAUACAUUUCGUGUUAUUUACAUUUCAUGCAGAUUCACGGUCGGAUUUACGUUGUUCCAAGACCUCCGGUUUUGUGCAUCAACAACUUUGUUGGUGACUAUAACUCUUGUUGGGCAUAAGUGCUCCCCUAGUUGAGUUGUCAAGCUUGAGGGUUUUUUAUUAUUUGUGAAUGCUAGGAGUUCACAUAUACAAGUUGUAUCACUCGUUUUCUAGUAGGUGGAAUGAAUGGUGAGUUGCUUUCAUCACUUGGUUGGUGGUACGAAGGUGAGUUCCUUCAUCACCUUUCAUCACAUUUCAUCACCUGGUUGGUGGCACGAAGAUGAGUUCCUUCUUCACCUGGCUAGUGGCAUGAAUGACAAGUUGCCAAAUGAUAUUAGAGUACAGGUUGUACAUUUCAUCACCUGGUUAGUAGCAUGAAAGAGAGUACGAGUUGUACAUUUCAUCACCUAGUUGGUGGCAUGAAGGAGAGUACGAGUUGUACAUUUCAUCACCUGGUUGGUGGCAUGAAGAUGACUUCCUUCUUCACAUUUCAUCACCUGGUUGGUAAGAAUAAAGGCAAGGUGUCGAGGCACAUUGUAGCAAGUGUCGAAUGACAAAAAUAUGUUGAACCCUUUCGAAGCACAGUUGGCUUGUGUAUGAAUGUGUUGGAAUGUAUGAUUGAACGAAUAUACUAUGAAGCUGUUCGUUUAUUUGUAUAGUCUUAUUGACAUAUACUUAGAUUUAGUUUCAUGUUAGAAACAUUCAUGUUAAAGCUUUGAACCCGAGCGUUUCAUUGCUAAGAAUGUAAGAGGAUUACGACUGAGUUGUCUAAAUCACCUCUUUAUUGAAUUCAUGCCAAAUAGUCUUCGUUACAUAGGAUGUCGAAUGGCUGCAGUUUAACACUUGUACAAUGUGAGUUUACUUGUAAUAGUACUUCAAGUGAUCAUCAUUCCAUGGAUGGCCAAGUAUCUUGCCAUCGGAGCUUCUAAGCUUGUAGGAGCCAGGGCGACUGAUGCCAACAACUUCAAACGAUCCAUCCUGGUUUGGACUAAGUGUUCCUUCACUCGGGACUCUGUCUUAGAGUAAUUUUUUCUUCAAUACCCAGUCCCCCACUUUGAAAGAACAUGGUUUGACUCUUGAGUCAUAAUAGUUGGAGAUAUGCUGCUUGUAGGCGACAUUCCUCAAGUGAGCCUAGUUUCGGUGUUCCUCGACUAGAUCUAAGUUGAGGGUAAGUUGUUUGUCAUUUUCGCUUUGCACGUAGUUCUAAACUCAGAACGUUGCUUGCUCAAGCUCAACUAGGACAACUGCCUCUGUACCUAAGGCAAGUGAGAAUGGGGUUUCUAUUGUUAAUGUCCGAUACGAAUUGCGGGUACAAAUUCUGGCCAUCAACCUUUAGCCUUGUCCAAGCUGGUUUUCAAAGUUCACUUGAUUAUUUUAUUGAUGGCUUUGACUUGUCCAUUAAACUAUGGAUGAGCUGGGGAGGCAAAACAUAAGUUGAUGUUGAACUUAGAGCAGAACAUCAUGAACUUAUUAUCGUCGAACUUUCGCCCGUUGUCAGUGACUCUCGCAUUGGGAAUACUGAAUUUACAAAUGAUGUUCUUCCAUACGAAGUCUUCUAUUUUUGCCUCAGUAAUGGUUGCUAAGGGUUCUACUUCGGCCCACUUUGUGAAGUAGUCAACUGCAACAAUUGCAUAGCGGACCUUGCCCUUCUCUGCAGGCAUUGGGCCGAUCAAAUCAAGUUCCCAUUAGACGAAGGGCCAAAGGCUGAUCAUAGGAAUGAGCGGCUCGGGAGGGGAGUGAGGAAUAAUUAUGUAGCGUUGACACUUAUCACAUGAGCGGGAUAUUCUGAUGGCAUCUUGGUGGAGUGUUGGCCAAUAAUAUCCUUGGUGAAAAGCUUUGUGUGUUAGGGAUCGAGAUCUAGCAUGAUCUUCGCAGACUCAUUUAUGUAUUUCCGGAAGGACAGUUUCCGCCUCUGCGGGCGUAAGGCAUCUUAGGUAUGGUAGGUUAAAAUCCCGCUUGUAGAGUUGGUCAUUAAUGAUCAAGUAACGGGUAGCCUUGUAUCAAAUCUGCUUAGCUUGGACUUUGUCAUUUGGAAGGGUGCCAUGAGCAAGGAAUCUAUAAAUCGGGGUAAUUAACUAUCCCCCUGUUGUAAGUUGCACACUUCCGCAUCCAUGGUGUUUGGUGUUGCCAACAAUUCGACCUGAAUUGUUUUCCUAAUCUUUUCUUCCACUGCUGAGGUGAGCCGAGCCAAAGCAUCUGCAUGACUGUUUGACGCUUGAGGAAUUUGGGUGAUCUGGUAGUGGAAGUGCUUGAGCAACAAUUGUGUUUGUGCCAGAUAUGCUGCCAUGGAGCUAUCCUUAGCAUCAAAGUUGUUAGUGACCUGGUUAACCACCAAUUGGGAGUCACUAAAUAUAUCAAUUCGUUUAACCUCAAGGUGUUUGGCCAAACAUAAGCCUUCUAUGAGGGUUUCAUAUUCGGCCUCAUUGUUCGAUGCCUUGAAUUUGAAACGAAGAGCAUACUUCAUCGCCACUUUGUUAAGGGUCGUAAGGACUAGUCCUGCUCCACAACCCUGUUGGUUGGACGAGCCAUCAACAUAUAGACUCCAUGUUGGGGCUGUUGGUUAUAUUUUAUGAGCUUCCGAGGGUACUGAAACCACUUCUUUAGGCGUAGAAACAAUGUCAACAGGAUAUGUGAAGUCGGCAAUGAAGUCUGCCACUGCUUGGCCCUUCUCAGCUGGCUUUGGUUGGUAGGAGAUGUCAAACUCACCUAAUGUUAUCGCCCAUUUGAUCAUUCACCCAGAAGUGUCAAGACUUUGAAGUAUCUGUCGAAGAUGAUGAUUGGUAAGCACGAUGAUGGAAUGUGCUUGAAAGUAAGGGCGAAGUUUUUUAGCAGACAUGACCAAUGCUAGAGCCAAUUUCUCAAUGUUGGAGUAUCGUGUCUCCGCAUCUUGUAAGGCCUUGCUAGCGUAGCGGACAUGCCGUUCGACAUUACCAUCAUUUCGAAUGAGAGUGAAACUUACUGUUGAAAUCAAUACCGACAUAUAGAUAAUGAGAGUGUCACCAAGCUCAGGUUUGUAGAGCAGAGGGACUUUACUCAUGUAGUCAUUGAAUGCCUCGGCACAUUCAUCAGUCCAUGUAAUGUACUUCUUACUUCCCUUAAGUGUUUUGAAGAAAUGAGCACAUCUAUCUGUGGCCUUAGAGAUGAACCUAGUUAAGGCUGCCACCUUGCCAGUAAGGCUUUGGAUGUCUUUUGAAGUUACUGGUUCCUUCAUGUCGAGGGUUGCUUUGAUCUUCUAGGGAUUAGCCUCGAUGGCUUAUCAUGAAGCCUAAGAAUUUGCCAGAGCCUGCGCCGAAGGCACAUUUGUUGGGGUUCAACCUCAUUCAACACCUCUUCAGAAUGGUGAAAGUUUCAGAUAGGUUGGUGAUGUGUUGGUCAGCAUGUUUGCUCUUGACUAGCAUAUCAUCAACGUAAACUUCCAUGCUCUUCCUAAUCUGUUCGGCGAACAUUGAAUUGACUAGUCUCUAAUAAGUCGUCCCUGCAUUAUUUAGGCCGAAUGGCAUGACUUUAUAGCAAUAUAGUCCCCUGUCAGUAGUGAAGGUUGUGUGUUCUUGGUUCGAAGGGUUCAUGAGGAUUUGGUUUUAUCCUGAGUAAGCAUCCAUGAAGCUCAGGAGUUCACACCCUGCUGUAGAGUCUAUAAGUCUAUCAAUGAGAGGAAGAGGAAAGCUAUACUUCAGGCAUCCUUUGUUUAGGUCGAUAUAGUCGACACACAUUCUCCACAAGACCUUUUGGAGCAUGAGACUUUCUUUGGUUGAGUUUUUCUUAACAAUGAUCACAUUUGCUACUCAACUUCUGCCUUCAUUGCUUCUUAUCAUUCAGCGUCAUAAGAUCUUCGCUUCUGUCUCACCGGCUUGGUCUUGGGGUCAAUACUCAAGCGAUGACACAUGAUAUCGGGAAAGAUGCCUGGCAUGUCCUCGUAUGACCAGGCGAAGACCUCAGUGUUCUCUUGCAAAAAGAGAUCAAUGUCAUUCGAAUGGGUGGUGACAAGGUGGUGCCAAUCUUCACCAUGUGAUCUGGAUAAUCUUUUAAUAUAGAAACCUUCUCCAACUCUUCAUCGGGUUGUGCUUGCUGAGUGAAAGAGUCAUCUCGAGGAUCAUCGGGUUGACUGUUACCACCGUGAAGAUCUAAGUUAGCUUUGUCCGGGCUGGUCUUUAUGACUUGGUCAUGUAUAGAAAAGGUUUCCUUGGGCACAUGCAGGUGUUGUUGUUUGACCGAAGUGUUGUAACAUGAUCGUGCACUAAGUUGAUCUCCACUGAUGUAACCAUUGCCAUAGGGGGUUGGAAAUUUCAUCAACAACAUAUGUGUGGAUACUAUGACCUUGAGAUCAUUGAUGCAUGUGCGUCCAAAGAUGACAUUGUAUGCCAUUGGACAAUCAACUACCAGGAAGUUAGUGGUAAUGGUAGUUGUGUAAGGGCCUAUACCAAUGGUGAAAGGUAAGUGUAUGCUCCUUAUAGGUUGCACGAUAUCACCGGAAAAGCUUAUCAGAGGAGAAAUCGAGCGAUCGAGCAAGUGUUCAGCUACAUUAAGUGCCCUGAAAGCUUCAACAAACAUGAUAUUGACCGAAGCCCCAGUGUCUACCAAGAUUCGUCGUACUUCAAAGUUGGCUAUGUAAGCCUCCACGAUCAGUGGGUCGUUAUGAAGGUAGAUGAUACCUCUUUCUUCCUCAGGGUAGAAACAUAUUGGAUCCCAGUUAGGCUUUUGAUAAUUACCUCCCUUGAUGUCUUCCACAUGAAACACUUGGUGGCCAGGCCUUAAAGCUUGUUCACUAUUUUUCAUGGCCCUAUUAGAAGAUUCAGAUAUGGGUGUGUCGCCGCUUAUGGAAUAUAUCAUAUUCACUUGGCGUUGGUUACGGUUAUCCCUUGAAUGGUGAAAGAGGAAUCAAUCAAUUUUUCCUUCACACACCAAAUCUUCAAUAUGAUUAUGAAUGGUGAUACACUUCUCGCCGUCAUGGCCGUUAUGCUCGUGGUAGCAGCAAAACGUGCUCGUGUUCUUCGUGGGCUUAUAAACCGACUACCUCGGCAUUGGCUUCGGUAUCAAAUGUGCUAUGCUGGGGUAAAUGGCCACGCAUGUGGCGUUUAAAGGUGUGUAUGUCUUAUAUCUCGGAGUAGGGCCUGUCCUGACACGUGCUUGGCCCACUGUGUUGACUGCCUGAGGGCGGACAUUAUUGUGGCGAUACCAUUGGUUAUCGCGAUAGUGUCCCAUACUCCUUUUACUAAAAUGAGACUAGUGAGGAUGUAAAUAUUUCCUUUUGCCCUGAGAUUGAUAUGUCUGUUGACUUGGCGAAGUAUUAAGUAAGGUAGGGGGAGGCACCGCUGCCGUUUGGAAGGUCGAGGUCUUCUCAUUUGGUUGGAUCUGGCUUCCACUCCCUACUUGCUGAUAAGGGGUAGCUGUGGGGGGUUUCCCUUGAUAUGUCAUUGCCUCAGUGGAGGCAUGGUUGUAAGCAUGUGCCAUCACUUCAUAGUAAGUCUUCCAAGUGUUGGCAUUGAUCAUGUACUUGAAGAAACAAUCACAUAGGCCUGCCGUGAAGGCUUUGAGGACAGUCUUGUCGUCUGCCUCGGCACAACGGGAAUACUCAUGGAUGAAACGGCCAGCAUACAUACGUAAUGACUCGUCUAGCUUCUGGCGAAUAGUGUACAAGUCAUCCGCAAAGUGCAAGCGAUCGGUCUGGAAAAUGUGUUGAAAAACAAACAGUUUUCUCAAUUCUUCAAAUGAGUCUACCAUCUCAGGUAGAAGACGAUAAUACCAGUUUAGAGCUCCGUUAGAGAGGGUGGAGGGGAAGAGAAGACAUCGCUCUUCGUCGGUGUGUAUCUGGUAUGCCAUGGUGGACUCAAAGAAGUUAAGGUGUUCAAUCGGGUCCUCCUUUCCAGUAUAGAGUUGCAAGCCAUCUUUGCUUGGAGGGGUUGUCGAGGAUCCUUCUUAUAAGAGGGUCAGGCCUAGGUUGGUUCCAAUCAGGUAUCUCAGCUUGUCGUUUGGCCUUUAACUUGUUUACUUCCUUAAGGCUGUAAGACAAGAAUAUCCUGAGUGGAGUCAUGUAACACUAGAGCUUUCUUUUGUAAAUCUCCAUCUCCUCUUGGAAGUAGGAAGGUUUGAUCAAGAGCAUGUGAUUUUUCCCGGGACUAGCCGUACUGACUUCCAAGGUAUGUCUGUCAAAACAUCUCUGAGUCCCUUAUACCUUCGUGUUUCUCUAGGACUUGUUGCCUAUUCCCCAAAUUGGUAGUCGGCCUGGGACAUGGGAGGGGACCGAGUCUUUCAGAGACCCUUGGGUCAUUGAUCUUCGAGCUUUCAUGGAUGGGAUUGUCUCGACGUUGCUUUAGGAAGUCUCGAUAGUCGUGAAAGACGGCUUUAGAUCCUUACACUCCUUCUGUAAGAAGCUGCUUUCCUCCACUCCUCUUGCUUCGGAUCGAAGCAGCUGGGUUGAGAGAAAUCUCAUGUCGGUCUCCAUUUCGAUGAGUAGCUCGCUCCUCAACAAGAAUACCCAUGUCGAUGACAAAUGACCCUCCGUGUUGGGGGGCACCCAAGUGAUGGUUGACUUCUACAAGGGCGAUGAGCUUGUGUGUAUUAGUAUAUCUAGCCUCAUGGAGCAUCUCGAAGACCUUCUCAUACUGCUCUUGGAGGAUCUCAUUCUUCAUCGCUAUCUUGUUAUUCUGAGCCUCCAGCUCAUCGACUUUAGCCUGAAGAGCAAACUUCUUUUGUUCCUUCUUUCGUUGCUUCGCACUAGGAGCAAGAUGGGUGUCAUUCUGUGUGUUGUGGCUUCCUUCGCUCCCCAUGUUGGAAAGGGAUGCCUGGUCAAAAGAGAGUGUACGAAUGGUGGAAACCAACUUAACAAAGCUGAAAAGAGUGGGAAUAAGUGUCGUUCCCAAAGAUGGCGCCAAAUGUUGAUGCACAAAAUCAGUGAGGACUUUGAUAAAAUAGAAAAUGUUAAGUUUGUGACAUUUACUAGAUUGCUCCGAUUACUAGUGUAGAUAAGUAUGUAAAUGGAUAGAAACAUGGAAGCAAACACAAGAUGUACGUGGUUCACCCAGAUUGGCUACGUCCAUGGAGUAGAAGAAUUCUCAUUAAUUGUGAAGGGUUUACACAAGUACAUAGGUUCAAGCUCUCAUUUUGUGAGUGCUAGUGAAUGAUUUAAUACAAAUGACAUUAGGAAAUAUUGUGGGAGAAUGAUCUCCUUUUAUAGAAGAGAGUGUCUAGCUUUGUUUUGACAUUGACACGUGUCGUGUUGUGAUUGGCUUCUGAUAUUGACAUGUGUUGCUGUUGACCCUAAAAACUACCAAGCCUACGUGGCGCGCAGGCUGAGUAAUAUAUAAGUUAACAACGUCAUUCGGUGAAUGCGGGGCAUGCCAACUCGUCGGUCGAGCUCGGCUGAUGAGUAAAUUUGUUGAUGUUGCGUUGGGUGCGCUGCUGACUUCUUGAUCUUGUGAUUAUGGCUGAGGAAGGAACACGUCUCAGCCUUCGGGUUCUAGAGCCUGAAGACAAGGCUGUUAACUUAACAAAGUUCAAUAUCCAAUUUGACUUCCAAUGUGCCGAAUGUAGUAACUCGUAACACCUCACUUCGCCGAGAAGGCUGAUGAGAUGACCUCGACCAAUAAGGAUUCAGAAAUCCUUCUCGACCGAGACUUGGAUAGGUAAUCAACCAUCCUCGCCGCAGUGGUGUUGAUGCCAACGGAAGAUGCUGCGAGAUCGGCUGAUUCUACGGUGACAGAGCUAUCUAUGCCGACUUAAGAUAUCACUAGUUGCUUUCACAGUGCUAUUGAUGCCAACGAAAGAUGUGUCAGCGAAAAGAGAAAAUAAAAAUCUCAGUUGUUGAGAGAGUUUACGCAGGGCAGUUGUGUGUUGAAUUCGAGGUCCCUUGAACGUUGCCUGCGACUCUGUAUUUAUAGUGACAAAUACGCACUGGUUGAUAAGUUGAGAAAGACUCCCAAACUAUUAAAACUCAUCUUAUCUCAUCGAAUCCAAGAUAAUCUGCAUGCUUGGAUAACAUCCAUCUAAUCAACCACCCAAUAUAUAUAUAUAUAUAUAUAUAUAUAUAUAUAUAAACAAAGUUUGCACCUUUCCAAUGAGUUGGCAGACCUAAUGUUGCCAAUUAUAUAUAUAUAUAUAUAUAUAUAUAUAUAUGGCUGAUAGCUUUUGACACGGCAUACAGGUCAUGUCCAUCAUCAAUUCACUUCAUCUUACAACAUUCCCUUAGGUCUCCUAUCUCAUCCUCACCUCAUCAACAAUAGCCAUCAUCAUUUUGAUCAAAUGAAUUUUAAAUUCAUUUUACUUCCAAAUGCUGUCAGACAUCCCAAAUCAAUUCGAAUUGUACUGCUUAUUCGGGAUAUGAAUCGCAUUCUAUUUAUCCGGUUUAAGAAGAUACCGAAAUAAUUCAUAUUAAAAGAUAAUUAUAAUAUUAUCCUUUAAUAAUCAAAUUAUCUCCACUUUCUCAUUUGGCGGUCGAGAAUCAUGCCCACUCAACGGCCUCGAUCGCUUGGGCCGAUGAUGUAAAAUCGGGUCCAAACAGUUGCGCUAUGAUUGGCUUCUGAUGUUGACACGUGUCGCGCUGUGAUUGGCCUCCUGGUUUGAGGGAAACUCUUCUGGGUCCUUGACGGUAUAACGUUGACCGGUGCUCAGUAGUUUCGGAAUUAGUUAAGUAUGGUACAAACACUUUUAGUUUUAAAUCUUUAAAAAAAAAUGGUUUCUUAUAGCUAAUCAACAUGAUGCCAUAUGAUUGGAUUAGUGGGACAAAAAAUAAUGACGAUACUUUAAUGAAAGGAUUAAAUUAGCAUGCCAAAUUUAUCGAUUUUUAAAACUCAGAGAUCAAUGUUAGAGACAAUUUGCGAUAAAAAUUCUUAUUUUGUAUUAUCCACGUUUCACGAUUUCAUUGGAUUUAAGGAUCCCACGUACAAACUAACAGAAUAGUUGACGAAAUCUUAAUGGAAUACCAAAUUGAUGUGCGGUAGUAAAUGUCAACGACGGCAUUGAUUGUUUUUUAAAGUGAGGAACCAAAAUGAUGAGUUUGAUCAAUCUCAGUGACUAUUUGUGACAAAACCCUAAAAUUAAAGUCCAUUCUCAAUGUGGACUUAAGUCAUCUCCGACCAGAGGUUAUGUAUAGUUUCUUAAUCAAUUAUUGGUUUUAAGUUUACUCUUUAAAUUUAUUAAGUACUACUUAAAUCAUAUGAAAAUAAGGUUCUCGGAACAUGAUUUUUUAAGGUGAAUAGAAGAGAAAAUGAAAUAAAAUAAGCCAAGAUAGUAAAAAUUAAGUAGAAUCAUGUUUUUAAAAACGGGGUCCUGAUUUACAGUCUAUAAUUUAUUUCUAAGAGCUGCGCCUCUUUUUUCAAUUAAAAUACCUAUAAUAUGCGGUCUGUAUCUUGAACUUUUUUCUGAUUACGUAAUCAAAGCUAAAUCCGACUCUAAAUCAUGUUUUCUAAUUAAGUAAAUUAUGGUCAAAUCAGGCCAUGUUUUUAUCUAAACAGAAAAGCAUGAUUUCCCUCGUGAGUUUUUGAGGUGCAUGCACUCUUUCGUCCACUCAGCUGUCAAGAAACCCAGAAAGCUCCGCUACAAACCACAGCAAAUCGACGAAAUUAUGUCAAGAAUUAGGACUUUGCCUGAAACCCAGAAAAGCUCUGUCGCAAACCACCGCAAAGACCAGGAAUUAGAUGCCCCUGUUCACCUGGGUUCUUAAUCUUGGUACUGAAUCUACUGUUUUCUUUCACCCUUUUUUGGUUCUGAUUUUUGAUACUGUGAUAAUUUGCUGCUCAAAUUUUACCGUUUGGAGAAGAAGAGGAGAGAAAGAUUCUUGGGUUGUUGGGAAGGCAGGGAAGAAGAAGGAGAAGGUCAGAUUCUUUCGAGCCCAACCAUUGGAUCUGCAGACUACUGUAGCUACUGGGCCCCAGCCAACGGGCUGGGCAUAAGGCAAAGCUCGCUAGCCCGAUAGCCCUUUGGUCAUGUUUUAACCUAAUGGGCUCCAUUAAAUUUUUGCCAAGCUUUCAGUUAAAGAUGAAUUUUGUGCAAUUCAGGCCAAAUUUUGGCCUUUUAGAUCUCUCAAUUAGAGAUGGCCUUAGGGCAUAUGUUUGUAGCCCACAGAAAAGCUCCAUCAGGGUUUCCUAUCACCCACACUAUUCUCUCUCUACACACUCAUGUACAGGGGUGGACUAUUCAUUGACUCGGAUGGUCCCGGGACCACUCGAAAGUUUGAACAAGCGCAUGUGAGAACCUCCAAGAACCACUCAACUGUCUGGGCGUGCAUAUGUUGUGAAACAAAAGCUCUGAACCAAGAAGAAAUAUCUAAUUUCAUAGGGAGAGCAACAACACAAAGAAGACCACCAUGGCUCUGCUGUUCUUGGACAUUGGUUCCAACACAAAAGAAAGACCUUCUCGCUUCAUUUUUUUUAAUUUUGUUGUCCAAUCAAGCUAUGCCUAGCAUUUAAUUAAUAAAUAGAUGGUGUAUUACUCAUCCAAUACUUUUCAUAUCAUAAGUUUGACACCGUUAUUUGUUUUAAACUCACUAUAAAUUCAAACGAUCUCUGAAAAUAUUUCGUAAAGUACUAGGAACUCUUAAGCACUUGAACUUUCAUCUCAUACCAUUAAAUUCAAUCAAAUAUUAAAGAGAUGGUGUAUUACUCAUCCAAUACUUUUCAUAUCAUAAGUUUGACAUCGUUAUUUUUUUUUAAACUCAAUAUAAAUUCAAACGAUCUUUGAAAAUAUUUUGUAAAAUACUACGAAAUCAUAAUCACUUGAACUUUCAUCUCAUACCAAACUCUCAAUACAAGUAUAGUUUUUUUUUUUUUAAGUGUAAAUAGACACUUAUUUAUAUGAUAUAUAAUAAAUUUACUUAAAUUCUCAUACGCCCCGUUUAGAUGAAUAGGUGCUAGGUUUUAGCUCACCGGCCGACUAGCGCCUAGCGUAUCUUGGUUAGGAUCACCUGAUAUUAGAAUCCUGGAUCCGACACUGCUUAUGUAGUUAUGUUUAAUCAUAUUGAUUGACUAUUAGUUUUAUCUAAUCGGUAGAAAGAAGAAGGGAAUGCCAGUUAUCAUUUAUUUUGAAGAAAAUUAGCGAUGUUUCAUGAACUCGUAAUAUUUUUUCAAUUUUUGUUACGAAUUUACAAGCGCCCAUUAUUAUUAAUGUUCUAAAUUACCUCUAUCAUCUUCAUUUAUCACGUUUUCUGCCAGUUAAAAGCAUGUACAAAAUUAAUCAAGAGAGUUAAUAGUCAUGUUUAAAAUAAUUAUUAGAACUCGGAACCAAUUAAAGUUCAAAGGAUAAAUCAAAAGAAUGCCCCAAAUUCAAGGGGCAUUGCUAACUGUUUAAAGGAUUAAAAUGAUUCAUAAACAAUUUGAAAGUCAAAAGAUAAAUCGGAUUGAGCCCCUAACUUCAAAGGCAAAGGGCAGUUGCUAGCAUUUUCCUUUUUAUUUUUCACGUGUGAUAUUAUCAAAGUGCAUUAGUAUACUAUACACGGGAUCUUUUCAAUUUAUUUUUUUUUGUUCAUCAAACAUACACGCUUUCUUGAUACUUGUAAUAAUAUUAACCUGUUUCAGGAUCCAGUUUCAAAAUUCAAACUUGAUAAGCUUAGCAAAAAUAAAUGAGUAAUCUGACAACAAUAACAAGACGGAAAGAGAUGGCAAAAUUCGGGAUUAGGGUGUUGACUUUAUGCCUACAUAUGGCAAAAUGCAAAUGUUGAUUCACAAAAUCAAAGACGGGUACAAUACAACGUGUGAAAAUUAUGCAUUUUAAAUGUUUUCCAACAAAAAAAAUAGCAUGGCAAUUGGCAAAUGUAAAUUACUGGUUAGAAGAUAGAUUCUGUUCAUCUUUUUCUUUUUCUUGCUCAACUUCUAGGCUUCCACGAAACCCUAAUGGCUCUAGUUCAAUGGUUUCUCAUGCUUCUCAGCCUCACCUGGACUUUGAUUGUUGAUGUUACUCGUUCAGCUCCUCACGACGAUGCCGGAAAGGCAUGCGAUUUUUUUUUCUUCAUUUCUUUUUUCUAUAAUUGGCUUUUUAGUCUUGACUAUUAGUUAUGAUGUUGAUAUUCGACAAAUGUUGCAGCGUUCAUAUUGUGUACAUGGGCGACAAGCCUGUUGUGCCUUGGUCCGUUCAUCAGUGCGGAAACGAGAUUCAAAUUACAACCUCACCAAAAUCACACUCAGUUGAACAGAAUAAAAUACAAGAAAUAAAGACACCGAAAAAUUUACGAGGUUCGGCAAAAACCUGCCUACGUCCCCGGAGAGAUAUUACUCUUCAUUAUGAGAAUAACAGUACAAGUACACAUGAGUUAAAUCGACAUAACCCAAUCCCAAAUCCCUUGUACAACCACUCAUAGAAUUUUCCCAAGAGCCUCACUCUACCCCAAGAGUUCUUUCACUAGAAUACUUUUCACUCUAGCUCUCUUGAUUUUCUCUCAUCCAUGCCCAUGCUUUCCCAUGGGAGAGCCGAAUGCUCUCCCCCUUGGAUGCUCUCUGAUGUUUUCGUUAUACCUUCUCAGGAGAGAGUCGAAUGCUCUCUAUCUCCCUUCGGUUCUUAGCAAAAUAAAUAGCAAAAGAAAAAAGGAAUCAACUUUCCCUUUUUCCACAAACAUCAUCAUUAAAGUAAAAGCAAUCAUCAUCAUUAUGUUUUUACUCAUGAUGAUGUCCACCAAACUUUUGCUUUUAUUUGUCUGCAAUUUUCAUGCAACCCACACCAUGUGAUAUUUCCACCGAAAGCAAACACAGGUCACUUCAUUGUUGUUAACACAUGACUCAUAAUUACUCACAAAUGUAUCAGCCAAACACAACAAAGCCAUAGCGCGAGAUUUCCCCCACCACAUUGCAUGUUCACGUAAACAUGCUACAAAUCGUAGUUGGCAGCAAUUAUUAAGGGUAGUAGUGUAAAAUGAUGCUUAAGUAAAGUUGCUAGAGUUGUGAGAAGUUUGUUAUACUUUACUUAGCUAGUAAGAUAGGUAGUGAGCAUAAAUGUAAAUGAUGGUAUAUAUAUACCAAGUGUAAUAUUAUUCAGAAUAAUACAAUUCACAAUUUUAUUUCUUGUCUCUCUCUCUAAACUUUCUUACUAAAUCUCUCUCUAAACUCUUACAUGGUAUCAUUCGUCGGUGUCUAACGACCUCCGACGAUCAUUCGUCUCUCUGCAUCCUAUGUGUUCUCUCAUUUUGCUUCUUGUCGCUAACAACAAUGGCGGUAUCUUCUUCGUCUUCCUUUGAUUCUACCUCGCAGCCAUCUCCUGCAGAUUCUUCGACCCCAAAUUUGUGCCCUAAUUCGGUCAGUUCUUCGAUUACUAUUCAGAAUAUUGGUUCGCUGGUUCCGAUCAAACUGACAACUACAAAUUGGAUCACCUGAAGUGCUUUAUUUGCACCGAUUUUUCGCCGGUACAAUCUCACUGGUCUCAUUGAUGGAUCUCUGGUGGCCCCGCCCAUGUAUCUUCUGGAUUCUUUAGGAAAUCGCACUUCGAUUGUGAAUCCUCAAUAUGUCACUUGGUUUGAGAACGAUCAAAACAUUCUGAUCUGGAUCAACUCGACACUCUCGGAUUCUCUGAUUCCCUACACUGUUGGUGUUACCUCUGCUCGAGAUCUGUGGGCAAAACUGGAAUCUCAUCUUGCUACAGCAUUGCAAUCACACAUUCAUGAACUACGCUAUCGUCUUCACACGAUUACCAAAGAUGACUCCACUGCGGCUACUUAUCUUUAACAAAUUGAAGAAAUUGCGGAUGCUCUUGUAACUGCUGGUGCUCCGAUUGCUGAUUCGGAACUCAUCUCUUCUUCUUCAUGGAUUACCACCUGAAUAUGAUGCCUUUGUUGACACUAUUCAAUUUCGUCUUGGUUCCACUACUAUUGAUGAGUUAUAUGGUUUACUGCUUAGUAAGGAGAUUCAAUUGGCAAAUCGCAAGAAGGUUUCUUCAUCCAUGCCAUUUCAAGCAUAUCAUUCUUCUGCUGGCAUUCUUCCUACACCACCUGGUGAUUUUACUUCUCAGGUGUACUAUGUUUCUUCUCAUGGUCGUGGCUUCGAUUGGAAUUUUUCUAAUCCUAGAAAUUUUCAGAAUUUCUCUCGCCAAGGUCAGAAUUUCAGUCGCCAAGGUUCGAAUUUCCCUCGCCAAGGUCAACAUUUCUCUCACCAGGGUCAACAGAAGAAUAAUCGUGGCUCCAGACCAACUAUCCAUAAUUUCAAUAGAAGAAAUUCUUGUCAAAUUUGCCGUCAAUCUGAUCAUGAGGCUAUUGAUUGUCCGCAUCGUCUAAAUCCUAACUAUGGUACCAAGCAUUCACAGACUGCAUUUCAUGCUAAUACUGCUUCCAAUGUUUCCAAUGCUCUAACAUGGCUUCUUAAUACCGGUGCCAGUUCUUAUAUGACCAACUCGUAUACAAAUCUUCAAAGUCCUGAACCCUACAGUGGUCCUGAUCAAGUUUAUAUUGGCGAUGGCAAAGGUUUGCCUAUCACUCAUUCUAGUUCUUCUUGUCUUCCUACUUCUACUCAUACAUUUGAUUUGCACAAUGUGUUGCAUGUUCCUGAUCUGAAACAAGAUUUGAUUUCUGCAAAUCGAUUUAUAGUUGAUAACUGGUGCUCCAUUCAUCUAUAUCCUUUUCACUUCCUUGUGAAGGAUCUUACUUCGAGGAAUGAGCUUUUUAAGGGGCCUGUCAAAGCUGGCUUCUAUCCUUUUCUUGCACCUUCUGUUGCAGACAAUCAUCAAGCUUAUGUGACCAAUACUAACGCUUCUCAAGGAAUCUGGCAUCAACGCUUAAGCCAUCCCUCAUUCAAGAUUUUAAAUAAACUAGGCUCCCAGUCUCAUAUCUCUUGUUCAGAUCACAUUCAUAAAUUUUUAUGCUUUAGUUGUGCUUUAGGCAAAUGUUCUCGAAAACCAUUUACCUCUGUUCCUUGUACAACAACCAAGCCUUUUGAGCUGUUACAUACUGAUGUAUGGGGUCCUGCGCCCAUUUCUUCUGUUAAUGGAUUUCGGUAUUAUCUUAUGUUGGUUGAUGAUUUUUCCAAGUAUUCUUGGUUCUUUCCAUUGAAGUAUAAAUCUAAAGUUUUCAGUACCUUUGUUCACUUCGAAUCUGUGGUUGAAAAUCUCUUGGGUUUCAAGGUUAUUACUCUGCGAUCUGAUUCUGGUGGAGAAUAUGUUAAUCACCACUUCUCUGAUUUCUUGAAGACACAUGGGAUCUCUCAUCAACUGAGUUGCCCUCAUACUCCAGAACAAAACAGGUGUGCUAAAAGAAAGCACCAGCACUUAGUCGAAACUGCUCGGACUCUUCUUACAGCAUCUCAAGUCCCUUAUUCUUAUUAGGUUGAAUCCUUCUCCACAACUCUUUAUCUCAUCAAUCGCAUGCCUACUGGUAGUAAACUCUCUCCUUGGGAAAUAUUGUUUCAUAAACCACCAGAUUACACAACUUUGAAAGUUUUCGGCUGUAGGUGUUUUCCUUGGCUCCAACCUUAUACUUCCUCUAAACUUGAUCCGAGAAGCAAAGCUUGUGUAUUUUUGGGAUAUAGCCUUAAUCAUAAAGGUUAUCGUUGUUUGGAUGCUCAAACUGGGCGAAUUUAUAUUUCCCACCAUGUUAUCUUUGAUGAAACCACCUUUCCAUUUCAUUCUUCUCCACCUCCUGUAAGUCUUUCUUCUCCAGUUCAAUCUCUUCUCAAUUCCCCCUUCAUCCCAACCUCAUUAACAUUUACUCAUUCCUCUCUUACCUCUUCUUCACCCUUUUUACCUAUCUCUGAUUCCAUUCCCUUAUCUCCUUCACCUCCUUCUUUUUCUUCAGAUUCCUUACCUCCCCCUUCUACCUAAUAUUCAUCCUAUGACCACUAGAUCAAAAUCUGGUAUUUUUAAACCGAAGGCUCUUCUAGCAACCAAGCAUCCACUUCCCUCCCAUUUAUCUCUUGAUUACACACCUUCCAUUUAUCUUCAAGCCUCUAAACACUUACAUUGGAGAUAAGCAAUGCAGGAAGAGCUCACUGUGCUUCUUCAAACUGGUACCUAGUUUUUGGUUCCUCCUACUUCCUCUCAGAAUUUUGUAGGUUGUAAAUGGGUUUUUCGUAUUAAACGGAAACCUGAUGGCUCAGUGGACAGGUACAAAGCCUGUCUAGUUGCCAAGGGAUUUCAUCAACAACAGGGCUUGGAUUACAAUGAAACAUUCAGUCCGGUUGCCAAACCAGUCACUAUCUGCAUUCUCUUAACCCUUACAGCUACAUUCGAUUGGUCUAUAAAUUAGUUGGAUGUGAGUAAUGCCUUUCUACAUGGCACACUCACUGAGUCUGUCUCCAUGGUUCAACCUCCAGGGUUUGAAGAUCCUACUCAACCCCAUUAUGUCUGUCAAUUGCAUAAGUCACUGUAUGGUCUCAAACAAGCUCCCCGAGCCUGGUAUGCCAAGUUAACAACUGCCUUACAGUCUCUUGGUUUCUCUGGAUCCAACAAUGACCACUCUUUAUUUGUUAAGAACAAUGAUUCAGGGGUCUAUGUCUUGGUAUAUGUGGAUGAUAUUCUUGUCACCGAACCUGAUUCUGUAGCUUGUUAAUCUGUGAUUUCUCAACUUUGUGGUUUAUUUCCUGUCAAGGAUUUGGGACUCCUGCAUUAUUUUCUUGGUAUUGAAGUCAAGCGAUCAUCCAAGGGAAUCUUCAUCAAUCAAACUAAAUAUAUUCUGGAUCUUCUCAAGAAGGCACACAUGAAUGGUGCUAAACCUUGUGUUACUCCUCUGAGUACUUCUAAAUUGGAUCAUUCUUCUCCCUUACUGUCUAAUCCAGAAGAAUACAAAUCCUUAGUUUGAGGCCUUCAAUACUUAACCUGGACUCGACCAGAUUUGUCCUUUGCAAUCAAUCUCGUCUGUCAGUUCAUGCAAACUCCCCAAGAAUCACAUCUUCAGGCUGUUAAGCGUAUUCUCAGAUACUUGAAGGGCACAAUUACUCUCGGUCUUUGGUUUCCAAAAUGCUCUGCACCUCUCAGUAUUAAUAGUUUCUCAGAUGCCGAUUGGGCUGGUUGCACUAUUGAUCGACGAUCCACAGGUGGUUUCUGUAUUUUUCUGGGUGAUUCUCUUAUCAUUUGGAGUGCCAAGAAGCAACCCAUUGUUGGUCGAUCCUCAACUGAAGCGGAAUAUCGUUCUUUAGCUAAUACUGCUGCUGAGUUAACUUGAAUCUACAAGCUAUUAGUUGAUAUUGGUCUUCCGAUUCCGUGCCCUCCUAAACUUUGGUGUGAUAACAUAUUUGCUAUAUCUCUUGCUAAGAAUCCUUUGUUUCAUGCUCGAACCAAGCAUGUGGAGAUUGAUUAUCACUUUAUUAAAGAGAAAGUUUUGGCCAAUUCCAUCACUGUGCAUUUUGUCUAUACACAGGAUCAAACUGCAGAUAUAUGUACUAAAGCUUUAUCCAAGGAUCGAUUUCUUCUUCUCCGUGACAAACUCUCACUUCGGCUACCUCAGCUUAGUUUGAGGGGGGAUAUUAAUUAAGGGUAGUAGUGUAAAAUGAUGCUUAAGUAAAGUUGCUAGAGUUGUGAGAAGUUUGUUAUACUUUACUUAGCUAGUAAGAUAGGUAGUGAGCAUAUAUGUAAAUGAUGGUAUAUAUAUACCAAGUGUAAUAUUAUUCAGAAUAAUACAAUUCACAAUUUUAUUUCUUCUCUCUCUCUAAACUUUCUUACUAAAUCUCUCUCUAAACUCUCAUAGCAAUUUUAUAAUUAAUGAUAUGGCAAUGUCUGCUACUGCACACCUACAAUAGCAGCUUCACUGGCUUUGCAUGCUGCCAAGCUAAUAGACGAAGAAGCACAAAAAUGGCAAGUUAAUAUUUGUUCAGCCUCCCCCUUUUCGUUUUAAUUAAUACACAUACCGACGCACACAUAUUUUAUAAAUAACAAAAAAAUGUUUAAUUGAAUGUACGCAUGUAUAGAAAUGGAUGGUGUGGUGCCUUUUUUUCCAAGUUAAAAGAGGCAGCAGCUCCACACAACAAGGUCGUGGGACUUCAUUGGGUUUCCAAAAACAGUGUCGAGAAGUAACUAUGUUAACAAAGGUGAUAUGAUCAUCAUAGGAGUAUUAGGGAAAAUGAUAAGUCACCCAUUUCAGUCACUGUUAAAUAGUUUGUUAUCUCUAAAUGUAAUUAGUUGUGCUAAUGUUUGUGAUUAGUUAGAACUGUUAUAAGGUUAGGCAGUUAAGGGGUAUCUUUGUAAAUAGCCAAAGGCUAUAUAUAUAUGUCUUCACAGUGUACAAAUUAACUAUUCAGAAAUAUAAUUGAAAGCUUAUAGAGGAAGUUUCCAGUUUCUAUAUGGUAUCGCGCCAUUUCUGCUUCACAGUAUCGAUCAUUCCGCUCAACCGACUCGAUCGAUACAGCAUCGAUCCUUCCGCUCAACCGACUCGAUCGAUUGAUCGAUUUUUGAUCGACUUUUCUGUUCUUCUCCUCUGAUUCUUCAGUCUCUCUUCGCCGAUUUUUUCUUGCAUCAUCAUCUCUACAAGAUAUGGUGGCGCAAUCAUCUUUGUCACCGCCUGAAUCUUCUUCUCCAUUGACUCAAAACCCUAAUUCCUCUGGAAAUCCAAGUUCUCUGAGUUCUUACACCUCCCUUACGAUCCACAACAUCGGCAGCAUGGUACCGAUCAAGCUGAAAAGAUCGAACUAUCUGCCAUGGUGUGCGCUGUUUGGCCUAAUUCUCCGACGCUACAAGCAUCUUGGACUUGUUGAUGGAACUGAAGCAUGUCCAUCGUCAUUCCUACCUGAUCGCAGCAUUAAUCCUACCUUUGAGGAAUGGUAUGAAAAAGAUCAAAAUCUUUUGAUCUGGUUCAAUUCCACACUUUCUGAGGAAAUCAUCCCUUUCAUGGUUGGGGUUUAUUCGUCUCGCAAACUCUGGUUGAAGCUUGAACAGAGGUUUGGUGGAAUUUCAGAGGCUAAUAUUCAUCAAUUGAGGUCGCGUCUCCAAUCUGUUCAGAAAGGAUCUCGCUCCAUAUCUGAGUAUCUUCAAGAAAUUAAGGAAAUCUCAUACUCCUUGCAAGCUGCUAGUGCCUCCGUCUCUGAUCGCGACCUAAUUGCAGCCACCCUUCAUGGCUUACCUGAUGAUUUUGAGUCAUCAAUCAUGCUUCGAUUGUCCUCUACAUCUCUUGAUGAACUCCAUAGUCUUCUUCUCACUAAAGAAUUGUCCAUGGCUCAACGCAAAACUAUCAGUUCAUCCUCUACAGCUGAACCUUUUCUAGCCUUCUCGGUGCACUCUCAGCCCCCUCUCCUACCCACUCUUUCAGUGUUUGCUACUCAGCACCAACUUCAAUCUUGGCACCAACCAAAAUCUGCCAACCGUGGAAAGAAUAACAGAGGCCAUUCUUUAUCUCACAGAGGCAAUCGAAGUUUCCAACCUAACUGUGGUAAUUACUCCAACAUUCAUGGAAAUCGUAAUUACCAAGGACCUCGUCAUGCUUAAGGCUCUUCCAAUUUCAAAGUUCCUAUCAAAUCUGUAGAUCUACCAGUCAUGAAGCUCUUGACUGUUUUGAUCGCAUGAAUCCUGACAUCUAUGGUCGGAUUCCUCCAGCUAAACUAGCUGUUAUGUAUGUCAAUUAAUCUGCCAAACCAUCUCAGUCUUGGCUGAUUGACUCGGGUGCCACUUCUUAAAUUACUAAUGAUGUUGCAAACAUCUCUUCUCCUACUCCUUAUACUGGUGAAGAUAAAGUGUAUAUUGGUGAUGGUAACGGUCUUUCUAUUCAUCAUAUUGGUUCAUCAACCUUGCAUACUCCUCAUACUUCUUUUAAGCUACAGAAUGUUUUACAUGUUCCUUACAUGAAACAUAAUCUCUUAUCUGCUUAUCAGUUUCUUAAGGAUAAUAAUUGUUCAUUGACUCUUGACCCUUAUGGAUCCACUGUCAAGAAUCGUAUUUCGGGGAAGAUACUUUUGCGGGGACCUGUUAUAGAUGGAUUCUACCCUCUUCAAAGUUCCAGCAAUUCUUCACUUUCAUCUCCUUCAGCUCUGCUCAGUGUCAAAGCUUCUGUCAACGUUUGGCACCGAUGCUUGGGUCAUCCAUCCUCUUCUAUUUUGAGACGGGUCAUUUCUACUAAUAAACUGGCAUUACAAGGCAAGUCCACUAUUGAUUUCUUCUGCUCAGAUUGUGCACUUGCCAAGAAUCAUAAGCUUCCUUUUGGAGUCUCUCCUUCAACAACAAGUCACAGUCUUCAACUUCUGCACAUGAUCUGUGGGGUCCAGCAUCUGUUAUCUCCAAUAGUGGUUUCAAGUACUAUUUGUUUGUUUAUUGUUGAUGACUUUAGCAAAUAUAGCUGGUUCUUUCCUUUGAAGUCCAAGUCAGAUGUAUUUUCUACAUUUGUUGUCUUCAAAUCUUAUGUAGAAAAUUUACUUGGAAAUAAAAUCAAAGUUCUGCGUUCAGAUUCAGGAGGUGAAUUUACCAGAACCUCUUUUGCUUCCUUUCUCAGUAAACAUGGCAUUUUUCACCAAUUUUGCUGUCCACAUACUCCUGAACAGAAUAGUUGUGUUGAGAGAAAGCACAGGCAUCUUGUUGAGACAGCUCGUACUCUGCUAAUUGCUUCUCAUGUUCCUCAUAUCUUUUGGGUUGAAGUUUUCUCCACUGCCAUCUAUCUCAUUAAUCGGCUUCCCAUCUCUGGUAUUUCCACAUCACCAUGGGAAUUAUUAUUCAAGCAACCCCCAGAUUACUCUAAACUCAAAGGGUUUGGUUGCCAAUGCUUCCCUUGGCUCCAACCCUAUGUUCAAAGCAAAUUAGAUGCCAAGAGCAAAAGUUGCACAUUUCUCGGAUAUAGUCUUCAACACAAAGGCUAUAGGUGUCUUGAUCCACUUACAAAUAGAAUUUAUAUCUCCAGACAUGUUGUCUUUGAUGAAAGUUCUUCUCCAUUUCAGUUACUACAACCUUCCUGUUUCAGUCCCAAUACAUCAUCACCAGCAAGCUCUUCAUCUAUGAAUCUUUAUUUUGAUAAAUAUAUUCCUCAUCUCUCCACUAGCAGUGCACCAUCCAUUCCAAAUGCUUCUGCUUCUACCUCCGAUUCUCCAAAUCCUUCUUCUUCUCAACCCAUUUCAGUCCCUGCUUCUUCCAGUUCUGAUUUUGUUUCAGAAUCCUCCCCAUUGCCCUAAAGUCAGUCAAAUCAUUCUCCUAUUCCUAUUAAUUCUCAUCCCAUGAUCACAAGAUCCAAGGCUGGCAUUUAUAAAUCUACACCUCAAGCUUAUGCAGCAACUAAGCAUCCUCUUCCUGUUGACAUUGAUUUUGUUCCCAGUAUAUACCUGCAAGCUUCUAAGCAUGCUCACUAACGAGCUACAAUGCAAGAUGAGUAUAAUGCAUUAAUCUCUACUGGUACUUGGUCAAUCGUCCACUCUCAUCCUUCCCACAAUGUAGUUGGAUGUAAAUGGGUGUUUCGAGUUAAGAAAAAGGUUGAUGGCACUAUUGACAGAUAUAAAGCCCGUCUAGUGGCAAAUGACUUUCAUCAACAAGAAGGUAUUGACUUCCAAAAGACCUUUAGUUUGGUUGCCAAGCCAGUUACAAUUUGGAUCUUACUAACUCUUGUUGUCCAAUAUAAUUGGUUUCUCAAUCAAUUGGAUAUAAGCAAUGCCUUUCUUCAUGGUGACUUAAAGGAGAAUGUCUACAUGCACCAACCUCCUGGGUUUGUUGAUCCAAAUUUGCCUCAUUCUAUUUGCAAGUUGAAGAAAUCCCUAUAUGGACUAAAACAAGCUCCUCGAACUUGGUUUGAUAAACUAUUUCAAGCUCUUCAUUCUCUUGGGUUCCAACAAUCUUCAUUUGAUGCCUCCUUGUUUGUUCUUAAUGGUCCUCAUUUGGUUAUUGUUCUUGUGUAUGUUGAUGACAUUCUAGUAACCGGUCCUAACUCUCAACUCUGUCAACAGUUUAUCACACAACUCAGUUCUCAGUUUCCAGUAAAGGAUCUUGGUCCUUUACACUACUUCUUGGGCUUAUAAGUACACAGAUCCUCACAAGGAAUUUUUGUUCAUCAAACCAAGUACUUACUUGAUCUUCUUAAGAAAACCAACAUGGAGGGUGCCAAACCGUGCUGCACACCACUCAGUUCCAAGAAAUUAGAUAACAGUGGGCCUCUCUUGUCCAACCCCACUGAAUAUCAUUCUAUUGUUGGAGGGUUACAAUACCUAACUUGGACUAGACCAGAUCUUGCUUUUGCUGUCAACUAGAUCUACCAAUUCAUGCAUGCUCCCAGGGAACAACAUCUUUAGGCAGCUAAAAGAGUUCUCAGAUUUCUUAAAGGCUCUCUUUCCCACGGUUUGUGGUUCACAAAGGGUCCAAUCCAUCUUUCAACAUACUUUGAUGCUGACUGGGCUGGCUGCACUUUUGAUAGAAGAUCUACAAGUGGCUAUUGUGUGUUCUUAGGCUCCAAUCUCAUUAGCUGGAGUGCUAAGAAACAAAGUACUGUUGCACGGUCCUUUAUAGAAGCUGAAUAUCGCUCAUUAGCUUAUACAACUGCAGAACUCACUUGGGUUUGCAAAAUCCUCAGAGAUCUUCACUUCCCCAUCCCUACACUGCCUGCACUUUGGUGUGACAACAUCUCAGCAAUCUCCCUAGCAUCUAAUCCUGUCUUUCAUGCUCGUACAAAGCAUGUUGAGAUCGAUUACCACUAUAUUCGGGAAUUGGUUCUAGCUAAUCUUCUCAAAGUCCAGUAUGUUUGCAGUGAAGACCAAUUAGCUGAUCUUCACACCAAGUCCCUAUCCAAAAGUCGAUUUCAGUUCCUGUGCUCCAAGCUUCCAAUUGGAAUCUGUUCUGAUUCCCCUUCUAGCUUGAGGGGGUGUAUUAGGGAAAAUGAUAAGUCACCCAUUUCAGUUACUGUUAAAUAGUUUGUUAUCUCUAAAUGUAAUUAGUUGUGCUAAUGUUUGUGAUUAGUUAGAACUGUUAUAAGGUUAGGUAGUUAAGGGGUAUCUUUGUAAAUAGCCAAAGGCGAUAUAUAUAUGUCUUCACAGUGUACAAAUUAACUAUUCAAAAAUAUAAUUGAAAGCUUACAGAGGAAGUUUCCAGUUUCUAUAAGGAGUGCUUGACUCUGGAACUUGGCCGGAAUCUGACAGCUUCAAUGACACUGGAUUUGGUCCACCACCCACAAGCUUGAAAGGCACAUUCCAACGCUCUGGUAGUUUUACUUGCUACAAGUAAGCCAUACUAGAUUAUCCUAUUAUUAUUCGCAUUUAUCUUGAACCGAAUUUAUACGAUAUUUGAACAGUAAAAUUAUUGGGGCACUUUAUUACCGUGCUAAUGGAUUUGACGUAGGUGAUGCCCAAUCUCCAAGAGACACCCAUGGCCAUGAGACUCGCUGCAUCAACAGCAGCAGGGAACUUGGUCAACAAUGCAAGUCUAGAUGGUUUGGGGAUGGGGACAUCAAGAGGACCGGUGCCAUCAGCACAAAUUGCGGUGUACAAAAAAUGUUUGAUAAAGGGUUUAACCGUUUAUGCUUAGUACUGAUCACUUAGGUUCUUUGGAUGAAUGUAUAUAUGGGUAUGGAUGGUGUGGUGCUGUUUUACUUUUACCCAGUGAAAAGAAGCAGCUCGUCACAACAACAAGGUUAUGGGACUUUAUUGGGUUUCGGAAAGAGAGUCGAGUAGCAACAAUCUUCACGAAAGCAAUAUCAUUGUAGCCAGGAGGAUCUCACCUUAUCAUAUGAUCCUUCAAUCAUAUCCGUUCAUCUUAAAUCGUGCGAUAAAAAAUUAUUGUAAAUUUUUUUUAUUUAAAAUUGAAUAUAAACAGUAUAUGAGAAAAGCUAACCGUACGAUGUACUAUGAACGGAUGUGAUUAGAGGAUCCGGUGAGGAUCCUCUCUCUCAUUGUAGGAGUGGUUGAUACUGGAAUUUGGCCAUAAUUUGACAGCUUUGAUGACACCAGAUGUGGUCCACUAUCACUGACCUCAAAAUGGAAAGGCACAUGACAAUCCUCAGUAACGCAAGUAAAUUAUAGCAAUGGUUCUUCAAUUUUAACUAAAUUAGAACAAUGAUUCUUCAACUAAUAUCCUAAUUCAUUGGUCUCUCAACUCAUCAAAACGUCUAUCUAUAAUCAUUUUCGUCAACUCCAUCAAAAUUUUGUCAAAAUAAGUUAUGUUGAAAGGAUCAUUGUUAUAAUUGGGUUAAAGUUGAGAGACCAUUGCUUCAAUUGAGUUAAAGUUGAGGGACCAUUUUUUUCAUUUGAAUUAAAAUUGAAAGACCAUUGAUACAAUUUUUCUUAUAUGAUUUUCCAUAUUUGCCACUUGAGUUAACCUUACAUGCAUAUGACACGUGACUUAUUUUAACCAAAGUUCUAACAGUGGUGAUGAAAAUGACUAUAGUUGCACGUUUUAAUGAGUUAAAUGACUAAUGAUAAUAAAUUUUUAAUUCAGAAACAAUUGCUUUAAUUGAAUUAAAAUUAAGAGAUCAUUACCACAAUUUACUUUUAUUAAAAAGCAAACUAGUUUGUUGUCUUCUACUCCAAACGAUGACUUUUGAAAACAUUGGGAAAUAGUAAAAGCCUAUAGCUCUCAACUAGCUCAUGAGCUUUUUUUUUGGUUUAGUCCAAAGAAAAGAGGCUCAUGUUUGAAUUAUGAUAAUCAUAGCAUGCCUAUAUGAUGUCUAGUCCCCACGAGACGCAGACGGCCAUGGUAUUCACACCGCAUCAACGGUAGCAGGAGCUUUGGUAGCAGUGCUAGUCGUGAUGGCUUUAGGUUGGGUACAGCAAGAGGAGGGGUGCCAUCAGCACGUAGUGCGGUGUACAAUGUAUGUUUGGGCCUUUGGCAUCAGAUGACUGCGUAUGAUGAUAUUCUUGCGUCAUUUGAUGACGCUAUUGCUGACGGUGUUGAUGUAAUUUCAAUCUCCAUCGGUUCGGUGGAAUUUUUUUUGUGGUCACUGUAUUUAUGCUUAGAAUUUAGAAAACUUUAAUAAAAAGUUAUUAAUACUGUUUAUUUUAACGAAAAAUCGUAUUUUUAUUCUAAAAUAUCAAUUAUGAUACUAUUUACUUAUAACACAUUUACGUCAUUUUUGUUAAAACUUAAAGUUUUCAAUUCUUUUUCAUUAAUUUUCCUUAGAAUGUAUUUUAGUCAAUUUAGCUAGUUUAGUCACUGUGUUAGACAAAUUUUGCAAUUUAUGUCCAAAAAUGUUAUUUUUUUUCAUCUUAUGCAUAGUAUUAAAGAUAUUAUUUACAUUAGGGGAGGUAGUUUAAAUUUUUCUUUAAUGGAAGUCGAAUUUAAGAGUACUCAGUUACAAAUGAAGACUAAUAUCACUAGAUUGUGGUAACAAACUCUCUUCCGUCCGGCUUACCCAACCACCCACAACAUUCCCUUCCAUAUCUCUCUCUCUCCCUCUCUAACCAACCGGUACGGUACUUCAUCUCCUCCAUCAACCUCAAAUCGCACAUAAGAGGUUACAACAAUAAGCAUUCCAAAAAUUUUGAACUUUGUCUUUAUACUCUUAAUGAAUUUGUGUAACUACUAUGAAGGCUGACGGUGGGGUAGUGGGAGAGGAGUGAAAGAGACAGAGGUGGGGAAGGGGCCUGCAAGUGGUGGGAGAGCGGUGGGCCAUGGACUGCAGGUGGUGUGGGAAGGCGAGGGGGGUUGGUUGCUGGUUUUGGAUGGCGGGGAAUCAAUCGCCAUAGGAUAUUUUCACGCAUGAAAAGGGAUAUUGACUUCCAUUGGCGCUUGUAACAAGGGUCCACAGCUGAACAAUGUUUCAAACUUCGCACCAUGGUCUCUUUCCGUGGCUGCUAACACCAUUGAUCGGAAGUUCGUUACCAAGGUUCAGUUAGUAACAAUACAACUUAUGAGGUCAGUUCCCCAUCGAUCGUAUGCGCUCACGUAAUUUUAUUUAAUUGUUCUAUAAUAGAGAAUAAUGUUUGAGGUUGUUUCUCUAUUUGCUUCAUAUUUUAGGGAAUUAUAAUGAACAUAUAUGACCGCAAGAGUCAAUUGUUUCAGUGUUGUUUCUACCGUGUAUUAUAGGAGACAAUUAUCUUAGUGUUGUCUGACUUAAAUAUUCAUGUGAACAUCACAAUCACGACAUUGUUGUGCAAACCUGAAAAGUGACGAAACUAUAGCAUAAAAGUGAUGUGUAAAAAGUACGAAUAGAAGAUUGAAAAUAAAACAAGAGUAAAUGUGUGCAGUAAAAGUGAUCAACUUUAAAUAAACGUACUAAAUGAAAAUCAUAUCAUCUCAAUAUCUACAAAGAAAGUGUACAAAUCAUAGCAUCUCAAUAUCUACAAAGAAAGUGUACAACGUAACACGCCUGAAGAUAUUAAUUAUAAAAAUACUAGACUAAUUACUACAAGGAUGAGAGAAGAUUAUGCCACCAUACCUCGACGUCCAGAGCUCCAAAUCCUACUAAAUUUUGGAGGAGCACAAAACAAAGAGUGUGACAGACACAAAUAAAGAUUUCUACAAAAUCAUUUAUUUGUUUAACAUACUAACACCUUACUGUAAAAACUCAUAUGAGAGACGCAUGUAUUACCAGCAAGCAAAAGCUACCUUUGGAGUUUAUAUUAUUUUUUUAUCCAUGUAAUCAAACUCGGAUUUGUUUGUUUAAUUAAUAAAUAUAUUUUUUAAUGAGAAAGACAUGGCCCAAUUUAGAUUGAGUUUUUUCUCAAAAUUUUAAGUAGUUGAUUCAUAAAUUUUCGUGCUUAAGAUAGAAAUUGUUUAUAUUAUAUAUAAAUCAUUACGUAAAGAUCAUUUGUAUAAAAAAUCAAUCAAAAUUAAAGUUGUUUAGUCAAUUAAUUGUAACAAAUAGAUAAAUAGUUUAUUUACUUAAUCCAUCCAUUUAUUUUUAUACAUUCCGGUCAUUAAAUGAUAUCAUAUUUAAGUGACUUUUUUUACAAAUAUGAUAUUUAUAGCGUAAUUUAUAAUAUAAAUAAUUAUAAUCAUAAAAACAACUUGUCGUGAAUUAGCCACAUAAUAAAUUGAGAAGGAUUUCCUUCUCAUCCAUUGAAGAGCCAAAAUGCAUUUCUAUUUUGAUUUGGGCCUCACUUCCCAUGUCAAUUACUUUGAUUUGAUUGUACUAUUAGUUGAUAAUUGAAACGAGAGUUAAUUUCAGUUUACUGUUUGAAAGUAUUUUUAUUUUCAACAUCUGAUACAUUAAGGUUAUUUCAUUCCAGGGUAGUACAUGAAGUUAAAAUUUUGGAACACUUUUAUAUAUUUGUUAAGAUUGGUUUUAAAUUAGUUGUUAACUGAUGAUAUGACGUUUAUGUGAAUAAUGACUAGAGAUCACGUGUCAAUAUAGAAUCCAUAUAAAUAUUAAAAAAUUUAGAAAUUAAUAAUAAAAAAAAUUAUUACUUUGAAAACAAGGAACCAGGAACGUAUGGAAUUGAUGAUUUGAACAGGUGCGAAAGAAGAAAGAAAAAGGAAUAAGCAGAGGCCUGGAAAGAAAAGGUAGAAAAGGAAUUGAUUCUUCGAGGGGGUGGGGUGGCGGUGGAAGUUGGUGGGGGUUUUGGGGACUUAAGGAUUUGGUGCAUUGCAGAACCUCUAGUAAGCCCUUUUAUGCAAUUCUACAUCGAGUUGAAGUUGGCUUAGUAAUAGAUUUGGAACCAGUAAGUCCAUCUGAUGUUCCAGUGACUGCUGCGGGAGCACUGAAAUCUUAUAAGUGUGCAGCCAAAGCCAUCUCGAAAUUGCAGUCUUUGCUAAGCGGGGAUAUAUCAUUAUUAAAAAAAAAUCUGGUUUUGGCUUCAGCCAGUCUUCUCCGGCCGCUAGGUUUGGCUCUCCACCGCCGUGAAAUUUGGUAGGUGUGGCUCUCCAUCACCGUCUGCUCCGGCUUCUCCGGCCGCUGAGUUUGGCUCUCCACCGCCAUCAAAUCUGGUAGGUAGGGCCCGGAUGUUUGAGUUCACGGGGUUGUCCAUCCUCGCUCUAGAAUCGUCCCAUUUCCGAUAUUUUCCUUCACAGUCCAGUGGACCCCAACGCCUUGAAAUUCUUGUUCCUCAAGUUGUCACCCGUCAAAUCUAGAAAUGGGUCGGGUUAGGAUAUGGUGGUUAGGGAGAGGUGGGUCGGGUAUGGAGGGAUUAGGGACAGAGGAGAGUUGAGUCGAAAAAAAGAGAUUUUUCAGUAUGGUUGGAACACGGAAUAAUAUAUUACAUGUCAUUAUAUAAAUGGUGGGAUAUGUGUGUUAAAAAAUUAAUAACUUAAAUAUUUGAAUUUUCCAUCACUUAUAUGAAAACACGUUAUAUACCACUUGUGUUCUAGUUACAAUGAAAAAUUUAUCGUCGAAAAGAACAGGGGAGGUGGCCCAUAUUGACAUGUGGCGUUUAUUCAUUGUUCACGUGAGCGUCACGUCACUAGUUAACGGUUGAUUUAACAACCUUAACGAGUGUAUGAAAGUGUCGUAAAAUUACUUCAGCUACCACUCUGAAAUGAAAAAAACUUUACGCAUCAAAUGUUGAAAACUAAAAACUUCAGAGUAGAACAUUGAAAUUAAUCCUUGAAACAAACAUUUACUCCUUAUAUAAAGGCACUGAAGAAAAAUCCCACUACACCAUCCAUAGGUGUAUAUUUUUGUAAUUAUUUUACUUUUUCUGUUUUGAAAAUUGAUAAAUUAUAUUGAUAAAGUAAAUGAUUACAACCAAAGUAAAUUGUAGCAAUAGUUUCUCAAUUUUAAUUAAAUUAGAGCAAUGAUCCCUCAACUAAAAAUUCAUUACUAUUAGUCCAUCAACAGUCAAUUCAUCAAAACGUGUAGCUAUCGUUAUUUUCGUCAACUCCAUUAAAAUUAUGUCAAAAUGAUUUAUAUUGGAAGUACUAUUGCUACAAUUGAAUUAAAGUUGAGAAACAAUUUCUCCAGUUGAAUCAAAGUUGAGGGACCAUUGAUACAAUUUUUCUUUUUUGAUCUCUCAUAUUUGCCCCUUGAUUUAGCCUCACGUGUAUGGCACAUGACUCAUUUUAAUGAAAGUUCUAAUGGAGUUGAUGAAUAUGACCAUAGAUGUAUGGUGAGUUGAGUGACCAAUGAUAAUGAAUUUUUAGUUGAAUGACCAUUGCUCUAAUUAAGUUGGAUAAUUGCUACAAUUUACUCUUAUAACCAUGAGGGUAAAAAAGUCAACUCAUGUCAUAAAGAAUUAGGCAAAGCCAUGCUAGACACCCAACAUGAUCAUUAUCGAAUUCUAUUGGUGAGGAUCAUGAUGAUUCGUAAAUUGUGUCUGUUUAUCGUACAUUGUGCAAUCAGUUUUUAUCAUGUACUGUUUGUAUUUAAUUUUAAAUAAAAAUAUUUAAAAUAAUUUCUAACCAUACGAUGUACGAUGAACGUAUAUAAUUUACGGAUCUCCGAGAUUCUCACAAAGAAAAUCCGGACACGCUAGACACGAGAACCCUUACUGCAAUUCUAAUGCAACCUCCUUUUUUCCCACUUAAGAGUAAUAUGGGAAACUAAUUUUACCUUUGUCUUUUAAAAAAACAAAUAAAAAAUUAUUAUUAUUAAAUGGAUGGGGUAGAAUUCAAACUAAUUAAAUCAUUAAGGGGAGACGAGAGUUUUGGGACAUACACUGUAGGAACAAAAUUUGAAGCACCACUAUAAGAGCAAUUCCACCCCAUUCCAAAUGUCCCAGCCCCCAGUCCAAAAAUCAAACUAAUCCUCAGUCCAUUUGCUCCACCCCACAAAGCUGACUGGCACCCAGCCCAAGCCAGGCGCCAGCCCAGCCUGUUUCGGACAGACCCAGGAACUGGGCAAAAUACACGGCGCGUGCACGACACGCGGGAGCUGAGGCGAGUAGCCGACAAGGAAAAGGUGGGGCUGUCAGCCCACUUGUGUCCCGUCCCAGGCAAUCUCUGAGCCGUUGGAUUUCCAAUGGCUAGUUUAUCUAGACCGUUGGAUUUCCAACGGUAAAAAAAAUUAAAAAAUUAGUUUUAAAAUGGACCGUUUGAUCACAGAUCAACGGUCCACGUUUUAGACGAAAAAAAAAUUAAAUAAAAGGCCCCAACGGUCAGAUUUUUUACCGUUGGCCACGUGGCGUGAUCUUAGCUAUUGGAUUUGAAUUUUUUCAAAUCCAACGGUCCAGAUUAAUUAACUAAAUUAAAAUUUAUUAUAAAAUUAUUAAAAAAUACAGAAAAUUUUUAAAAAAUACAGAAAAAUUUGAAAAAAAUUUAUAUUUUUUCCUAUAAAUAUCUAACCCUCAUCUUCCACCUUUACACCACAUUACAAUAUUUUCUACACUUUCUACACUUUCUACAUAUCAAUAUUUUCUACAAUUUGAGAGAAAAAAAUGUCUUCGUGGAAGGUUAUUGAAGAUGUUACGUUGUGUGAAUGUUGGGUUCACACUACUCAUGAUCCGAUUACGGGUAAUGAGAUGGAUAAGCGAGAGAUGUGGAGUAAAAUUACGAAAGCGUUUUGUGAUGUACAUGGAGAAAACGCCAGAACUAGUCAAGGUCUUCAAGUCGUUGGAAAAAACUCAACGCAUCAUUUACUUGUUGGAAAAACGCCAUCUCUCAUGCUUCCGGUAACCUCACAAAAUAGUACGUUCGGAUAAUGACACGUGGCAUGACGUGAUUGGUUGAAAAUCUUAUCGAAAUCUUGGCUAAAUUAUUGUACCAUGGAAGUGACACGUGGCGUGUCGGGAUUGGUUGAAAAUAAUAUCGGAAAUCUAUUCACAAAAUAGUACGUUCAGAUAAUGACACGUGGCGUGACGAGAUUGGUUAAAAAUCCUAUCCGAAAUUAAAACUAUUUUAUUUUUUUAUUCUUUAUUUUAAAUGGGUUAAAAAUCUUAUCCGAAAUAAACUUAAAAAAAAAACACACCAAAUAAAUGCGCUGGGUGCCAGCGCAUUUUUUUAGGGGUGGAGAUGCCUUGGCCUAUUACUGUUCACUCCAGUCUAUUACUGUUCAUUUGAGUGGAUAAAUGCGCUGGGUGCUGGCGCAAAGUCCACAGGGGUGGAAUUGCUCUAAACGCUGUAAACCCAUAAAGAUUUCUCGAAGAUCAUGAUGUCCCCGCACUUGAUUUGGUGUGAAGAUGCUAAUGUAAAGUGGAAGGGAAAACAAAUCAUGAGCAAAGUAAAAUAAUACAACUUUGACCAAACCUAUUUACUAAGAUAUUAAAUUACAUGUCAACUAGAAUAUUAUAUUGCAUGUCAAUUUUACCUAUAUCUCUACUAUGGGAAAGUGGUGUGGACCAAAGAUGAUUCCACUUCUGUAUGGAAAUGAGUAUGGAAAUGAGAAUAUAGGAGAGCUUGUGUCUAAAAGUGCUUUUCUCUUUUCUUUUGUAAGUGUAGUUGAAAUGAGAGCACUAGCGAAUGACAAUUGCUUAUAAGAGGUUGAGUUGUUAUUGUUAAUUAAUUUUAUGGUGGAAAUUCAAUUUUUUUCAUGGUAUUAAAGUAAGUUGACUAUUUUGUGAAACACAACGGCCACAUAUGCUCCAUGUCACUCAAUUCGUGUUUUCCAUAUGUUUGGCUUGAAAAUUCAUUACACGCAGUAGGAACAUGUGAGGAUGUGAAGGUAAAAAAGUUACACAUCGAUGAAAAGAGAAACCUUGUAAGGGCAUUUAAGAGGUUGAAUACUCCUCAUAUUUUUAAUUGAUUUUAUGAUAAAAUCUCAACUUUCUCCAUUUAUUUCCUGAAAGCAUGAUUAAUCAAGUAAUUAUUUAGCGAUCGAUCGCACACAAAUGGAAGAACCAAUUCUGUAGAAAUGGAGUCCUUUCACAUUUGAAGUCGUGGACUUAUUUUUCGUUUUGCCUUUCGGAAGCAGACGUCAAUUAUUGUUGCUGCUUGAUUUGAAAUGUUUCCACUCCCUUGCUUCCCUCGAUACUCACUUAAGCAACAGGCUGGGGUGGGGAUUCAUUUUAAAACAGCAAGAUAUUAUUAGGAAAAUGUAUUGUAAAAUCAUUUAACGAUUACUUAUAAAAACACUUGAUAGGCUAGCAUUAGUAAAAAUUUAAAAAUGAUUUUCCCACACUUAUUUUAAUUUUUUAUUCGACGAUUAAAAUUUAAUAAAAACAGAAAUGCACGAGAAGAAUAAAGGUGUGGAAAUCAUUUUUUGGGUGAAAGCACUAUCAGAAAUAGUCAAAUACCCCAAAAUAUGUUCAAAUACUCCAAAAAUAAAGGACAAAAUAAAAGGAGUUUUAAUAAAACACUUUCAAUACUAUUUACUUUUAAUAAAAAAUUAUAUUUAUCCUUUUCUCUAAUACUAUUUACUAUACCUAUAAAAAUAAUUUUUCAUCAAACACGUCUUGCGAAAAGCGUUAAUUGGGCUAAAGUAUAGUCUUUCAAAUGGGCAUCCAACUUUAAAAAAGUGCGAUAAUUGUAGGGAAAUAGUGUAAAGUGAAUGCAGUACUGCUAUGACUAAGAGUGUGCGAAUCAUUCGGAUUCGGAUCCUCUACUCGGUUUUAUUGUGUUUGUUGUUUACUCGACUGUUAAUUCUCACCGCACAUCACAAUUCAAAAGUGUUUGAGCAGAAGAGUGGUGGAUUUUUAGUAUGUGGAAAUGAAAAAAAUUUGGAACACAUAAAUUGCAACAUGUGAAAUGCAUUUGAAAUAAAAAAAUAAAACAUAAAAACAUCAACCGUACGAAGAGGAGUUUUAUUGAAUUCCGAGAACUUUUUUUUCAUCUUGUUUAAAUUAAAGAGUCUUAAUUUGAUUUUUUUUUAAUUAAGAUGGUUUAAUCAAUUGUCUACUCAGCAAUUUUGUAUUUAUUUAAUAUAUAUUCACAUAAGCAAGCUAAUAACUAUUUCAUACAGUCUAAGGAUUUUAAAUUCGUGACUUUAUUAAUUAAAAAUAUUAAUUUAACUAAUUCCUUGUUGUCAUUGUAAGUGACCAUUUACUAUAGUGGUGGAAAGGUGGUGAGUCCAUUGGUGACUUUAUUAAUUUAAUGAUGUGGGUUCAAACUUCAUUGGUGGCUAAUCUAACAUCUAAUUAAAUAAUAUAUUGUUUGACCAAAAAAAAAAUUUCCUUAUUGUCAGUAAAAAAAGAGAGAAUUUUUUAUUUCUGUUCUUAUAUUUAAUUAGUCUCUUGCUUCACUAAAAUAAAGUUAUUAAUACUUUCAUAAGAAAGCUUCAUUAAUUUGGUAAAAUUUUACACAUAGUUAUAUAAAUGUAUUUAAAACUUAUGGUACAUUUGAAAAAUUGGAAAAUAAACGUACCGACUUUUGGUACGUUUAGAUUUUAAAUGAACUAAUAAACAAAUGUACCAUAAAACUAAAAUUACCCAUAUUAUAGGUAAUCAAAUGUACCAAUACAAUCAAACGAUCAUACAAUCAAACGUACAUGUACUAUGAUUAUGUAUGUGAUAAUGAGUUUUGAAUAUUCGAUUUAAUUCACUAAACUAAUUAUUAUAAUAAACAAUAAAAAAUUUAAAAUCUCCAGAAUGAGAGAUGCAUGUAACUAUAACAAAUUCAUAGGUAAAGAAUGAUAGGUAAAAAAGGAAAACGAAAGUAAAGAUGCAAUGUGAAAAUUUUUAGGGUGGCUAGCAAACAAUUUCAUGAAUAAAAAGGUAAAAAAAACAGAGGAACGUCUAAAAUUGAACUUUUAAUAAAAUGAAAUUAAUCACUAAAACUGUAGGGAAAAUGUUUAAUCAACGAAAUUGAAAAACGAGGUGUUUAUAUCAAAAUGCCCCUAAACUAUGUAAAAUAAUCAUGGGAACACAAACCAUACCACUAAGAAUAAAGAGAAACUGCAAAACGUGAAAUACAUGGCUUUUCAUUUUUAGUAUAAAUACAUGAUGGUGUUCUUGGAUGAGAUUGUCCAUCUUUUACAUGCUUUCCAGAACUUCGCCACAAUGGCUUUGACUCCAUGGUUUCUCCUUCUCCUUAGCCUUAUAUCUACUCUGCUAGUUGAUGUCACUCUAUCUGCUGCUCACCAGGAUAACCGGAAGGCAUUCAUAAAAUAUGCAUUUUGAACAAUUCCGUUUCUCUGCUCAAAAUAUGUUCAUUAAUUAAUUUAAUCUUCUGAUCUUGGAUAUAUUAACUGCAGGAUUAUAUUGUGUAUAUGGGUGACAAGCCAAAGCCUGAGGUUUCCACCACUACCACAUCAGCUCUUCAUGUAAACAUGCUACAAAACGUCGUCGAGGACAGGUUUAAUUAAUUAUCACAUAUGAUAGUGAGCUUAAUUAUAUAUACUGAUUAAACAUUAUCCGUGACAAGGGUACCAUUUAAUUUAGUCAUCUCUCGUAGCAUCUUCUCGUUGUUUUUCGAGCUUAAUUAUGGCAGAGUUUGAAAGUGUCAAAUCUUUGACGAUUUUGAUUUUUGACGUUUAUUUAUCCAGCAAUAUAGCGCAUGAAUCUCUGCUUCUGCACAGCUACAAGAGAAGCUUCAAUGGCUUUGCUGCCAGGCUAACAGAGGAAGAAGCACAGAAGUUGGCUGGUUGUCUUAUGAACCCAACUUCAAAUUAUUUUUUAACUUGCAUAAACAUUAAUAGUGACCAUUGUAUGACGAGAAAAAUAUAUGCAGGAAUGGAUGGUGUUGUGUCUGUUUUCCCUAGUGAAACUAAGAAGCUCCAAACAACAAGGUCAUGGGACUUCAUUGGGUUUCCUGAAAUGGUGAAGAGAAGCGCCAUUGAAACUGAUACCAUUGUCGGGAUGAUUGACUCUGGAAUUUGGCCUGAAUCUGCCAGCUUCAGUGACGCCGGGUUUGGUCCACCCCCCAAAAGGUGGAAAGGCGCAUGCAAGGGCGAAGGCAAUUUUACUUGCAACAAGUAAAGCAAACCAGUUUAUUUCAACCAUCCACUGCACAUUUCAAAAAAAAAAAAAAAUCCACGUGAUGUUGUUAAUUACACUUGGACAGAAAAAAAAAUAAAGUGCAAACUUGAUUAUAAUUUAUAUGAUAUGUUGUUAAAUUGUAACUCUUACUAAAAUAUUAUGACAUAUUUGUUACACUUGGACAGUAAAAUUAUCGGAGCACGAUAUUACCGCAGUCAACCCUACCCCAAAAAUAGCAGUGACGUCAUGUCUCCGAGAGACACGGAAGGCCAUGGAACCCACACUGCAUCAACAGCAGCAGGGAACUUAGUUAGCAAGGCAAGUCUGUAUGGUUUAGGGUUGGGGACAGCAAGAGGAGGGGUGCCAUCAGCACGCAUUGCGGUGUACAAAGUUUGUUGGUCAGACGGGUGCCCGGACGCUGAUAUUCUAGCGGCAUUCGAUGAUGCCAUAGCUGACGGUGUUGACAUACUCUCUGUCUCCCUUGGGGGCCGUAAACCGUUAGAUUAUUUCAGAAAUGCCAUUGACAUUGGAGCUUUUCACGCUUUAAGAAAAGGAAUAUUCACUUCCGCGUCUGCUGGUAAUGAAGGUCCAAACCUGAAAACUAUUACAAACUUUGCACCAUGGUCUCUUGCUGUAGCUGCUAGCACCAUAGAUCGCCACUUUGAUACCAAGGUUCAAUUGGGAAACCACAAAAUUUAUGAGGUAAUUGAUACAGAAUUUUGGUAGUGAUUCUGGUUGAGCAAUAUAUACACUUUUGGAGAAUCAACAAUAUAUAUAUAUAUAUAUGCUGAAGAUGCACCAAAAUACUAGAGAAGUGAUUAACAUGAGAGUUGAUUAUGAUUUGUUUUUGCUUCCUUGGUAGGGAAUAGUAACAAACACAUUUGAACUCAAGGGUAAAUUCUACCCCAUAGUAUAUGCUGGAGACGUUCCAGAUAGGGCAGCAGGUUACAAUGGGGAAACAUCCAGGUAUGUGUACGCAUUUUGAGAGUAUAUAUACCAUUUAUAUUGAAGAACCACGGUAGUCUAGCAUAAGUCUAACCAGGUGCUAAUAACAUGGAUAUAUAUAUGGAACAGGUUAUGCCAAACAGGCACGUUAGACACAAAAUUGGUGGAGGAUAAAAUUGUUCUUUGCGAUGGGCCUACUGGGGAUGGGGCAUUAUAUGCAGGCGCAUUUGGUUAUGUUUUGACAAGCCGAAAUGCAGCAGAUGUAAUCGAUCCUGUUCCAAUACCAGCAGCUUCCGUUUGGUUCCAUGUUGGUAACGAAAUUACCCAUUACAUAAACUCAACCAGGUAUCAAUAUUUGAGAAUGAUUGAUUUAAAAUAUUACUAAUGUGCGAAACUAACAUAAAUCAAAGACCCCUUAUUAUGUUAUUGCUAAUAAAUCCUGAAUCCCUGUAAUGAUUCGUAGGAACCCAACAGCAACAAUUUGGAAAAGUACUGAGGGUAGGGAUGCACUGGCCCCAUAUGUACCUUCAUUCUCAUCAAGGGGUCCAAAUCCAAACACUCCUAAUAUUCUCAAGGUAACUUCAAGGCCCCGUAUGUGUGUGAAUGCCGACUUAAAAAAUGAACAAACCGAAUCAUGAAUAUUGAGGGGUCUUAAUUUUCCUCCUUGUUUUCUCCUAUAUGUUGCAGCCAGAUAUCGCUUCUCCUGGAGUUUCCAUUCUAGCAGCAUGGCCUCCAAUUGCCCCAGUUUCAGGUGUUGAAGGUGAUGACAGAGUAGCUUCAUACAAUAUAAUCUCGGGGACAUCAAUGGCAUGCCCACAUGCUGCGGGCGUGGCUGCAUACGUCAAAUCAUUUCACCCCAAUUGGUCACCUGCUGCUAUCCUGUCAGCUCUUACGACUACUGGUAUAGAUGCAUUUUCAUAAAUGUACCCAUUACAAUACAACCGUUCUCUCACAUAUUUGAUGAGUUGUGUGACCAAUUAUUAUCAGAGAUCAUGUGACCAAGUCUUGUGAGAGAGACCCUACAUGUAAUUAGACUUUGUCCAUGAUGUACAUUGUAUUACCUAAGAUUUAUAUGUUUGAUUAAUUUGUAACGAUUUUGCAGCCAAACCUAUGAGUGCAAAUCUUAACCCUGAAGCCGAAUUCGCGUAUGGUGCUGGCCUAAUAAAUCCUAGUAGGGCUCCGUAUCCUGGUUUGGUAUACGAUGCUGCUGAAAUCGAUUACGUAAAUUUUUUGUGUGCACAUGGCUAUAGUACCAGAUUAUUGAAAGCCCUUACCGGGGAUAGCUGCUCAUCAUCACAAUCUAGUCAUGGAACACUCAGUGAUCAUCUAAACUAUCCUUCUGUUGCACUUUCCACCUCGAACCCUAAAUCCGUCAAUGGCAUUUUCAAUAGGACCGUCACAAAUGUUGGAUCACCAAAGUCCACAUAUAAAGCUAAAGUGAGUGCACCACCAGGACUUGAAAUCAAAGUUAAUCCAAGCAUUCUAAAGUUCACAUCUCUCGGGCAGAAGCUAUCGUUUCAAGUCACGGUGAAAGGGUUGAUUGAAAAAACCAUAGUCUCUGGUUCUUUGGUGUGGGAUGAUGGUAAUUUCCAAGUGAGGAGCCCCAUUGUAGUGUAUUUUGUGUUUUGACAACAAGGUAUGUGUAAUAAUGUAUGAUGUAUGAAUAAGCAACAUGAAGGGCUCCAAUGAAACAAAAGUGCAACGUACUGAUCACGAUGAUGUAUUUUAAAUGAAAAUUAAAUUAUUAUAUAUUUAUGAACCUUUAAUAUGAUGCAGUACAUCGAAAUUUGAAACAUACUCAUUUAAGGAUAUUUUAUAGUUCUCUGUGCAAUCUAAUUGUAUAUUUGAUUGUUCAUUUUUGGUCUGCAUGGGAAAUAUGGAUUUUCUCCUAUGUUGAUUACUUGAUUUAAGUCCCCAUCCCUCGUUGCCCGUUUAUACAGGUUGUAGAGUCGGAACCUUCGUGAUUAAAAACAAAAGACCGAAAAACUUCGGUGGGGACAUUUGCAAACAACUACGUAUACACAUGAAAAAUAUCAGAAUAGUGAUGCGUAAAAUAAGUUAACACACAAAAUUAAACCCUCUUUUUAUCAAAUGUAGUAAAGUAUGUAAGUAGGGAUCGUUCUAGGCCGGGGAUUAGGAGGGAUUGCUAAACACUUGAAAACUGACUUAAAAACAUAAACACAAAAUUUAAACACUAAACUAGACUCAAAGAAUGCAAAACUAUACUUUAAAAUACUUAAACAAACAUAAAACUCAAAACAGCAACCUAAUGACUCAAAACCGCCUAAAAACCACUUUCUGGGCAGUUUUGAGAACCUAACAAGAACUUGGACGAAGUUGGAUGAAAACUUGAAUCAAAACACUUAGAAACACAAAUCAAAACACUUUCUAACUAAUCUAAGACUUCAAAAUAAAGGGGGAUUUGUUUUGGACGAAAAUUGAAAACAAAACAGAAACUUUAAAACAAAACAGAUUGUAAAACGUUUUUGGAUGAAAAGGAUGGAUAAAAGGCUAGUUAGGAGGUUCUUCUCCACACAUGACACACUUGCAAACAAAAUGAUUUUCAGUUGUUCUUUCAAUAAAUUAUGAAACUCAACACCCCAAGUUAAUUAGAUACGCUUAAAUUAACCUUCAAGUUCUCCUUAAGUUAAUGAAUUGGAUGGAAAAGCGCAUACAACAAUUCAAAGCAUUCCUCAAAGGUUCCUUACGUGAUGAGCACAAUAAAGAUACAAUCAAGAAUCAUGAAGCACAAUGAGAACUAUAAGUGUUGACGAGGCAUUCGUACUAUGAUGAGCAUGAAACUAGUGCCAAGAAUUCAUUCAACGCGAUCGUUUUCAAGCGACCUUCACUACUUGUAAUUAUAAGAUUGUAACUAUUAGGUGAAACUCCCUCAUAAUCUAGCAUCAUAUUCAUGCAUGAAAACUAAGCGUGCACUCUCAAUCAACAUACACAAAUAAGUUAUCAAUCAAGUAGAUGAACGAAUUGAAUCCGCAACUUAUGAAAUAACAACUGAAUGUAAUCAAAUCAUAUUGCAAGCAUGUACAUGGUUUCGAAUCACCCCCCAACUAAGGGGGUUUAGUUCCUCAUUCUUGCAAUACAAAGAUACAUAAAAUUAGACAUUAAAAUCAAAGGUAAGAAAAACACCUAAAAUGCUCCAACUUGGAAAGCAAGUGCAUCAAUGGAUCUCCCUUCCUCCUUGUUGCGGCAUGAAGCUUGUGGACAGAUUUUUGGGUGGAUUUAUGGUGUGUAGAAUGGAUGGGGAAUGAUAUGGAGGGGUUUAGGGUGAGUGUGGAAGAGUGUUUGAUGGUUGGAAGGUGGUGGAGAACUAGGCAAAGAGGGUGGAAGAAGGUGGAGUGGUGAUUAUGUUUUCUAGGCACUAGAAUGGUGUUUUUGGGGUGUUUUGCUUCCUAGGGUGUGUAUGGACGAAUUUCUGUGAUAAAAUGAUGAAUAUGGGGGAUUGUUCUUUGGCCAAGGGGUGUAAACAUGUAUUUAUAGGCCCCAAAAACCUUAGAAAAUAAGGUUAGGUUAAGGAUGAAAUGCAUGGCAAUUUGUGUGUGUGGUGUGCAAUGGUCCAAGGGUGAAAAUGAAGUAAUGAUGCAAAGUGUGAAGGGUAAAAUGGAGUGGUGUUGUAGCUAGGGAGCAUGAAUGAUUGUGUACAUUGCAUAGAGAUGGAAAUGGAGGUGAAAUGUGUCAACAAAUGGGUCAAAGGUGCAACAACAUGUGUUGCACAUGGCAUUGGAUUCCAAAUGUGAAUGAUGGAGCAUCAAUUGGUGCAUGUAAUGGAUGUAAAGGUUGUCUAAAAUCUAAUGGGUGAAGGGAACAAGAGGUAUCAAGCAAUUGAGUGAAAUAAUUAAAUGAAUUAAAGCAUGAAAUCAGAAAUUAUGUAGGGGACAAGAGUGAUCAAGCAUGGCAUGGAAUCCAAAGGGAAUUCUAUGUGGUUUGCAUGGCAAGGAAUGCAAGUUGGGGUGACAGAUUUUUGGGCUGUUUUCUUCAUCUUUUGGACCAUAAUUCUUCAUAUUCUUGGCCUCUUUAGUUCUCAAAUUCGUCCAUCCACUUGGCCCAUGCAUUUGCUAUCCAUUCCAAGCCCGAAACAUGCUCCAAAGGCCUCCAAAAUGCAUCUUCUUGCAUACUUUGUACUUAGAGUCUUUCACUUUGCAAGUGGGCUUCUUUGCAUGUGUAUGAGUUGUCAUUGUUUAUCCUUGCAAUUACACACACACACACUUGCACACACAUAUGCCCAAAACGUCCAUCCUCAUGCAUGCAAUCCAUUUGAGCCCAAUAUUGAUCCAACAUGCACCAAAAUGCACUUUUCUUGCCAAGGUUGUUAUUAAGACCUACAAACAAAUGAAAAUGGCUUUAAACACUAAAAUAACUAAAGAAACACAACGUAAACACACAAGAACAAGCCAAUUAAGUCGCAUAAAUAUGCUCCUAUCAAAUUCCCCCACACUUAGCUUUUGCUAGUCCUCGAGCAAAACAAAGAAAUAAAACGAAACAAAACAAAUAAAACACAACCUAAACCUUCCAACAUUUGCCUCAGGGAUUUCCAAUGCACAUGACAUGUUAAAAAUCAUUAUCCCCACAGAUUUGAGUCAUCUUUACACUUAAGCACAUACUUAAUCAUAGUCACCACUUACUAGUUCACAAUUAAUCAAUUAAAAACAAUGUUUUUUGAUGUAGUAACAUGCCUUAGAGAAUUCACUCAAUUCCUUACAAGAUAUGCACUCAAUUUUCACUCAGAUUUUCCAACUACACACCCUAUACUAGUUAUAUGUGAGAAGAUUGAUGUAGAUAUGAAAACGAAUGCUCACAUAUAUGUAUCACAAAGAAAGCAAUUUCUGGAGUUAAUAAGCAUGUUUAGAUAUGAUCUCAUGAAUGGAAUGCUAUUACUUAGAUGCGAGAACCAGUGACACCAUAUGCUCAUAUCAAUUUCAAACUCCACAUAUUGAAACGCAUGACACUCAAGAUGAAGUUAAGGGUUGUAACGGGGCUUGGGGUGAUGGCUAACAAAUGAAGGAUAAGGAUAACAAUCGUUCUUAAAGCAAUAGCAAGUAAAGUAAUGAAAUUGAAACUUAGAAUUCACUUAGAUUGCAGUAAUCAACUUUUAACACGAAGGGAAGAUUCAAGCAAUAAUUAGGGCCGAAUUCUAUGUUUUGGACCCUUUCUUCAACAAGCAGCACUUUAAAACUCUUUUUCGCAUAUUUUUCAACUCUUUUUUUUUUUUUUUUUUUUUUUCAACUCUUCUUUUCUUUUCAACAAGCAUAAUAACUCACACUUCCCCCACACUUGUUUUCUGCCAUACAUUAAUCAAAAGAAAUUCAAUUUGAAUUAUGUUUUACUAUGCUUCAAGAACAAGGGUAUGGAUGGUCCUAAACUAGGCUAGGUAAGGAUAAUGUGGUUUAACAAAGAAUGUAGGCUAUCAAGGCUCAAUGGGGUUAACUUAAACAUAUAACGAUAUGGGAUACAUGGCAGUUUGGCUUUGGUGGUGGUAACUACAUAACUUCAUCUUGAAUAUGUUUUAUGCAAAUCAAUAGCAUGCUUUGAAUGAAAUAGGCAUGAGUUCUAGCAUUUGGAACUAAAUGAUGAAACGCCUUCUAAGUAAUAACCAAGCAAAGAAUAAUGAGAUCAUGCAACGACUUUAGAAAACAAGAAUGCACAGAUUUUAACUCUCCAAAUAAACGUUUAGGCUCAAGUCUCACAAGGUUGUAGCGUUAGUUUGAGUUCUUUCCUUCAAGCAUGUUACAAAAACUAAUUUUUUUCGUUUUUAUGAUUACAUGUGAUUUCAUAAGUUAUAACCACAACCACGCAUAAAUAAAGAGUAAAUCAAACUUUCAUCCAUGUUUAUAACUCUCUUUAACAGUCAUGCAAUUACAAACCGAAUCCUCAUCAUUGUGUUGGAAGGUACCCUAAGACACAGAUAAGCGCACAAAAACAACUCUUUUUUUUUUAUUUUCAAAAAACAAUUUUUUUCAAAUUUUUAUGAAUUUUCGGAUUUUUAUGUCAAAACACACUGAAACACUCCAAAACAGCUUAAAAAAUACUUAAAACAACAAGGAACAACACUAGAAUUAAUGGGUGAUAAAUUUCUACGAAUUUCAUGCAAAACAAUGGUUACCCCCCCCACACUUAAAUCAAACAUUGUCCUCAAUGUUUCAAGCAUAUACUCACACCAAAAACAAGCAAAUAACAAACGACAAAUAAACAUGACAAAUAUGGCAAAGUAAAAAAACCAGACAGAGUAGAGUUUAAGAACGCAAAUCUGGUUUUGGAGAUAGUUGAUCUUGUUGACUUUCCACAGCUUUGAACUUGAACUGGAUUGGAAUUGUACGGCGAAGCUUUUUCUCUUUGGCGAUGUUGCAAUUCCUUAUUUGUUCUCCAAGCAGAUGUGGCAGCCACGAGGGAGAGGUGUUGGUCUGUUUCUUUCUUUCCCAGUUUGCUGUUCAUUUCCACGAAGUUUAAUGUUAAAAUCCUUUGCAUAUUUGUUAAUGUUUCAAAAUAGAAAGUCAUAACCAAAAAUAAUUAAACAAGUAAUAAAAUAGACAAUCAAACAGAAUAAAUGGGUUGCCUCCCUUAAAGCGCUUGCUUUAACGUCUUCCAGCCGGACGAUGAACACCUUCACUUCUCCUUGGAACCCACGGCAUGCAGUGGGAUCUCCUCCACAACAUGUUCCACAAAGUUCUCGUAGUAUGGCUUCAAGCGAUGUCCAUUCACCUUGAAUUCUUGCCCGGUUCUCAAGCUCUUAAUUUGGACUGCACCAUGCACAAAAAGAUUAGUAACAACAAACGGGCCAACCCAUUUGGAACGUAACUUACCAGGGAAUAGACGAAGGCGGGAGUUGAACAAACAACACUUUCUGCCCAAUUUCGAAAGUCUUGCCUCGAAGCAUCUUAUCAUGGAAUGCCGUGGUCUUCUCUUUGUAAAUUCUAGCAUUCUCAUAAGCUUCAUGCCUUAUCUCAUCAAGUUCACUCAAUUGAAGCUUUCGAUGAAUUCCAGCUUGGUCCACAUUCAAAUUGAAGGUCUUGAUGGCCCAAUGAGCUCUAUGUUCUAAUUCCACGGGAAGAUGGCAAGGCUUGCCAUACACAAGUCGAAAAGGAGACAUACCAAUGGGGGUCUUGUAAGCCGUUCGAUACGCCCAUAGUGCAUCAUCCAGCCGUAAGCUCCAAUCUUUUCUCUAUUUGGCCCAACGGUCUUCUCCAAAAUCUGUUUGAUCUCACGAUUAGAUACCUCGGCUUGGCCAUUGGUUUGGGGGUGGUAAGGUGUGGAAACCUUAUGCGUCACAUGAUACUUCUUGAGUAAUGCCCCAAUGGUACGGUUGCAAAAAUGAGACCCUCCAUCACUGAUUAGCACCCUAGGCAUCCCAAAUCUAGAAAAGAUAUUAGUUUUCACAAAAUCUGCCACAACUUUAGAAUCGUUAGUUCGAGUGGCUUUCGCUUCCACCCACUUUGAAACAUAAUCAACGGCAAGUAAUAUGUAGGUGAAACCAAAAGAUGAAGGAAAAGGACCCAUAAAAUCGAUACCCCAAACAUCAAAGAUUUCAACAACAAAGAUGGGUACCUGCGGCAUUUGAUCUUUUUGGCUAAUAUUACCUGUCCUUUGGCAGCGAUCACAUGUUAAACAGAAGGUUCUAGCAUCUUUAAACAAAGUAGGCCAAUAAAAACCACAUUCAAGAACCUUAAAAGCUGUCCUUUGGGUGCCAAAGUGACCCCCACAUGCAUAUGUGUGACAAAAACUUAAAAUUGAGUGAAAAUCUGAUUCAUGCACACAUCUUCUUAUAACCUGAUCUGAACAAAUAUUUCCACAAGUAUGGGUCAUCCCAAACAUAAAAUCUAGCAUCCUUUUUAAGUUUAUCACGUUGGAAUUUGUUUAGGGUGCUAGGAACUUGUUUAGUCACCAAAUAAUUCACCAAAUCCGCGUACCAAGGCUCACUUACCUGGAUAGACAUUAGUUGCUCAUCGGGGAAGGUUUCAGAAAUUGGCGAUGCUUCCUCAUGCACCAUUCGACUUAGGUGGUCAGCCACCACAUUCUCCACGCCCUUCUUAUCCCGAAUCUCAAUGUCAAACUCUUGUAGAAGCAACAUCCAUCGAAUUAGUCUAGGCUUGGCCUCCUUUUUUGUGAGUAAAUACUUGAGAGCUGCAUGAUCAGUAAAAAUAAUAACUUUAGUACCAAGUAAGUAUGAUCGGAACUUAUCUAAUGCAAAUACCACAGCAAGUAAUUCUUUUUCAGUGGUGGAGUAAUUUAAUUGAGCAUCAUUUAGUGUCCUAGAGGCAUAAUAAAUAACAUGAGGUUGUUUGUUCUUUCGUUGCCCCAAAACAGCACCAAUCGCAUAAUCCGAAGCAUCGCACAUCAACUCGAAUGGAAGGCUCCAAUCUGGAGGUGUGAUAAUGGGAGCCGAAGUAAGAGCUUCUUUUAAUUGCUUGAAUGCCGUGGAGCAUGCAUCAUCAAACUCGAAAGCCACCUCUUUUUGAAGCAAUCGGCAUAGUGGUUGUGAAAUCUUGGAGAAAUCCUUUAUGAAACGCCUAUAAAAACCUGCGUGACCAAGAAACGAACGAACCUCUCUAACCGAAGUUGGAGAGGGUAAGUGACGAACAAGGUCUACCUUAGAUUUAUCCACUUCAAUGCCUUCUUCAGAAAUAAUAUGUCCUAGAACAAUACCUUGCUUAACCAUGAAGUGACAUUUUUUCCCAAUUAAGCACAAGAUUCGUUUUCAACACAACGUUUCAAAAUUAAGGUCAGAUUACUCAAGCAAUGAUCGAAUGAAUUACCAAACACGCUGAAAUCAUCCAUGAAUAUCUCAAUAAUUUUCUCCACAUAAUCAGAAAAGAUACUCACCAUGCAUCGUUGAAAUGUCGCAGGGGCAUUGCACAAACCAAAUGGCAUGCGCCUGUAUGCAAAGGUGCCAAAGGGGCACGUGAACGUUGUCUUUUCUUGGUCCUCCGGAGCUAUCACAAUUUGGUUAUAUCCGGAAUAUCCAUCAAGAAAGCAAUAAAAUUUAUAACCGGCUAACCUUUCUAACAUUUGAUCCAGGAAUGGCAACGGAAAGUGAUCUUUCCUUGUCAUGGCAUUUAACUUCCUGUAAUCAAUACAAACACGCCAACCGGUCACCACACGAGUGGGUACAAGCUCUUGUUCUUCAUUCUUCACCACCGUGAUCCCGGACUUCUUUGGAACAACCUGCACGGGAGACACCCAACGACUAUCAGAAAUAGGGUAUAUAACACCACAGUCAAGCAAUUUUAUAACCUCCUUCUUUACUACUUCCAACAUGGGUGGAUUAAGGCGACGUUGAGCCUCCCGAGAUGGCUUAGCUCCCUCCUCCAAAAGGAUGCGAUGCAUGCACGUGGUGGGACUAAUGCCUUUGAUAUCCGCCAAGGUCCAUCCAAUGGCAGAUUUGUGCUCCUUUAACACCCUUAUCAACUUGUCUUCUUCUUGGGCCGUGAGUGAGCUAGAUAUGAUGACGGGUAGUGUUUGAUCUUCUCCCAAGAAAACAUACUUCAAGUGACUAGGUAAUGGCUUCAACUCAAGUGUAGGUGGCUGCACAAUGGAUGGAAGUAACUUGUUAGCCAAAACCGAAUCUAAAAUUGAGAGUGAAGACUUACCAGAAUGUGAUGUCAAUGACUCGAGGGCCGCGACCAUUUCAAACACUUCACCACAAGGGGGCACGUCAAUAUGGUCAGAUUCCAUGCCGUGGGUUGCUUGGAUUCCCCCACACUUGUUUCUUGCUCCUAUGCCGUGUACUAAGGCUAUUUCAAGUGCAUCGUCGUUCAUUCGAUCCAAAUGUACCUGUGCCAAAGAAUCAACAAUGUCAAUAGCGAAACAAGAAUGGUCCUCCAUUGGAUAUUUAAUGGUUUCAGAAAGAUUAAAACGAAUAAUGUCUCCAUCAAACUCCAUGGUUAAUGUUCCCAUAAACACAUCUAUUUUUGUUCUCGCUGUUUUCAUGAAUGGUCGGCCUAGCAAGAUUGGCAAUGAUGGAGCAUGGCUUGAAUCCUCCAUUUCUAAGACAUAAAAAUCUGCAGGAAAGAUAAGAUGAUUGACCUGCACUAAAACAUCCUCAAGGACUCCCUUGGGAUAAGCGUUAGAACGAUCGGCCAAUUGAAUUAUCACGCCAUCUUGUUUUAACUCACCAAGGUUCAUUGAUGCAUAAAUGGAAUAUGGCAUAACAUUAAUAGAAGCACCUAAAUCUAACAUGCAUUUUUCAAAUCUAGUGUUUCCAAUUACGCAUGGGAUAGUAAAGCUCCCUGGAUCCUUACACUUUGGAGGUAACUUCCGUUGCAAAACCGCAGAUACAUUUUCACUUACCUUCACAACUUCUUUGUUUGAAAUUCUUUUCCUAGUUGUGCAUAAUUCUUUUAAAAACUUUGCGUACCUGGGCACUUGCUUAAUAGCAUCAAGUAAAGGAAUGUUUACUUGGACUUUUCGAAAGGUAUCCAAAAUGUCCUUUUCGCUUUCUUCUUUCUUCGAUUGUGCAAAUCUACGAGGGAAAGGAACAUUGGGCAGAUUAGUGUUCGAAAUCACAACAUUUGGAACAUUCUUACCUGAGGUGGACGGAUGGGAUGUCUUAGAUGGCUGCGGCAUGGGUGAUGGUACCCUUGCCGUGGGGUAGGUGUUCUCAUCUUCCUUGAGUUGUAUCUUCUCAUCUUCCUUGUUUCUCACCUCUUUUCCACUUCGUAAUGUGAUAGCCUUUGCAGAUUCGAAGCCACCCUUUGGAUUGACCACCGUAGUGCUUGGUAACUUACCAUUUUCACGGAAUUGCCCCAAAAAAUUCGGCCAUUUGUCCCAUUUGCUUCUUCAGCUCAUUAACCUCCUUUGCUUGGUUCUGCAUUCCCUGCGCCAUGGUGGUUAGUAACUGAUAUGUUUUAUCAUCAUUCAUAGACGUACCUGGGUUGGUUUGGGAAGAUUGUGCCUGAGGAGGUGGUUGUGGUUCCAUUGGCCUUGGAAAGAAACCCGGGGGUUGUCGGAAUCCACUUUGUUGGCCAUAUUGUGGUGCAUCUCUCCAUCUGAAAUUGGGGUGGUCACGCCAUCCCGGGUUGUAUGUAUUGGAGAAAGGAUCAUUCCUUGGUUGGUUUUGAUUCCCAUAACCCACAGCAUUGGCCGAUUCCCAUCCUCCAUUCUCAAUUAAUUGAGGGCAUUGAUCAGAUUGGUGUCCUUGAAUGGAGCAUACACCACAGAUUGUAGUUCCUUGCGUUUUGGGGCCUUCAACCAACUGCGAUAACAUAGACGUAAGGUUAGCCAUUUGGGAUUGUAACUCAGAAAUAGAACUUACCUCAUUGACAUGAUGUGGCCGUGGGGUGUCUCUUUGCCCAACACCUUCAUAUUGUUGUGCAUUGAGUGCUCGAUUCGCAAUGAGAGUUUUGGCAUCCCUAGGUGUCUUAUCCACUAGAGCUCCUCCCGCGGAAGCAUCCAACAUUUGCCGUUCAAGUGGUAAAAGACCUUCGUAAAAGUAUUGAAGAAGUAACUCCUCCUUCAUCUGAUGCUGUGGACAAGAAGCAACAAGUGAUUUAAAUCGUUCAUAAUAAGAUGGAAAAGAUUCACCUUGGCUUUGCUGAAUUCCGCUUAUUUUUUUACGAAGAAGAAUGAUGCGAGAAGUUGGGAAAAACUUCUCCAGAAAUGCCCUCUUCAUACUCUCCCAAGAUGUAACUGUACCGGGAGCCAACUCGUAUAACCAAUCCUUGGCUUUGUCCAUUAAAGAGAAUGGAAAAGCCUUCAUCUUUAAAAUACUUCCGUCAACGGUAACUGGAGUCAUACUUGAGCAUACCACUUCAAAUUCCUUCAAAUGUUUGUUCGGAUCCUCCAUGGACAGCCCAUGGAACUUUGGAAUGUGGUGGAGCAAACUUGACUUUAACUCGAACUCUUCAGUUUUACCUUGAGCAGCCAUGGGAUAUUGGAUACACAAUGGUGCGGCAUUAUCCAAACCCGAGGCGGCAAGCUCCUUGAGCGUACGGUUGUCCAUGGCUAUACCUUGCUCUUCUCCACCCACUUGUGCCGUGGCCUUCUCUUCAACCUCAACUUCUUGCUCUUCUAAUUCAGGCUCGGGACUAGGAGGAUUAGACUCUUGCAAUUUCUUUUUCCUUCUCAAAGUCCUCUCAAAAUCACCGUCAAAGUCGGAGAUAUACUCACGAACAGGUUGUGAGCUACGGGUCAUAAACUAGUACCUAAAAACAAAGAAAACAAAACAAAUCAGCAACUUAAACAGAAACUUAAACAAAAUACAAUAAUUCGAAAGAAAACAAUCCAAGAGAUUAGCAAAGUUGCUAAUCCCCGGCAACGGCGCCAAAAUUUGAUGUGAAAAAUAAGUUAACACACAAAAUUAAACCCUCUUUUUAUCAAAUGUAGUAAAGUAUGUAAGUAGGGAUCGUUCUAGGCCGGGGAUUAGGAGGGAUUGCUAAACACUUGAAAACUGACUUAAAAACAUAAACACAAAAUUUAAAAAACACUAAACUAGACUCAAAGAAUGCAAAACUAUACUUUAAAAUACUUAAACAAACAUAAAACUCAAAACAGCAACCUAAUGACUCAAAACCGCCUAAAAACCACUUUCUGGGCAGUUUUGAGAACCUAACAAGAACUUGGACGAAGUUGGAUGAAAACUUGAAUCAAAAACACUUAGAAACACAAAUCAAAACACUUUCUAACUAAUCUAAGACUUCAAAAUAAAGGGGGAUUUGUUUUGGACGAAAAUUGAAAACAAAACAGAAACUUUAAAACAAAACAGAUUGUAAAACGUUUUUGGAUGAAAAGGAUGGAUAAAAGGCUAGUUAGGAGGUUCUUCUCCACACAUGACACACUUGCAAACAAAAUGAUUUUCAGUUGUUCUUUCAAUAAAUUAUGAAACUCAACACCCCAAGUUAAUUAGAUACGCUUAAAUUAACCUUCAAGUUCUCCUUAAGUUAAUGAAUUGGAUGGAAAAGCGCAUACAACAAUUCAAAGCAUUCCUCAAAGGUUCCUUACGUGAUGAGCACAAUAAAGAUACAAUCAAGAAUCAUGAAGCACAAUGAGAACUAUAAGUGUUGACGAGGCAUUCGUACUAUGAUGAGCAUGAAACUAGUGCCAAGAAUUCAUUCAACGCGAUCGUUUUCAAGCGACCUUCACUACUUGUAAUUAUAAGAUUGUAACUAUUAGGUGAAACUCCCUCAUAAUCUAGCAUCAUAUUCAUGCAUGAAAACUAAGCGUGCACUCUCAAUCAACAUACACAAAUAAGUUAUCAAUCAAGUAGAUGAACGAAUUGAAUCCGCAACUUAUGAAAUAACAACUGAAUGUAAUCAAAUCAUAUUGCAAGCAUGUACAUGGUUUCGAAUCACCCCCCAACUAAGGGGGUUUAGUUCCUCAUUCUUGCAAUACAAAGAUACAUAAAAUUAGACAUUAAAAUCAAAGGUAAGAAAACACCUAAAAUGCUCCAACUUGGAAAGCAAGUGCAUCAAUGGAUCUCCCUUCCUCCUUGUUGCGGCAUGAAGCUUGUGGACAGAUUUUUGGGUGGAUUUAUGGUGUAGAAUGGAUGGGGAAUGAUAUGGAGGGGUUUAGGGUGAGUGUGGAAGAGUGUUUGAUGGUUGGAAGGUGGUGGAGAACUAGGCAAAGAGGGUGGAAGAAGGUGGAGUGGUGAUUAUGUUUUCUAGGCACUAGAAUGGUGUUUUUGGGGUGUUUUGCUUCCUAGGGUGUGUAUGGACGAAUUUCUGUGAUAAAAUGAUGAAUAUGGGGGAUUGUUCUUUGGCCAAGGGGUGUAAACAUGUAUUUAUAGGCCCCAAAAACCUUAGAAAAUAAGGUUAGGUUAAGGAUGAAAUGCAUGGCAAUUUGUGUGUGUGGUGUGCAAUGGUCCAAGGGUGAAAAUGAAGUAAUGAUGCAAAGUGUGAAGGGUAAAAUGGAGUGGUGUUGUAGCUAGGGAGCAUGAAUGAUUGUGUACAUUGCAUAGAGAUGGAAAUGGAGGUGAAAUGUGUCAACAAAUGGGUCAAAGGUGCAACAACAUGUGUUGCACAUGGCAUUGGAUUCCAAAUGUGAAUGAUGGAGCAUCAAUUGGUGCAUGUAAUGGAUGUAAAGGUUGUCUAAAAUCUAAUGGUGUGAAGGGAACAAGAGGUAUCAAGCAAUUGAGUGAAAUAAUUAAAUGAAUUAAAGCAUGAAAUCAGAAAUUAUGUAGGGGACAAGAGUGAUCAAGCAUGGCAUGGAAUCCAAAGGGAAUUCUAUGUGGUUUGCAUGGCAAGGAAUGCAAGUUGGGGUGACAGAUUUUUGGGCUGUUUUCUUCAUCUUUUGGACCAUAAUUCUUCAUAUUCUUGGCCUCUUUAGUUCUCAAAUUCGUCCAUCCACUUGGCCCAUGCAUUUGCUAUCCAUUCCAAGCCCGAAACAUGCUCCAAAGGCCUCCAAAAUGCAUCUUCUUGCAUACUUUGUACUUAGAGUCUUUCACUUUGCAAGUGGGCUUCUUUGCAUGUGUAUGAGUUGUCAUUGUUUAUCCUUGCAAUUACACACACACACUUGCACACACAUAUGCCCAAAACGUCCAUCCUCAUGCAUGCAAUCCAUUUGAGCCCAAUAUUGAUCCAACAUGCACCAAAAUGCACUUUUCUUGCCAAGGUUGUUAUUAAGACCUACAAACAAAUGAAAAUGGCUUUAAACACUAAAAUAACUAAAGAAACACAACGUAAACACACAAGAACAAGCCAAUUAAGUCGCAUAAAUAUGCUCCUAUCAAAUAGCAUCAUGUAUCGGUGGCAUAAAAAUCUUUACUUCUAGAUGUUGGCACAUGAUCAUGUUGUGCUAGGAUAACACCAAAACCAAUUGGAACCAACUCAAGCUAACCCACAGGAAAUAUAUCAAAUGGAAUGCAAGAACAAAAUAUAAAAGACACCAAGAUUUUAACGAGGUUCCUCAACAGUCAGUGUAACUGGAGUACGUAUUCGGAGCAGUAGCAGCUCAUCCAAUAAUCCACUAUCAACCAAAUGAGAGUUUACAAAGUGUUGGCAAUCUCACAACCUAAAACCCCAAUACACCCAAUAACUUUCACUCACCAAAGAAACAAAUAGAGAGGGAAAUAUAGUGAAUAAUUUCCUCUCUAUACAAAAGCUCAAAACUAAUACACAAAUACAACUUUGAUUGAGUGAGUACCAACAAAGAAAGAAAAUCACCUUUCUUUCUUCUCUUCAAAAUGGGGCUGCAGCACCUCUAUUUUUGCUCUCUAUUUUCUGCUGCGUUUUUCUGCUCUAUGGCUGCCUUACAACCUUUAAUCAAAAGCAGCAAUUACUUCCAAUUAAAACCCUCAGCCGCGGCUUUUCAUAGGCCAAAUAAAAAAAAAAAUUUCUCCAACAUCAUAAUUGCCAUCAUCACAAAGCAAGGAACAUCAUAAUUGAUGUCUCCCUUUUUUCCUUUUUUUAUUAGCCAAAAGAUAUCUAGUAAUUUGGCCAUUUUUUCUUUUGCUUUGUUUAAUAGCUGAAAGUUAAUGCUGAGUUGGCCACUUGGCCACAAUUCAACAAUCUCCACCUUGGCCAAGUUCCGAAAGCGCGAUGAUAAGUCAACCAACACAAUUGACACAAAAAAUCACUCCCAAACACUAGCAAGAGAACAACUCAUGCCGAGCUAAAUGCUCCAAAACUCCUACUGCUCAACGCAUAAUGUGAGCCAAGUUCAAACAGUGAACAAACUUGGCUACACCAACAACCUUAGUCAACAUAUCAGCGGGGUUGUCUUUAGUUGGAAUCUUCUGGAGAAUAAUCUCUCAUUCACCAACGACUUCACGAACAAAGUGAUUGCACACAUCUAUGUGCUUGGUCCUUGCAUGAUGAACCUGAUACUUAGCCAAAUAAAUGGCACUCUGACUAUCACAAUGUACCUCCACCUGCUUCUGAUCAACCCCCAAAUCUCUAAUCAGCCCAUGUAUCCAAAUGACCUCCUUUAUAGCUUCAACAACUGCCAUAUAUUCAGCUUCUGUAGUAGACAAGGCAACAGACGACUGCAAAAUGGACCUCCAACAAACUGGUCCUUUAGCCAUAGUAAACACAUAGCCUGUAGUAGACUUCCUUCUAUCCAGAUCACCUGCAUAAUCUAAAUCAACAUAACCAACUGCAAAAUGACCAAUACCAGAAUCAUCUCUCUCAAAGCAUAAACCAACAUCUCGAGUACCAUGGAGAUACCUUAAUAUCCACUUUGCUGCUUGCCAAUGCUCUUUACCUGGAUUAUGCAUAUAUCGACUUACCAUGCCAACUGCAUGAGCAAUAUCCGGUCUAGAGCAUACCAUUGCAUACAUCAAACUACCAACCAAAUUUGCAUAUGGUAUAUUUUUCAUUUGCAGCUUCUCUUUAUCAGUUUUAGGAUAUUGUAGAGAACUCAAUUUAAAAUGAGGAGCCGAAGGGGUACUAACCGGUUUGGUUGAAUCAUGAACUCCAAACUUCCGAAUCAACUUCUCAAGGUAUUGUCUUUGAUUCAAACUGACCAAACUCUUCGCUCUAUCUCUAGUGAUCAUCAUGCCAAGGAUCUUCUUCGCUUCACCAAUAUCCUUCAUCUCAAACUCAUUCUUCAUUUGCUUCUUCAAAUUUUCAAUCUCUUCAACAUUCUUUGAGGCGAUUAACAUAUCAUCAACAUAUAUCAACAAAUAAAUGAAAGACCCAUCUUGCAACUUCUUGAAGUACACACAAUGAUCAUAUUGACUUCUAGAAUAAUUUUGGCCUCUCAUAAAUUUAUCAAACCUCAAAUACCAUUGCCUUGGAGAUUGCUUCAAGCCAUAAAGUGAUUUCUUCAAUUUGCAAAACAAAUUCUCCUUCCCUUUCACUAUAUACCCAUCCGGUUGACACGUAUAAAUCUCUUCAUUCAAAUCACCAUGUAGGAAAACCGUCUUCACAUCAAGUUGCACAAGCUCAAGAUCAUACUGUGUAACAAGAGCUAACAUAAUGCGAAUUGAGGAGUGCUUCACAACCGGAGAAAAGAUUUCAUUGUAGUCAAUUCCCUCCUUUUGUGCAUACCCUUUAGCAACUAAUCUUGCUUUGAAUCUCACAUUGCUUUUCUCAUCAGCAUCUUCCUUCUUGGCAUACACCCAUUUGCAACCGAUAGCUUUCUUGCCCUUAGGCAAUUUAGCAAACUCCCAAGUCUUGUUCUUCAAGAGAGAAUUCAUCUCAUCACCCAUGACAUUGCACCACCUCUCAUUUUCUUCACUCUCAAUAGCUUCCUCAAAAUUGGAUGGAAUCUCAUCAGUGAUAAUAGGAAGAGCAAAAGAAACAUAGUCACUAUACCGAGCUGGCUUGGUAAUUUGUCUAUUUCCUCUGUUCUUGGCAAUAGACUCUUGAGGUGAAACUUGCUUUUCAACUUGAAUAAAAUCUUCAAGUUCAAUUUCUUCAACAUCCUCAUGGUCUCCAACCUCUUCACUUGUAGUGGCUUCGACAUCAGUGGAAAUAUGGUUUGAAGUAUCGGAGGCAACUUUCUCAAGCUCCACCUGUUGGACAUCUUUCACAUUCUUCUCAGAGCCUUUGUACAUACUUUCUUCAUCAAAUGUCACAUCUCUGCUGAUAACAAGUUUUUUCAUCUCUGGGCACCACAACCUGUAACCUUUGACACCACUACUAAAACAAAAAAAGAUAGCCUUUUUGGCUCUAGGAUCAAGUUUAUUUUCAGUCACAUGAAAAUAAGCAGGUGAACCAAAAAUACGGAUAUAGUCAUAAUCAGAAGAAGGUUUUCCAGUCCAUACCUUCAUUGGUGUCUUACCCUGAACAGCAGCUGAGGGUAACCGGUUGAUGAUGUGACAUGCAUAAUUAACUGCCUCUACCCAAAAUGACUUGCUUAAACCCCGACUGAGACAACAUACAUCUAGUCUUCUCAAGCAAGGUUCGAUUCAAUCUUUUUGCAGCUCUAUUUUGUUGUGGAGUUCCCCGAACACUAAAAUGUCUCACAAUCCCUUCCUCUUUGCAAACUUUAAAGAAAGGGUCGGAUGUGUAUUCACCACCAUUAUCCGAUCUCAAAAUCUUAAUCUUUCUCCCAAUCUGGUUCUCAACCAUUUUCUUCUAACCCAAGAACAUGCUCAACACCUCACUCGUGUGCUUCAUAGUGUAGACCCAAGACCUUCUUAAAUAAUCAUCAACAAAGGUCACGAACCAAUGUCUACCACUCAAAGAGGGAGUCUUUGUAGGACCCCAAACAUCUGAAUGCACAUAAUCAAGAAUGCCCUUCGUCUGAUGUACUGCAGUACCAAACUUUACUCUAGUUUGCUUUCCUAAGAUACAAUGCUCGUAGAAAUCAAGUUUACAAGUUGUGGCACCUUUUAGAAGACCUUGUUUCACAAGUCCUUGUAGAGCUUUCUCACCGGCAUGACCUAAUCUCAUAUGCCACAGUCUAGUAGUAUCUGAAUCAGAUGUGCCUAUAUUUUCUGUGACUACAGACGAUUCACCUGUCACGGUGCUUCCUUGCAAUAAAUCCAAAUGACCACAUCGAGGAGCUUUCAUCACAACAAGUGCACCAUAGGUAACUUUCAAUGUCUGCCCAUUUGAAUGAAACCUGAAGCCCUUGGAUUCUGAAGUUCCCAAAGAAAUAAGAUUUUUCUUCAAAUUCGGUACAUACCGAACACUUGUCAACUCUUUAACCAUGCCAUCAUACAACUUCAAACGAACUGUACCAAUCCCUUUUGUUGUGCAAGGAUUGUCAUCUCCCAUGAACAUAACACCACCAUCAAACUCUUUCAAGCUUGAAAACCAAUAUUUGUGAGGAGUCAUAUGAUGAGUACAACCCGUAUCCAACCCACUUAGUUGCACAAUCAAAUGAUGAGGAAGUGGUUAAAGCAAAAUCAAAAAAAUCUGUUUCAACCUCAGCAACAUUGGCUUCAGAACUUUCUUUUCCUUUGGUCUUUAGCUUAGGACAAUCUUUCUUCCAAUGACCCUUAUUAUGACAAAAGGCACAUUCAUCACGUUCCAAGGUUUUUCUACCUUUAGAGUUUCCACUAGGUCGAGAGUGUGAUUUUUUUCUACUAGUAAAUGACCUCCUCUCUGAUGAUCUACCUCUAACAAAUAAAGCUUCAGAGGUACUAUUAUGAUUUUUAUCUCUAUACCUCAUUUCAUAAUUCAUUAAGGUAUUUGACACAUCUUCAAAUUUCACAGUUUCUUUACCAUGCAUAAUAGUGGUAACAAAAUGCUCAUAAGAGUCCGGCAAGGAAUUCAACAAUAUUAAGGCCUUAUCUUCAUCCUUAAUAUCCUCAUCUAAAUUUAACAAGUUGGCAAUCAACUUAUUAAAAACAUCAAGGUGUCUAAUCAUUUUUGUACCUUCUUUGUAUUGGAAGCGGUAGAGCUUUUUCUUUGAGUGUAGCCGGUUCUCUGCACUCUUCGUCAUAUACUUGUCUUCCAAUUUUUGCCACAACACACUUGUUACUGUCUCCUGCAUCACAAAAUACUUCUGAGUUUUUGCAAGGCACAAUCGAAUUGAAGAGCAAGCCCACAAAUUUAAUUUCUCCCAUUCCGGCUUCGAGAUAGCUUCCGACUUCUCUCCCAAAGCGGCAAGUAGAUCUUGUUGAGCCAACACAUCUUUGACCUCACAUUGCCACAUCCCGAAGUUGUUUGUGCCAUCAAAUUUUUCCAUUUCGAACUUUGCAUUUUGCACCGUAGUUCUUACAAACCUGGAGCUGCUUCCAAAAUGAUUCUCAUCUUGCCCGUCUGACAUCUUUGGCAACUAAACAGUACCCAAGAGCAACCAGUGCUCUGAUACCAAUUGUUGUGCUAGGAUAACACCAAAUCCAAUUGGAACCAACUUAAGCUAACCCAUAGGAAAUAUAUCAAAUGGAAUGCAAGAACAAAAUAUAAAAGACACCAACAUUUUAACGAGGUUUCUCAACAGUCAGUGUAACUAGAGUACGUUCUCGGAGUAGUAGGAGCUCAUCCAAUAAUCCACUAUCAACCAAAUGGGAGUUUACAAAGUGUUGGCAAUCUCACAACCCAAAACCCCAAUACACCCAAUAACUCUCACUCACCAAAGAAACAAAUGGAGAGGGAAAUAUAGUGAAUAAUUUCCUCUCUAUACAAAGCUCAAAGCUAAUACACAAAUACAACUUUGAUUGAGUGAGUACCAACAAAGAAAGAAAAUUACAUUUCUUUCUUCUCUUCAAAAUGGGGCUGCAGCACCUCUGUUUUUGCUCUCUAUUUUCUGCUGCGUUUUUCUACUCUAUGGCUGCCUUACAACCCUUAAUCAAAAGCAUCAAUUACUUCCAAUUAAAACCCUCAGCCGUGGCUUUUCAUAGGCCAAAUAAAAAAACAAAUUUUUUCCAACAUCAUAAUUGCCAUCAUCACAAAGCAACAUCAUAAUUGAUGUCUCCCUUUUUUCUUUUUUUUUUUAUUAGCCAAAAGAUAUCUAGUAAUUUGUCCAUUUUUUCUUUUGCUUUGUUUAAUAGCCGAAAGGUAAUGCUGAGUUGGCCACUUGGCCACAAUUCAACAGAUCAUGCAUCGAUCGAUAUACGUAUGGACAAUGCAUGCCCUACCAUGCAAAUUAUGCCAAGAACAACAAUCGAUCGAGUGACCAGUGGUGGAAGGGCUAGGAAUAUUAGCAAGCUGCAUUUUCUCACUUCCCACUCACUUGUUUGAGCAUACCGACUAAAUGUGCUUGUUUCUUCUUGACUUGUGGAUAUAUCCAAAGGUCAAUAUGGAUGCAUGGCAUGUGGUGUAGGUUAACAAUUUUUUUUUCCUUGUGACCAGAACACGAGUGGUACACCACUUGUUUUUAUAUAAGUGAUGGGAAAUUUUAUUUUUUAAGUUAUUAACUUUUUAACACACAUAUCACAACAAUUAUAUAGUGACAAGUGGUGUAUCAUUCCGUGUUCCGAUCACACUGAAAAAUCUCUAGUAGGCCAGGAGGUUUUUCUUCUUUUUAAAAGCAGUAUCUCUUGGAAAAGUUAGACAUGGAAUUGAUACCACAAUUAAUAUGCUUUUGUGCCGUCAUUCCCUACAAGGCUACAACCAAAAAUUGCAUGAAGUAAAAAUUACCUUAUUUCGCAACAUUUCUUCAACUGGCUACUGGCUCUCUAGUUUUCAGUUGUCAUCAUGGUCGAAGUACGUAAGCUGGGUCGGAUCAUUUUCUUCUUUGAGCAGAUAUGAUUUAGGACGAUAACCAUCGGGCCGGGAUUACCAUCAAUGAAGGCUAUUGCACAUGUUAUGCACUAAGAAAAGGUUGCAAGCGGUUAUUGGUGUAGAGCUACCGGCUGCCUCAUAGUACAAAUUUUUUAACUUGAACCGCUUAUUUUUUUAAUCAUAAUUUAAGAUUAUAUGUGCAAGAUCAAUGCACUUGGAGAUCAUUCAGUACAUCUAUAUGUAUCAUAAAUGAAUGGCAAGUUUGUUAUGAUAUUAGUUGUUGUCCAAAUUAUCGAUUUGACACAUAUAUAUAGAUGAUUAAACAAUUUUUAAGUUGAUUAUUUAUUUUUUUUGGCAAAGAUAAUAUCAAAUGAUGUUUAAAAGCAUAAAGGGUUUCAAUUAUGAAAUUUGUACGAUAAAAUACCUUAAUGCAAGUGUGUGAAUAAGGUGAUUCACUCAUGCAGUGUGCUCACCAAUUUACACUCGAGUUGAAUUCCCCCUUCAUGCAGUUUAGUACAAUUAGUGUAGACACUUGUAUAAAAAAAAAAACUUUAAACCUAGGUCUAUGGUGGAUAUUUUAUUCAAGUUUGUUUUCUUAUACAAGCGAUACUAAGUGAGAGAGAAUCAAACUCAUGACCUCAACUACAAAAAUGGUGAAUGCUCUUAGCCAAUUGAGUUACAAGUUCUUACUACUUAUACCCAAUUUGUCAUCUAACCAAGCACUAAUUAUAAGGCAUCAACAAUUCCAACGUCCAUUCAGCUAUUUAUACGAUUUUUACAGUGGGCUGAGUCAUCAGUAAUAAGUUGAAUUGUUGACAUCUCAUGAACUGAUUACUAUAAAAUAGUGACUCACAACUAUUAAACUCAUCAUACCACUAUAAAUACAAUGUUAUAAUGUUAUAAGAACAAACUCACCUUAAACCAUUUUGGAACGCCAAACACAAAAUGCCAACUGAUUGAACUCUUAAGUUUUUUUAUUUUUUUUAACAAACAAUAUUAUCUACACUAAAGGGGAAAGGGGUGGGCUUAGUCUCACAAUGGGCUAGCAGUAAUGUGGUUCAAAUUUGCCUUUGGCGAAAAUCGAACUAAGACUUCUCACUUACAAAUGAAAAAGAAUAAUAUUAGACCGUAAUACUAGGUGACAUGAUUCAACUCAAAGUUAAAUAAUACAUUGACCCCAAAUGAGAAACUCAUUAUUCUUUGUCCUUGAAAUAUUGGUUGGACAUCAAUUCUGGCCCAAGCCAAUCUUUCUAAUUAAAUGAUUGGGUUGGAUUGGAACUUCACAAGUCCAACCAAAUCCCACUAGAUCAAAACUACUAUCCAUCCAAUUGACAAACCACUACUACCGACAUGUUAUAAAUUAGCAAAACGCCAACCGUGCAAAGGAUCACUUAGGAGAGGGAAAUCUGCAUUUUCUUCUUCAGAUCAACUUUCCCUAGAAAAUGAAGGAAAAAGGAUGCAGUGCAUAGAUAUGGCAGGAUAUGGAAAAACUUUUCUCUGUAUUUAGAAACAUGUGAUCAACUUUUCCAGGGAAGAAUACUAAUGCAUGUAACGGAAGAUGUAGUGCUUAUCCUAAGCUAUCCAAAAGGAACCUAAAGGCAUGAUGAUAUCAAACUUCAAAGAUUUAAAUUCCUUUAAGGGGUAAUUGGAGCAAUGGUUUAUGAAUAUUAGCUCAAUUAGAGUUUUGGUUCUUGAGCUAAAAAUCCGUGAGUACUAGUCCCAUAACUUGUUAUAAGAUGGAACAGUAUCAUUUUUGCCUAACUCUGUUAGAACUUUCAACCAAAAUAAAGUAAAAGGACAAAAAAUAGAUGAAAAUCUUAACGAAGUUAGCCAAAAGGACAAUUGCUCCACAUUAUAACAAGUUCAUGGAUCAAUACUCACAAAUUUUUAGUUCCGACCAAAACUCCAAUUGGACCAAAAUUUAGGGACGAUUGCUCAAAUUCUCUCUCUCUCUCUCUCUCUCUCUCUCUCUCUCUCUCUCUCUCUCUCUCUCUCUCUCUCUCUCUCUCUCUCUCUCUCUCUCUCUCUCUCUCUCUCUCUCUCUCCAACUACCGUGUGUUCAAGAUAAUGUGAUUCAAAUAUUGUAUCCUAACAUUACUUACACGUCCUAAACAUCAUACUUUUAAGCCCUUCAUUGGUUAAUUAUAAUCAUCCAAUUAAAGUAUCUGGUCGGCAGUUUUGACAAAAAAAAAAAAAUAUGUAUCUGGUCGGCAGAGCUGAAAGGAAGGGAUUAUUCAGUACCUAACUUGAUGCCAUCUUUAUCCAAUUAAUUAACUAAACGAAGUAAUUAGCAUAUGUUUGUAAGAACAAAUAAGAAGCCUGAGGAAUCCUCAGGUUGAUAUUUUUCAUAACAACGCUACACCGAUUGACCAUGUGGAAUAUCCUUUGCUAGUUGCCAUGUUGAUCACGAGUUAUUCUUUUGAUCCCAAGUACAUUUAAAAAUAAAAUUUAAUCACCUUUAGCACACGUAAGAAUAACUUGAAGUAAUGAGAUCUGUGGUCUUAAAGAAAGUGGUCAAGUUUGCUUAAAUGUAUAAGUUAUUUGUAUUUACUUGUUUUCUUAAGAAAUCUUGACGGUACAAAGGAUAUUUUGUUUAUAAGAAAUGAUAUGUAUCUUAUUCUUGACCCAUGUUUAUUAUCAUACUAGGCUCACCAAUACUUCAUUUUGUUCCAAAUUGAGCAAAACAUUGAACUUUUACACAUAUAAAGUUUAGUAGUGUUUUUUAUUAACACAUUUCAAUUAUAACUAAUCUUACAACCAAGAAAAAUAAUGGUUCCAAAGUUCUUAUAUCUUAUUGCAUUUGGUACCGAUUUCCUUGAAAGAUUUCAGCGAAGACAGGCACACAUGCAAUAUUGUGUAAUCUAGUCUUGUUCUAAACUUUUAAGGAGUCAACUAUUUUAGGUAAACUGGCAUAUCCUCCUAUGAAAGCCCCAGUUGAACCAAAAGAAAGAUUUCCACGGGCUUAGAUUUGGCAAGAUGUGCACUUGGGGUCGAAGUUUCUACCGUCGAAAUGAUGCACCCAUGUGUCAAAAUACAGGGGAGAGGUGUAUACAAUGAAGGGCACAUGGGGACCGAGACAAGUGAUGGGUUUUUUUUAAUUUUUAUUUUUUUUUUGUAACUCACAAGCGAUGGGUUUAGCAUUGAAUCAUUGAUGAAUAAUGCUACACUUACCAUUUAUUUGUAUCAUAUCUCUAAUAAAGAUAUGGUCCGCCAAAAUAUGCGGAUCUCAUCUCUAUUAAAGAGAUUGUAUAAGUAGAUGGUAAGAAUAACAUAAUGAUGCAUGCAAAUCACUGAAAAACAUUCCCCAAUAUAUAGCAUUAUUAAUUCACAUAUUAUAAAAGAUAUAUUACAUACUUAAUAUUUCAUGCACUUAUAAUGUAAAUUAAAAUGGUUAGAUACACGUAUUAUACUAUGAAUGUGUUAUGAAUACAAAAAACUGAAUACAGUCCAACCUUAGCGCUAACUCUAGUUUAUUUUUUCUCUCCUUUUGGGUUUAUAAAUAGCGAGUGAAACCUUCAGUCUCUCCACAUCUGCAAAUCUUCACGUGCCCUUUCCUGCUUCCUAUCUGCCCUCCCUCCAAUUUUAUCUCUGAAGUUGUUGGUUUCUGAAUUCUGAUCGGUAUUCUAGGAACCUUAUCCAAUUUCUGCUUCCGAGUCUUUGACCGUCAAGAGAUAACUAUCAACAACUAUCAAAAAGCGGGAGUUAUAAUCUGUUCGUUGGUUUACAAAACUGAAAGCAGCUUUUUGCAACAUACCAACUUUAGCUUCAGUUUUCUAAUUCAUCACUACUAUGGAGAACAACAAGAAAGUGGGAAGUGGUGGAAGCCAUGUCUCUUCUUCUCCAUCAUCAAGGAAUCUGGACCAUCUCUUUGGUCCCAAAGACUCCUCUUCAUCUUCUUCUUCAUCAUCCUCCUCCGGAUUAUUUGGCUCUCUUUUCCCACCAGUCCCAUCUGUAAGAUUGCAAGAACCUGAUGAAUUCCUUGCAGAGAAUCAGAAGAAGAAAAAGGAGACAAGUUGAACUUCUAGAGAGAGAAACUGAGAAAUGCUUUUGUAUUGACUUUUAUUAACUAACUCAAUUUAACAGUACAAGUUGGUGUUCAUACAAUUUUAUUUGCUUACACAAUAAGUAAUCUAACAGACUAACUAUUACAAUUCUUAAUCCUUUGACAAGUGUCAUCAUUUGAAGCUUCCUCUUGAUCUUGAGUCUUUACACCUUUAGACCAUCAACGGUAUAUGCUUAUUAUUUAUUUAAGAUUAUCAUUUGAUAAUCAUUUCAUUUUCAGUUUCAUUUUUCAAAAAACUGAAAACUUGUUCAGCAAUUGUUUUCAAAGCUGAAAGCUAUUUCUUGAGUUUUUAAAAUUUGACUUAGGUUUUGGUUUUCACACUUUUUUUUUUUUUUUUUUUUUAAACUACAAUGAUUAUCCAACAAAUCCUUGGUAUUGUCAGGUUUUCGAUGCGAGACAUACAUUCGUUAACAAAUUACAAUUUUUUUUUUUUGGUUAACGUGUGGGGUUAGAUGACAAUUGAGUUACAAGCUCUUACUACUUAUAAGCGGUUCUACUUAUACCUCAACUAUAAAGUUUUUACGUAUAUGUAUAUGUGUGUGUCUAUAUAUAUAUAUAUAUGUAUGUAUAUGUGAUUUUUCUUACAACUGCUUUUAUAUAUUAUGAUGUGACAUGUCAUGUUUAACUUUACAAAUAGACUUUUUGUACAUUUUAUGCUUGUAAUAUUAUUUGUGAGCAUAAACUGGUGGCAUGACAUCCUUGUGUUUUAUCUGCUCACUCCCCAAUCCCGACAUUCGUCCACGAUUGACACGUGACAUCACCAAUUAGAUGUAUAUUUAACAUACCCCGCCUCCGGGAUAUGUACAAAGCACAACUCACGAUCCAACUGCGUAGUAAUUUUUCGUACACUUCAUGGCUGCAUCUAACCUCCUUGUUAGAUUGCUUAUGUACCCUAAACAGGGAUCAAGCCAUUUGUAGUUCGUCUUUCACUGCACUUGAACAAUCAUCACAUAAAUCAUUAUGUCUCAACAUAAUACCACGAUUUAGGUAUGCAACAUCUCAAGGAACAUUCGACGAAGCACAAUAAUAUUCUCCAGUCAUCUUGCCAUUCACACACACAUAUGCUUUCAAACACCAUUCAAUAAUCACAACAAUCAAUAACACAUACAAUACAUUGAAAUGUAGGGCUCAAGUGACACUGUUCGGCCGAAGCCUAUAUCUCUGAAGCUGAAAUCGAAUCCAAGUAACCAACAAGUCAAAUGAUGCGAUUUCGGACCACUUAACGAAAUCCAUCAACAUUAGGUUUCGGACCACUCAACGAGCUUGUGGAGUAUAAGGGAUUCCGAACCUCUUAAUGGAAUUCGAUUGGAUACGAUUCCAGACCAUUACUCAACAGAAUUGCUGAGUAGAAUGCAUAACGAAGCACUCAAUGAAACUCAAGCUGGAUACGAUUCCGGACCAUCACCCAAUGGAAUCGCAGAGCAGAAGAGAUUCCAGACCUCUCAAUGGAAUUAGAUUGGAUAGAUUCCGGACCAUCACUCAACGGAAUUGCGGAGUAGAAUGCAUAACGAAGCACUCAAUGAAACUCAAGCUGGAUACGAUUCCGGACCAUCACCCAAUGGAAUCGUAAAGCAGAAGGGAUUUCGGACCUUUCAAUGGAAUCCAAGUGGAUACGAUUCCGGACCAUCACUCAACGAAACCUCAACAAAAACCCAGUUCCGAAUCACUUAACGGAAUCGAAGAAACAAUACAAGAACCAAGUACUUAAUUAGAAAGGGCUGAACGAAACAAGAAGUGAAAUAAGGAAGCAAUAUGUGAAACAAGUGUCGAAGCAACAAACCCCAGGAUAAUGGGUUAAUAGUCCACUACUAGCCCUCACAUUUUAUCACAUCACGCCAAUCAUACAACGCAAUCACAUUUCAAACAUGCAAGUCAAAUCACUUUUCAUAAAUGUUUCCAAUCUAUAGCCAAAUCACAAUUAAGGAUCAUUAAAUGAUGGCUAAGUAUAAAAAUAACAAUUCAAUGAAAAUCACAUAUAUUAUAGUCACUAGUACGUAAAUCGAGACGCACGUCAACCAAGGAAGACAAGUCAACCCGAUGAGCUCACUAAGCUCCAUGAGUUCUCAACAACACUCUAAGAUAAUGACAUGCUAGAAUAACUCAAACUAGUUGACUAAAAGCUUAACCGUCGAUCAAGGUCGAGAGUAGGGUCCACAAUCCUAGAAAUCUAAACUGGAAGAUCUGCUUAUCAGAUUUCUAAUCUGUAACUUCCUACGAGUCUCACUACUCUUCUAGAACAACAUACUAAGAUUUUAUUACGAUCCAUCGGUUGGAUCUCCAUCAAUUUCUAAGAUUAAGUGUCGGUCAAUGUUUGACUUAACAAACUUAGAAAUCCAAUUCGGGAAGAUUCGUAAGUUCCUAUUGUCCUCAAAUAUUAUGAAUAAUACCAUAUUAAAGUUUGGUAACGAUCCAACGGUCGAAUCGUCAAUGCCUAUAAUAACUAAGUGACGACCAACUAGGCAGUCAAUUUCGAAACUAUAUUAAAACAUCGAAAUUUCAAUAAACAGAUGUCGAAUAUGGAAUUGGGGUAUCAAAAUUAGCCUAGGAAGGUCAGGUGGGGUCUCAGCCCACGCGCCGCCGCCAGCCUCCUCGACUCGCCGGAAAAUUCAACUAUUUCAAAAAAUUAUCAAAUUUCACAAAAAUAUAGAUCUUAGUGAGUGGAGCAAGUUUCAUACAUGUGACUAAGGCUAAUUUGGCCUAGAAAAGCUUCAAUUUCUCUCGAACCCGCCAGAAACCCUUGAAUUUGGUGGUUUCGAUCCGUCACCUUCGGUGCUCCGCCGCCCUUACAGUUGUUUGGGCUUUGUUCCAAGCCUCAAGAAGAGUGUUUUGGUGGUGGUAAUUGAAGGAAAACGUUUCACAUUUGGUGGAUUUCGGCCUGGUUCCUCGCGGCACCCACAGUGUAAACCUUCAUGAAAUCACAAUCAAUUUCCAUCGAUUUUAGCUAGAAUUGGAUGUUGUGAAGUGGUGAUGAAUUUUGGUGGUCACGAGAGGUUGAAGAAAGCCAGAAAAUUGGACGGAAAAGCCAUCGGAAUAGUCAUAAAGGGCGAAUCGGGUCACGGGUACAUGGAUCACAGAAGGGGGAAAUCACGUUGGGUGUUUCUCACCCUCUCUCAUUUCUCUCCCUACUUUCCCUUCCCAUUGGCUUCCUUCCUUCCUUUUUUUUUAUUCUUUUCUUUCAAUCCUAGCCAUUCAUCUCUUUCUUUUCUCCAUCACACCCAUCCACGUGGCACUUCCAGAUUAUCUAAACGUUCCAGAUUAUGGUCAAAUGACCAUUUUGCCCAUAAUUUUGUUCGUUAAUAACUCAUUCGUUAUAACUCUAAAUUACGUUCCGUUUACGCUCAUGCGCUCGUAUCGACGAAUGCUAUCCAAAUACAUAAAUUAUGGGCAAAAUUAUGGGCAUCCCCUGAUGCAUGUGAACUACACGGGAUUUCACAGUCACUUAGUUAUUUGUACUAUCGUGGGCCAAGGACUAGCUUCACGUGUAGUUCACAUGCAUCGUUUACAUUCGCUUUGGAUCUAGAGUUAGGUGUCAGCCUGUCAUUUUGUGUGAUGUUUUGGACUCUUAUGUGAUGCGACUAGCGCAACUCAUAUGAUAUAGUACUAGAAUGUAAAACCUACACCCAUUCUGUUUCAUUGUUUGAAUACUCUGCAAUGGACUUGUGUGCCUACAUAAAUUAAUGAGCAUUGAUUUCUUAUAAUAAUGAUUUGAGAUUUGAUGUUGAGAUACCUUGUUGAUGUUUAGAUUUGUGAUGAAGGAUACCUAUUACAUACUAUUAUUAUAAUAUUUUUGGGAAACCAUAUACUUGUUUUAUAGCGAGGGGUUACACUUUUCGAAAAGGUUUUACAAAAUUUUAUUUUCAGGCCCACUCACCCUUGUUUUUCACCCUUCCAGGAUUUUAGUGGUAGAGGUUUCGUGACGACAAGGAUUGUUAGUAAAAGCUGUUACGUAGGAGACUUCUCUUUUCGGUAUAAAUGUCCUUACUCUUAUUUUAUUGCAAUUUAUCUAUGCUCUGACAUCACUUGUGUGAUACGGGUUCAAUCCCGCUCACUUGCGCACUCUAAAAUAGUCACUUUUAUGUUUUAAUUUAUUCACAUUUUUCACAUCACUACACUUUAUGGCUUCGUCACCUUCCAUGUGUCGGCCAAUACAUUGCAAUUCGGGCGUCCAGGUGGACAGUCCGGGUCGGGGUAUAUCAACUAUGUAAGGAACAUUGUUAUCAUGUAAAGGAACCGGAUCCCCUCCUGAGUAAAGGAUCUGGGCCGUUGAAAUUUGAUUCAAUGACUACAAACAGGUGGUCACUCUAAAAGUUAUAAUAAUUGCAGCCGUUAGAUCAAAUUUCAAUGGCCUAUGUGAUUUGCUCAAGAGGCUCAACUUUCUAAGCUCAGAACGGGAUCCGGUUCCUCAUGUAAAUUUUUGUUAUUAAAUGCAUAUGAAUCUUGACAUUUAAUUUUUUUCCAAAUCCCCAUAAGGUAUCUGAAGACAUUUAAUUGAAUGAAAUAAUGUAAAAUAAAUGUAGAUAAUAAGUGAGAGACCCAAAGUAAGUGCUAUUAGGGGUAAUUUAGACAUCCAAAAUAUGCCAAGUCAAACUUAAUUAUGGAUAUUGCUUAGUUGGAGCCUAGUCAUUGAGUUUUUGUUAAAGAAAUUUACCAUGAUGGAUUUUAGUUAAAGAAAAAUGAAUUCCAAUUAGUGUACUCAUAUUUUCAGAUUAAUUUACAACAAUAAGCAUUCAAAAAUUUUGGACUUUGUCUUUACACAGAUUAAGUUCCCCAUCGAUCAUAUGCGCUCACGUAAUUUUAUUUUAAUCGUUCUAUAAUAGAGAAUUAAGUACAUAAAUGUUUGAGGUUGUUUCUCUAUUUGCUUCAUAUUGUAGGGAAUUAUUAUGAACAUAUAUGAUCGCAAGAGUCAAUUGUCUCCUAUAAUACAUGGUACAGACAACACUAAUACACCCUGACCUAGAUAUCGUUCAGUAACAAUAAAACUUAUGAGGUAAGUUUCCCAUCGAUCAUAUGCGCUCACGUAAUUUUAUUUUAAUCGUUCUAUAAUAGAGAAUUAAGUACACAAAUGUUUGAGGUUGUUUCUCUAUUUGCUUCAUAUUGUAGGGAAUUAGUAUGAACAUAUAUGAUCGCAAGAGUCAAUUGUCUCCUAUAAUACAUGGUACAUACAACACUAACACACCCUGACUUGGAUAUUCAUGUGAACAUCACGAUCGCGGCAUUGCUGUGCAACACCUAAAAAUGACGAAAUCAUAGUAUAAAAGUGAUGUGUAAAAAGUACGAAUAAAAGAUUGAAAAUAAAACAAGAAUAAAUGUGUGCAGUAAAAGUGAUGAACUUUAAAUAAACUAAUUAAAUAAAAAUCAUAGCAUCUCAAUAUCUACAAAGAAAGUGUACAACGUAACACGUCUGAAGAUAAUAACUAUAAAAAUACUAAGACUAAUCACUACACGGAUGAGAGAAGAUUAUGCUACCAUGCCUCGACAUCGAGAGCUCCAAAUCUUACUAAAUUUUGGAGGAGCGCAAAAUAGAGAAUGUUGACGGAUACAAAUAAAGAUGUCUAAAUAUUUUUUUUUUUAACAUACUAACACCUCGAUGUAAAAACCCAUAGGAGAGGUACAUGCAUUACCAGCAUGCAAAAGCUACCCUUUGAGUUUAUAUUAAUUUUUUAUCCAUGUAAUCAAACUCGUUGUUAAAUUAAUAAUUAUAUAUUUUAAUGAGAAAGACAUGGCCCAAUUUAGAUUGAGUUUUUCCUCAAAUUUUAAGUAGCUGAUUCAUAAUUUUUCGUGCUUAUGAUAGAAAUUGAUUAUAUUACAUAUAAAUCAUUACGUAAAGAUUAUCCGUAAAAAAAAAAUCAAUCAGGAUUAAGGUUGUUUAAUCAAUCAAUUAUAACAAAUAAAUAAACGGUUCAUUUACUGAAUCCAUCCAUUUAUUUUUAUACAUUCUGGUCGUUAAAUGAUCUCAUAUUUAAGUGACUUUUUUACAAAUAUGAUCUUUACAAGGUAAUUUAUAACAUGAACAAUUUUAAUCAUAAAAAAAAAUUCCGUGAAUUAGCCACAUAAUAAAUUGAGAAGGAAUUCCUUCUCAUCCACUGAAGAGCCAAAUGCAUUUCUAUUUUGAUUUGGGCCUCAAUUCUCAUGUCAAUUACUUUGAUUUGAUAAUACUAUUAGUUGAUAAUUGAAACAAGAGUUAAUUUCAGUUUAUUACUUGAAAGGUUUUUUAUUUUCAACAUUUGGUGUAUUAAGUUUUUUUUAUUCUAGAGUGGUACUUGAAGUCAUAAUUCUGGAACACUUUCAUACAUUUGUUAAAGUUAUUUUUAAAUGAGUCGUUAACGAGUGAUACGAGGUCUACGUGAAUAAUGACAGAAGGCCACGUGUUAAUAUAAGAUCCACAUAAAUAUUAAAAAAAUAAAAAAUUAAUUAUUACUUCGAAAACAACGAACCAGUAACUGAUGGAAUUGGUGAUUUGAACAGGUGCGAAAGAAGAAAGAAAAAGGAAUAAGCAGAGGCCUGGAAAGAAAAGGUAGAAAUAGAGGUCCAAAAGGAAUUGAUUCUUAGAGGGGGUGGGGUGGCGGUGGAAGAUGGUGGGGGUUUUGGGGACUUAAGGAUUUGGUGCAUUGCAGACCUCUAGUAAGCCCUUUUAUGCAAUUCUGCAUCGAGUUGAUGUUGGCUUAGUAAUGGAUUUGGAAUCAGUAAGUCCAUCUAAUGUUCCAGUGACUGCUGCGGGAGCACCGACAUCUUAUAACCUUGCAGCCAAAGCCAUCUCAAAAUUGUAGUCUUUGCUAAGCGGGGAUAUAUCAUUAUUAAAAAAAUAUGGUUUUGGGUUCAACCACCGUCGUCUCUGUCCGCUGGGUUUGGCUAUUCACCGCCGUGAAAUUUGGUAGGUGUGGCUCUCCACCACCGUCUGCUCUAGCUUCUCCGGCCACUGAGUUUGGCUCUCCACCGCCGUCAAAUCUGGUAGGUAGGGCCCGGAGGUUUGAGCUCACGAUGCCGUCCGUCCUCGCUCUAGAAUCGUCCCAGUUCCGAUAUUUUCCUCCACAGUCCAGUGGACCCCAACGCCUUCAAAUUCUCGUUCCUCAAGUCGUCACCAAGGAUGACCGCAGUAAAAUCUAGAAAUGGGUCGGGUGAGGGAGAGGUGGUGAGGGUAUGGAGGGAUCAGGGGAUAAAGGAGGGUUGAGUCGAAAAUGGUGGGAGAGGUGACACGUGGCCGUUCAGUUAUGUUCAUAUGAGAGUCACGUUAGUAGUUAACAGGUGAUUUAACAAUAAUCUUAACAAAUGUAUAAAAGUGUCAUAAAAUUACUUCAGCUACCACUCUGAAAUGAAAAAAAGAAUAAUUUAACAUACCAAAUGUUGAAAACUAAAAACUUCAGAAUAGGACACUGAAAUUAAUACUUGAAACAAACAUUUACUCCUUAUAUAAAGGCACUGAAGAAAAAUCCCACAACACUAUACAUAUAUUUUUAUAGGAAAAGGAUCCUCACCGGAUUCUUUUCUUAGAGAUCCUAGAGAUUCUGUGAUUAUGACCGUUCAUCGUAUAUUGUGCAGUCAUUUUUCGUUAAUUACUAUUUAUAUUUAAUUUCACAAAGAACCUCUAUUUUUAUAAUUAUUUUGGGUAAAUUACACAAAACUACCUAAACUAUAAGUCAAACCACGAUCUCAUAUCUCAUGUUUUAAACAUUACAAUCUCAUACAUCUACUUAUGAAUUCGUUACAAUGUCAGACAUCCGUUAAAUUUUCUGUCAAUUUAGCUGUUAAAUGAUGAUGUGGUAGGAGUGGGCCCGUUCUUAAAAUAAAAAAUUAAUUAAUUAUUAAUUAUUUAACAAUUAAAAUUAAUUAAAAAAACAAAAAAGUUAUCUCUCCCUUCGUCCUCCCUUCCUUUCUCCCCAGAACUCCUUCGUACCUCGGGGCCAAAAUCUCCAAAUUCCCCAAUUUCUCAGCCCAUCAUUGCUAGAGUUUCUGUAAUACCCCGUAUUUAAAAAAAAAUGGUUAUAUAUAUAUAUAUAUGGGUGUAUGUUGGGUAAUUAUUUUUACGUAAUGAUUUUUUUUAUUUAUUUUUAUGCGAGAACCUAUUUUCGGUAUGUAAAAUAGUUUUAAUGUAAAAUCAUUUUUCCUACAAAUUAUUUUUUAAAAAAAACUAGCUAUUUCAUGUUCAAAUGUAAUUAGAGAUAUUUUUAGUUUGAAUUGGAGAAGGGAGAUUAAAUGAGUUUGGUUUGAUUUUCCUCACAAGGGGCCGAGAGUUUGAGGUUGGACUAAGUGAGUAAUUUUGUCUUGAUAUUUUCUCUCAAAGAUGAGGUGGAGAGUUUGUAACAUUAGGAGUUAAUGAUUUGGUGAUUACUCACCACUCUAAAUGUGAAGGUGGAAGUCUAAUCAAGGGUGAGUUGGCAAGUUUGUGUUCAUUAGGAAUCUAAGAGUUAACUGUUUGGUGAUGAUUCUCCUCCAAAGUUUGAAGAGGUGGGAUUCAUAUUCCUUAGAGAUGAACUUGGCCUUGGAUGCUUGUAUCCACCUUGCAUAAUAUUGAUUAACUUCACACAUGUCUCUUUGCCAUUUGAACACAUAUUAGAGCUAAGGCUUUGCUUAACAUUUGUUGUUUGUCUAUUGGACCACAUUUCAUUGUUAAUGAUGAGAACAACACUUGGAGACUUGGUAUUGGAACACGUAUAAUGGAACUACAUUUGGUGACUUGCUAUUCAAACACAUGUGCCAUGAAUCAUGAAGAAAAGAAGCAAAACAAGGUCAAUCUAUACGUAUAGAGCUUCAAAGAGAAGAAAUUCAAGGGAAGGAACACAAACACUCAUUAUAUAAAGGAGGAGGAGAGAGCAUGGAAAAGGGGGAGAAAAGGGGAGCAACAAUUGUCUUUCUCAUAUCAUUGUUUUAUUUUUUCAAGGCUUCUUAGCCAUUGUCAUGUAUUCAUAAAUUCUCAUUACCUAGUGAAAUACAAAUACAAACACAACCCUAUUGGACAUAGCCAAAUUGGUGAACCACUUAAAUCUUGUGUUGUUUAUGCAUUUAUAUUUUGGAGGUCAUUGCCAUAAGAACACUCCCACCAAACCAUAAAAAAUAUCCAUUUAUUUUCCCUUGAGAAUGAUGUACAAAAGUGUGAGACAAAUCUCUGAAAAUACAUGAGACCUUAUCCAACAAAUCUCUCCAUCAAACUACUAUCAUUUUCAUCUAUCAAAAGAAAGAUAUCCAAAACUAGAAAUUCAUCCAGCCUAUUUAAAAGAUCAAAACACCAUCAUCCAUAUAUUAUAUUAUAAUACUUCCUUCAUGAGAGUUCUUCGUCUGUCUCUCUACCAUGAUAUAUAAAAAUGUCAGAAACAUCCAAUGGUGUGAUCGCCCAAUAUGUCUGAAAUACCAACUCAUGUCUCUAAUCCCACAGAAAACUGGACAUCCAUGUUAUGAGCACCAAAACCUCAUUUUUCGUAACUCGAAUCGAAAUACUUCAUUCACAAAAGUUGUUCCUUAUCAUCUCCUCUAUAACAUAUCCAAAAAGCACAACAAUCGAAUCUAUGUGCUGACUUCUUUCCCAGUUCGAAUAGCUGAUUGUUUCAGCUAUAUUAAAGAAGAAGUAGAAGUGGUGGGCUAAAAUAAAAAUAAAGAUUAUGUUUGGAAAGGGAAAAGCUAGAGACAUAAUUUCAUGCCUUGUGUCAUUUGAGACAUAUAUUUCACUCUAACAAUUAUUUUCUCUAACAUGGAUUCUUUUCUAAUAAAAACAGGUCGCCCGACCAAGAUGGACGAGACGAUGAACAAAUAUAUAUGGAGUGGUCCACGAGCAACAUUUUAUACGAUGAAUUAGAGAUUAUUAUUUUGUUAAUAUUAUGAUUAUAUUACCCUUGUUACUAAUCAAUUUGAUUUAUGUUGAAGUUGCAGGCUUGUUAGAUAAAGUGUGAGUAUUGAUAUCUAUGUGAACAUGACAUAUACAUAUGCAUUGCAAAGCAAGAAAAAGAGUUGUGUUGUGUCAAGUGCUCAAUUGUGCAAAGUGUUUAAGUUGUGAGGAUAUGCAAGGGCUAAAGUUUUCCUUGAAUAUAAAAUAAUGAACUGUGUAUAUGUCAGGCGUAGGGUGCAAAGUUUGAGUAUACAUUUGGGCGUCGGGGGAAGUGUCUGUUUAAUAAAGUGGAAAUUGAGAGUUUAAUUAUAAAAAUUGGGUUAAGGGAUGAACGGGAGUUAACUCAUAUUCGAACAUACUCGGAGCCAAGUGGUAUAAGCAUGGUAUGGGACGUGCAGGCUUGGGUGCCUUUGGUAUGUGUUGACGGGAUUAGAAGGGAGCGAGUACUUUCAUACAUCUCAUUGCAUAUAUUUUAUGUAUUUUCAAGAGCUACUUAUUUCAAUUAUUAUUUUAGUUGGUAUUUUUGUUAUGAAUUAAUUUUGUAUACUAAUAUUUGUUACAAUUUAAUUAUUAUUUUGUUAGUAGUUUUUGUUGUGAAUUAAUUUGUGUACUAUAGUUAUUUCGCUGCGUAUUCAAAUAAUUUUUAUGCAAGAUUUUGUCGAUGAAAGGUGUAAUUGUUAUAAUUUUAUUUUAUUUUAUUUUCCACCAUAUCUUGGUUGUAGAAUUUAUUUCUAUAGCUAAGAUAUGACUCACACCCUAGCUCGUGGAUGGUCUUUAUUCGUGAGUCGGGGCGUGACAAUUUCGGCGGCGCUUCUGGCAAAGAAUAGGUUGAGCUCUAAUUGAUCAGAAUUUCUCUUUUACAGAUCGUUGUUUUUGUUACAUUUUGAUCUCGGUUCUUUUUGAUCUUCACCGCAUCUGCAUCUCGUCUAUAAACGGAGAGGAUGAGGUGGUUGGGAGAGAUCGAAUGGUGGUUGAUGGAGAACUACACAACGAGUUAGAGAAUAUGAGAUGGAGAGGUUAACACACAUUGAGGAAACAUAUUGUAAAUUUGUAAUGGUGAGUGGUUGAUCUACAGUCCUGGUAGUGGUGGAAGAACACUGACAUCGGUGAUAAGAAGCUUGAGCUCAUUGAAUACGCAACACCUGAAGCCGACAGGGAGAUCCUGCCAUUAAAAGUGGUGUUGAACCUUCAUGGCUCGACGAAGUGAUCGGCUCAGCAAAGUGAUUCGACCCAAGAUUGGUUCUGGUUUCGAGGCGAUGCAUUGUCAGAGAAUCGAUCUGGAUUCAACUUCGUUCUAGUUUCCAAUGAAGCAUUGGAGGUGGAGAUUCGGUGGAAAUCUUAUGGUUUUCCGAGAAUUAGGUUCUGGGGAACUGGGGAUAGGGAUUCAGUUGCUAGCAGUUAUAAGGUUUACAUAUAAUCUUGCUUGAAAUAAAUUGAAACAAGAAGCUGACUUUGGCCGGAUAUGGAAGUAAUUGAAAAGGAAUAAUUGAAAAGAUCGAGUUAUUAAAGGUUUGGGAGGGUAGGGUACUGGUGUAUAGGUUCUCGGCAAUCACUAAAGAAGGAAGAUAGGUUCUGGGAAAAAUGAGAGUGUUGUAGGCCUAAUUAACUGAGCGAUCUAAGGAAUAGAGAGAGAGGGGGGCCGACAUCAACAAGAGAGAAAGAGAGAGAUUUAAUUCUCAGGUGUGUUCUAUCACCUCCUUAUGCCUUUAUUUAUAGUAGUAGGGUAGGUAGAAUCCUUACCUUAUUAGGAUUACAUCUCUUAAUAGGUAAUCAACUCCUAAUAGGUAACUACAAGAUACUCCUAGAUAUACUAGAAUUUACACAAUCACAUUCCUAAUCCGAUAGGACUGCAACACUCCCCUUUCAGUGUGUAAAUACUCAAACAAAACAUAGCAUUAGGUCUUUAGUAGAUGAGGUAGAACAAUUGAUGAAGUCGUCAACAUAAAGGUGAAUGCGAGUCUCAAACACAAGUAACGUAAGUAUGCAUUGGUAGUAAAACUCACAAAACCUCGCUAUGGUAAAACCCAAGGCUUGGGGAAAACCUAUAGACUAAGGAGAAAAGUGAGAAGUAUGCGUAAUGUCUAAAACAAACGUCAAACAUGAUGAAAGUAGUGAACUCAACGGAGUAUGAUCAUUCUAAGAUGGGUGCCUUGUUAAAACCUCGUUAGGUAGCGAAAACUCAGUGGGAAAAAUGCUCCUAAUUGUAGGAAAAAGAGUACAUUAAGAUCAAGUGAGUAUGCUUCAGGAUACUUCCCUUGAGUUAGACAUAACUUACGAAUAAGACUACAAGUGAUUCAAUUCAGAUCAUUUACGUAUACCAAUUCCUUGGACAAGCUUCUGAAAAAUAGACUUGGGUAGUGACUUCAUGAAGAGUUAGCCAGGUUGUCUUGGGAACGGAUUUACUUGACUUCAAUGUUCUGAUGCUAAUGUUGCUGGUGUGAGUAAAAGAACUUCGGUGUUAUGUGUUUGGUGUUGUUUCCCUUGAUGUAUCCCUUCUUUAACUGCUCUAUACAUGCUGCAUUGUCUUUAAAGAUCGUCGUAGGAAGAUCAACAAUGGAAGAAAGACCAUUAGUGCUUUGAAUAUGAUCUAUAACUGCUUUCAACCAAAAGCACUCUCGCGAGGCUUCAUACAAGUUGAGAAUCUCAUCAUGGUUUGAAAAGUCGCAACUAACGUUUGCUUGGUAGACCUUCAAGAUAUAGCGGUGUCUCCAACGGUAAAGACAUAACCCAUUUGAGAACGUGCCCUAUGUGGGUUAGACAGAUAACCAACAUCUGCGUAACCAACGAGGCGAUAAUUAACUCGAGGACCGAGGGGCAGCGGUUCAUCUCGAGGAUUCAUGGGUAUAGAACAAGCCCAAAUCCUUAGUACCCUUAAGGUAGCGAAAAAUGUCGUUAAUAUUAUUCCAGUAUUUGCGUGUAGGCACGUUGCUGUAUAUGGCCCAAAAAUUAAUAGCAAAUGAGAUGUCAUGUCUAGUGCAUUGAGCCAAGUACAAUAAAGCACCAGUUACAUUUAGGUAUGAAACUUCAGGCUCCAAAAUCUAUUCCUCAUCCUUAUUCGGAUGGAAGGGAUCUCAUUUAGCAGGAGUACUCGAAGGCUUCGCUUUAUCCUCAUUAAGCGACGCAACACCUUCUGGGUAUAGUUCGAUUUAUGUACUACGAUUCCAUCCGAACAAUGUUCGAUCUCCAGGCUGAGACAAUAUCGAGUUUUCCCAAGAUCUUUUAUCUUAAAUUCAGAUUUGAAGUGCAUAGCAAUUUCCUCAAGCUCUGUGGAAGUUUCGAUGAGGUUCAUGUUGUCGACAUAAACUGCAACGAUUGUAAAUCUGGAAUGUGACUUCUUAAUGAGCACGCAUGGGCAUAGUUCAUUGUUCACACAACCUUGACUUGUUAAAUAUUCACUCAGACAGUUAUACCACAUUUGCCCAGAUUGUUUCAAUUCCUAGAGUGACUUUCUCAAUCUAAUCAAGAGAAUGUUAGAACUAUUUGAACCAGUCAAUGGAAGUCUUUUUGGAACUUUCAUGUACAUUUAUGUAUCUAGAUUUCCAUAAUGAUACGCAGUUACCACGUCCAUAAGUUGCAUAUUCAGUUUUUCGGAAACUACCAAACUGAUAAGGUAAUGGAACGUUAUGAUGUCCAUUACGGAGGAAUAUGUCUCCUCGUAAUCAAUCCCAGGACGUUGAGAGAAGCCUUGCGCUACAAGGCGUGCUUUGUAUCGCACUAUUUCAUUAUUCUCAUUACGCUUCCUCAUGAAAACCCACUUGUUGCCUACAUGCUUCACAUGUGAUGGAGUAAGAGCUAUGGGCCCAAACACCUUUCAUUUCGCGAGCGAAUCGAGUUUAACUUGGAUUGCUUGUUUCUAGUUUGACCAAUUUGUUCUACGUCGACAUUCAUCAAUGGAGCGUGGUUCAAUGUCAUUGCUAAGCAUGAUAUCGGAAGCAAUGGUAUACGUGAAUGCAUCAUCGACUGUCAUCUCAUUCUAAUUCCAAACCUCAUUCAAUACAGUGUAAUGGACUGAAAUCUCACGAUUCUCGGGAGGCUGGCAUGUUUCGUCUGAAACAUCAUCCUAAUCUAAAAUAACCUCAUGUGUUGGAAUGGAUGAGUAAGCAAUGGUCAAAUUCAGACUAGGUUCACUAGUUUGUGUCAUUUUCCUUUUUCGGGGUUGUGAAUCGCUUGAACCAGGAGGCCUACCAUGCUUCAGGGUAAGACCAGGUGAUAGGCUAGCCGUCAUUGUACCUUACCGUAUGUGAGGUACGGCCGCUCCACCUUCGGGGAUGGUUUGACCUUCCACGACGUUGUUACAGUGUACGAUUGAUACGUUCAUCCUUGCAGGUGUGUUUAUAGCAGGUAUAUGUGAUCUCGUCACCUUCGCUAGAUCGGUAAAAGCAUCCAGCAUGCUUUGAGCAAUGCUCUGAAGAUCUAGAAUGCGUCGCACUUCAGUUUUAAAUUGAGACGUGCGGUGAUCUAAAUGAGACAUAGUGGGAGUAAUCCAUGAUAAUUUACGACGUUCUACAUGAACGUUAGUGAUCUUAUCUCCCUCUAACGACGAGAAGAUUGUCUUAUUGAAGUGAUAAUCCGUAAAACGUGCGGUAAAGAUAUCUCCUGUCAAGGGUUCUAAGUAGUGUAUAAUGGAUGGCGAAUCAUAACCGACAUAGAUUCCCAUUUUUCUCUGAGGACUCAUUUUGGUAUGUAGUGGCAACACAAUUGGCACAUAAACUGCGCACCCAAACACAUGUAAAUGAGAGAUGUCAAGCUUGUAUCCAGUAACCAACUGUAAUGGUGAAUGAGGUUGGGUAACGGUGAGCCUCAGGCGGACCAACAUAGUUGUGUGCAAUAUUACGUGGCCCUAGGCAGAUACCGGCAAAUUGGUUCUCAUAACCAAAGUAUGAGCUAUCGUUUGAAUGUGCUUUAUGAAAGCUUCUACUAGGCCAUUUUGGGUGUGAACAUGGGGUACAUGAUGUUCAAUUUCAAUCCCAAUGGAAAUCCAAUAAUCAUUAAAGGUUUGUGACGUAAACUCUCCAGCAUUAUCCAGUCGAAUCGACUUUAUCAGAUAAUCAUGAUGGUGAGCCCUUAACUUAAUAAUUAGUGCUAGGAGUUUCGCAAAUGCAGUAUUGCGUAUGGAUAAUAAGUAGACAUGUGACCAUCGUGUUGAUGCAUCAACCAACACCAUAAAUGAUCUAAAUGGUCCGCAUGUUGGUUAGAUAGGUUCAUAAAUAUCCCCUUGAAUUCUUUGAAGAAAUUUAGGGAGGGGUCGUGAAUAAUCUUUAUAAUUGAGGGUUGAAUGUUUAACUUCCCUAAGGAACAUGCUUUGCAAAGCGGAUGGCCGGGAUAAGAUUUCAAGUGAUGCCCAUGAAAUGCUUUGAGGAUAUGACGCAUCAUAUCUCGUCCGGGGUGUCCCAUUCGAUCAUGCCAAAGCAGGAGAGUGUCUUGGAACCCAGCACUAGGGCCGGCCACAUGGUGUGUCUUUACGGCUUGAAUGGUUGUUAUGUAUAACCCACUUGGGAGACAUUCUAGCUUUUUGUGAAUAUGUUUUCAGCCAUAUUCAUAGGAAGUGAUACAAAGAAAUUCAGAACCAUUUUCUUCAGUGGUUUCAACAUGAUAUUGAUUAUCUCAAAUAUCUCUAAAACUCAUCAACGUUCUUCCAGAAUGUGGAGAAUAAAGUGCCUCUUUAAUAGUUAAUUUAGUACCAUUUGACAACAUUAUACGGGCUUUUUCGUAUCCUUCUAUCAGGUUGGAUGGGCCUGAGAGGGUUGUCAGAAGUCCAUUCUUAGGUAUAAAGUUAGUAAAAUAGUGUUUCUCACGCAAUAUGGUGUGUGUAGUUGCAUUAUCUGCCAGACAACUAACUUCCCCACUAGUCAUACCUAGAAAUAAAUUAAUUGAAUCGGGAUGGGGUUCAGCCACUAGCUGUUAAACACCCUAAAGACAUGUCUAAAUUUAUUCUUCCAUAGGAGUAUAUGCCUCCUGAAAAUCUGAAACCUUCAGAGUUGUAGUAGCGCCUUCGGGGAUUUCUACAUGCGGAAAGUUGGACUCACGACGUGAAUGAUACUUGGCAAUGGCCUCAGGGGUAGCUCGUCAUAUGCAUGAUCAAUGAUCCCUUGAUCCACGGCAGUAACACAUGUGAAAUUUAGUGGAAUUUGAUUGAAUUGUAGCUUUUCCCUUGUUCUUGAAGUUUGGGGCCUUCGGGGCAAGGGGUUGGCGCUUCUGGGUCAAGUUUCCUUCCUUGGAUGAACCUCUAUUCGGUGGACCUUAGGCAUGUGGUGGACCUUGCCACCCAUUGCCACGGCCACGACGGAAUCUCCAUUAGUUUUGGCAGUUUGAAGUUGUCGCGUGCGCUUCAGGCGCAAUGUUCGAGCUUGAUGAUUCUUCAUCAAAAGCUGGUUCUAUUUUUCAACAAGAAGUAUAACAGAUAUCAAAUCCAAAAAUUUGGUGAACUUUUAUACCCUAUAUUGUUGUUGCAUGACAAUAUUGGCCACAUUGAAGGUUGAAUAGGUUUUCUUCAGGAGAUCAUGUUCAGUUAAGUCCUCGUUACAGAACUUAAGUAAUGAUCGGAUUUUACAAACUUCAGAGUUGUAUUCAUUCACAGACUUAAAGUCUUGGAAGCGUAAAUUCUAUCAAUUGUGUCUUGUUUCGGGCAAGAAGAUGUAUUUCUGGUGAUCAAAGCAAUCCGCCAUAGUGAGCCAGAGGGUUCGGGGAUCCUCCUCUACGAGGUACUCUGUCUAUAAUGCAUCAUGGAUGUGUCUUCGGAUGAAGAUCAUAGCAAUAACUUUUUAAGCUUCGUCGACGGGUGCAUCCUCGGUUGGUUCCUCAAUGGUAACUCUAAGACUCUUUGCAGUAUGAUGGAGUUCAUGUCUUGAACCCACUUCAGGUAGUUUCUUCCAUAGGCUUCCAAAGCGGUGAAAUCAAGCUUGUUCAAGUUCGACAUGUCCCUAAACAAAGGGUACACCAAAACGUGGUUAGUCGUAUAGACAUAUAUCGUACAACAUUUGGGUUCUAUAGACAUAUAUUGGUUUAAUUUAUGUAUAAAAGCUACAGGUUUCAUGUGGUAAGUUUUGAAUGUUGAUUUAGUUUAUGAACGUUUUUGUUCAUAUAUGAGGGUAUCUGCAAGAACACAUAAUACAAUAUACAAUAAACUGUAGUGGAUUUGUGGAUUGCUUCAAGAACCCAAGCGUGAGUGAUUCAGGACUAUGAAAGAUAGUCAACGGUUCAAAAAGAUGAAAUAAUUUAUUGAAUCGUUAAUACCAAAAAGUGAGCUUUAUGCCAAUAAUUUUGGAUUAAUUAUCAAAUUAGUGGACUGCUGGUCACUUUAAUUAAUUCAAUAGAUUGAAACCAUUCGAGGUCGAUCGUAGAAGCAAAAAUAAUUAUAACAUGUGGGUUAAAAUUAUUUAGAAUGCCAAAAAUCAGCAUUGGGUUCGAAAAAGAAUAGCCCCAAAAAAAUUUAGGAUCGGGUUGACUGUAAUAGGCAGCCCAAAGGUGACAACAGGCCACGGGUUGAGAAGGAAAAGCCUAGCCAUGAAGACUGGCGUGUUGGGUCGGGUCAGACAUGAGGGGCAAGCCUAAAGGCUUGCAAGUAGGCACGUGAAAACCCUAGCCGGGGUUGGGUUUUGGGACUUGGGCUUGGGGAAGUAAGCCCAGCCAUCUGGGCUGGCUAUUUGAUUGCGGGCCGUGGCAUAUAUAAACCCAGCAAGCCAAGGAGGGUGCUGCAGAUGGGCUGGGGCUUUAGGCCCAUGUUUGGGACAAGCCCAUCAUGCUUCUGGCAUACAGGUUUGGGCUCGAAUGGAUCGAGGCUUGCAGGCCCGUGUGACAGACGACCCAAGCUGAAGCUUGGUUGGGUUCGAAAGGUGCAACAAGCCCAGAGGGUUGCGUAGGUGGUCCAAGGCGUCGAGGCCACGCCAUCCCAUGAUGAUCCACAAUUGUCAUGCUCCGACUCGCAAAUAAAGACUAUUCACGAGUUAGGGUGUGAGCCACAUCUUAGCUAUAGAAAUAAAUUCUACAACCAAGAUAUAGUGGAAAAUAAAAUAAAAUUAUAACGAUUACACAAUACAUCAUAUAAAAAAUAAUUAAAGCUUGAGUUUACCACAUAUAAUUUAUUGAAUAUGCAGCGGAAAUAAAUUUAUUAGUAUACAAAAUUAAUUCAUAACAAAAGUACCAACUAAAAUAAUAAUUGAAAUGAAUAGCUCUUGCAAAUACAUAAAAUGUAUGCAAUGAGAUGCAUGAAUGUACUCACUUUCUUCUAAUCCCGUCAACACAUACCUAAGGUACCCAAGCCUGCACGUCUCAUACCAUGCUUAUACCACUUGGCUCCGAGUACGUUAGAUUAUGAGUUAACUCCCGUUCAUCCCUUAAGCCAAUUUUUGUAAUUAAACUCUCAGUUUCCACUUUAUUAAACAGACACUUCCCCUGACGCCCAAAUGUAUAUUCAAGCCCUGCACCCUACGCCUAACAUAUACACGAUUUCAUUAUUUUAUAAUCAACCAAUUUGUAUACUCAAGCCUUGCACCCUACGCUUGACAUAUACAUGGUUCAUUAUUAUUCAAGGCAAACUUCAGCUCUUGAAUAUCCUCACAACUAAAACACUUUACACAAGUGAGCACUUGACACAACAUAACUCUUUUUUCUAGCUUUGCAAUGCAUAUGUAUAUGUCCUGUUCACAUAGAUAUUAUCAAUACUCACAUUUUAUCUAACAAGCCUGCAACUUCAACAUAAAUCAAAUUGAUUAGUAACAAGGGUAAUAUAAUCAUAAUAUUAAGAAAAUAAUAAUCUAUAAUCCAUCAUAUAAAAUGUUGCUCGUUGACCACUCCAUAUAUAUUUGUUCAUCGUCUCGUCCAUCUUGGUCGGGCAACCUGUUUUUAUUAGAAAGGAAAAGACAUCCAUGUUAGAGAAAAUAAUUGUUAGAGUGAAAUAUAUGUCUCAAAAGCCACAAGGCAUGAAAUUAUGUCUCUAGCUUUUCCCUUUCCAAACAUCAUCUUUUAUUUUUAUUUUAGCCCACCACUUUUACUUCUUCUUCUUUAAUAUAAUUGAAACUAUCAGCUGUUCGAACCGAGAUAUAAGUCAACACAUAGAUUGGAUUAUCGUGAUUUUUGGAUAUGUUAUAGAGUAGAUGAUAAGGAACAACUUUUGUGAAAGAAGUGUUUCGAUUGGAGUUACAAAAAAUGGGGUUUUGGUACUCAUAACAUGGCUGUCCAGUUUUCUGCGGGAGUAGAGACUGAGUUGGUAUUUUAAAAAUAUUGGACGAUCACACCGUUGGAUGUUUAUGAAAUUUUGAUAUAUCAUGGUAGAGAAAUAGACGAACAACUCUCAUGAAGGAAGUAUUAUAAUAUAUUAAAUGGAUGAUGGUGUUUUGAUCUGUUAAAUAGGCUGUACGAAUUUCUAGUUUUGGAUAUCUUUCUUUUGAUAGAUGAAAAUGAUAGUAGUUUGAUGGAGAGAUUUGUUGGGUAAGGUCUCAUGUAUUUUUCUGGGAUUUGUCUCACACUUCUUGUACAUCAUUCUAAAGGGAAAUAAAUGAAGAUUUUUGAUGGUUUGGUGGAAGUGCUUCUCAUGUCAAUGAACUCAAAAUGUAAACGGAUAAACACACAAGAUUUAAGUGGUUCGCCAAAUCGACUACAUCCACUGGGGUUUGCUUUCAUUGUAUUUCACUAGAUAUAUAUAAGGGACUUACAAAUACAAAGAAAGAUGGCUUAAAGCCCUAACAAUAUGUAAAAAAAGGUAAUUGGGUAAUAUGAAAGGGAGGAUGGCUUUUUAUUGGAGUUGUUCCUUUUCUUCUUCUUCUCCCUCUCUCUUCUCUCUAUCUCUUUCGUUUGGUGAGUGCUCCUUCCUUUAUAGAGAUUGUAUUGCAUCUUCCUCUCCAAAGAAUCUCCACAAGUAUGCCAAUAGAAAGAAAGCAAGUGUUGUGCUAAUCAUUACCAUGAAAUGUGUUCCAAUCACAAAGCAACAAUUGUUGUCCUAAUCUAUAGCAAUGAUAUGUGUUCCAAUACCAAGUCACCAAGUGUUGUUCUCAUCAUUAACUAUGAAAUGUGGUCCAAUAGACAAACAACAAAUGUUAAGCAAAACCUUAGCUCUAAUAUGUGUUCAAAUGGCAAAGAGACAUGUGUGAAGUUAAUCAAUAUUAUGGAAGGUGGAUGCAAGCAUCCAAGGCCACAUUCAUCUCCAAGGAAUAUGCAUCCCACCCGUUCUCACCUCAUUGGAAAAUUUGGAAUGAUAGAUUGAAGCAUUGAAGAGAAAAUAUAGAAAAUUAAUUGAAAUUCCCCUAGGCUAGUGAGUAAGCACUGUAAAACAACAACAUAUUGCCACAUGCAUGCCAAUACAUACACAUACCUAGUCUAUGGCUCUAAAUAGACUCACACCUCUCCAAUGUUUAGAGGUGAGUAAUCUCUCUAUAUUAACUCAACUUGCCAACUCACUCCUAAUUGGUAAAAAUAUCAAACCAAACUCAACACUUAGCCACACGUAUAAGCCAAAGGCUUCCCACCUCCACACCCUAAUUAUAAGCUUCUAUUAAUUACCAACUUCCACCUUAACCCAUCUAGAGUGGUGACUAACCCCUCCUCUUUAUUCUCUAAUGAUUGGGAAAACUCUACUUAGCCUUUGUGAGAAAAUAAAGUCAAACUCAUGCACUUAGACACAUGCACGUAUGCUAUAUAGACUUCCACUCUAAUUAUUAACUCCUAAUGUUACAAACUCUCCACCUCAUAUUUGAGGGAAAAUAACAAAACAUAACUACUCAUUUAGUCCAACCUCAAACUCUUGGCCAUUUGUGAGGAAAAUCAAACCAAACUAAUUUAAUCUCCCUUCCCCAAUUCAAACUAAAAAUAUCUCUAAUUACAUAUGAACAUGAAAUAGCUAGUUUUUUUAAAAUAAUUUGUAGGAAAAAGGGUUUUACAUACCGAAAAUAGGUUCUUGCAUAAAAUAAAUCUAAUAAAAUCAUUACAUAAAAAUAAUUACCCAACAUACACCCAUAUAUAUAUAACCAUUUUUUUUAAAUACGGGGUAUUACAAAAGUGGUGCCGCAACUUUUCCUUUUUUUCAUUUUUUUUAAUUUUUUUUAAUUUUUCGAAUUCUAGGGUUAAAAACCCUAAUUGCUUCUAAAUUAAUUUCAAUUCUUUGACUCAUUAUUCCACAUAGCAUAUAUGCAUAAUGCAUGAACAAUUAUAUAUAUUGACAAAAUAUAUGAACAUAUGUACGAUAUAUAUAAUUGGAAGGAAAAUAUAAAUAUAGAGGGUUCAUGCAUCAUGGGGAAUGUUUUCAUACUUCAAGGUUUUUUCAAAUAUCUUAAUUUAUUUUAAAAGAACCUGAUUGGCAGAAAACGAUUGAGAGCCUUUGAAUUUGUAGAAGAUAGCCUCCUUCUACGAUCCUUCGGUUCCUUAGCUCUGGCAAGAGCGUGAUGAUAACAUGUUGUAGGCCUAAUUAACUGAGCGAUCUAAGGAAUAGAGAGAGAGGGGGGCCAACGACAACAAGAGAGAAAGAGAGAGAGAUUGAAUUAUCAGGUGUGUGUUGUAUCACCCCCUUAUGCCUUUAUUUAUAGCAGUAUGAAGGGUAGAAUCCUUACCCUAUUAGGAUUACAUCUAUUAAUAGGUAAUCAAUUCCUAAUAGGUAAUCAAUUCCUAAUAGGUAACUACAAGAUACUUCUAGAUAUACUAAAAUUUACACAAUCACAUUUCUAAUCCAAUAGGACUUCAACAAUGAGAUAUUUUUUAAUUAUUAAUAAAAACUUAAUAAUGUAUUAAUAAUUAAUUAUUUAUUCAAUUAAUUAUAAUUAUUAAAUAAAAAAUUAUUAAUUUAUUAUUAAUUAAUUAAUUUUUUAUUCUAAUUGACAAAGGGGUGGGCCCCGCUCCUACUACAUCAUUAUUUAAUAGCUAAAUUGACAUAAAAUGUAACGGAGGUCUGAAAUUGCAACGAAUUAAUACAUUGAGGUAUGAUAUUGCAAUAUUUAAAACAUGAGGUAUGAGAUUGUGAUUUGACCUAUAGUAAAGGUAGUUUUAUGUAAUUUACCCAAUUAUUUUACUGUUUCUAUUUUGAUAAAUUAUAUUGAUAAAGUAAAAGAUUAUAACAAGAGUAAAUUGUAACAAUAGUCUCUCAAUUUUAAUUAAAUUAGAGUAAUGGUCCCUCAACUAAAAAUUCAUUACCAUUGGUUCCUUAACUCAUCAAAACGUAUAGUUAUAGUCCUUUUCGUAUACUCCGUUAGAAUUCUGUCACAAUGAGUUAUGUUGGAAUGAUCAUUGCUAAAAUUGGGUUAAAGUUGAGGAACCAUUUCUUUAGUUGAAUUAAAAUUGAGGGACCAUUGAUACAAUUUUUCUUUCUUGAUCUUUCAUAUUUGCCCCUUGAUUUAGCCUCACAUGAAUGACACGUUACUCAUUUUAACAAAAAUGUUCUAAUGGAGUUGAUGAAAAUGACCAUAGCUGCAUGUUUUGAUGAAUUAAGGGACUAAUGAUAAUGAAUUUUUAGUUAAGUGACCAUUGCUCUAAUUAAGUUAAAAUUGAAAAACAAUUGCUACAAUUUACUCUUGCACCUAGGAGGGUUAAAAAGUCAACUCAUAUCAUAGAGAAUUAGGCAAAGGGUUGCUAUACACGAGAACCUAGACUGCGAUGCUAAUGCAACCUACUCUUUUUCCCACUUAAGAGUAAUAUGGGAAACUCGAAUUUUACCGUUGUCUUUUUCUCUUUUCUUUUUUAAAUUUUAUUAUUAUUAAAUGGAUGGGGUAAAAUUGGAAACUAAUUAAAUAAUUAAAGGAAGACGAGAGUUUUGAACUGAAAUAAAAUUCUAACACUAAAAUAUUAAAUCACAUAUCCACUAAAAUAUUAAAUCACAUGUAAAUUUUACCUUUAUCUCUACUAUGGGAAAGUGGUGUGGACCAAAGAUGCUCCCACCUCUAUAUGGAAAGGAGCAUAUAGGAGAGCUUGUGUCUAAAAGUGUUUUUCUCUUUCAUUAUUGAAAUGAGAGCACUAGCGAGUAACGAGUGCUUUUAAGAUAUUGAAUUACUUUUUAUAUUAUCAAUUAGUUUUAAGGUAUAAUUUAAAUUUUUUCAUGGUAUCAGCAAGUUGACUCAUGUGUGAAAUCCAACAGCUACAUAUGCUUCAUGUCACUCAAUUAGUGUUUUCUAAGUGGUUGGCUUGAAAAUUCGUCAUACACGAGGGAGGAUGUGAGAAUGUGAAGGUAAAAAAGUUACACAUCAGUGGAAGGAGAAAUUUUGUAAGGACUUAUAAGAGGUUGAUUUGCAUCUCAUAUUACAAAUUAAUUUUAUGAUAAAAUCUCAACUUUCUUCAUUUAUUUCUUGAAAACAUGAUUAAUCAAGUAAUUAUUUAGCGAUCGAUGGGACACAAAUGGAGAACCAAUUCCGUAGAAAUGUAGUCCUUUCACAUUUGAGGAGAUGUCAAUUAUUGUUGCUGCAUGAUUUCAAAUGUCAAUUAUUGUUGCUGCAUGAUUUGAGAUGUUUCCACUCCCUUGCUUCCCUCAAUACUCCCUUAAGCAAGAGGCUGAGGAGUUUUUUUUUUUUUUUUUCAAACAAACGAUAUUGUUUAUAUUAAAGAAAAUAAAGUAGGUUUAAUCUCAUAAUAGGCUAACAAUAAUGUGGUUCAAAUUCGCCUUUGCGAUAAUCAAACAUAAGAUAUCUCACUUACAAGUAAAGAAAAAUAUCACUAGACCGUAGUACUAAUUGACUUGAGAAUUCAUUUUAUAACAACAAGAUAUUAUUAAGAAAAUGUAUUGUAAAAUUAUUUAACGAUUUCUUAUAAAAACACGUGAUAUGGCCCUAGCAUUAUUAAAAAUUUGAAAAUAAUUUUCACACACUUAUUUUAAUUUUUUUAUCCAAUGAUUAAAAUUCAAGAAAAACAUAAAUGCACGACAAACAUAAAGGUGUGGAAAUCAUUUUUUCGGUGAAAGCACUAUCAGAAAUAGUCAAAUACCCCAAAAUAUGUUCAAAUACUCCAAAAAUAAAGGAUAAAGUAUAACAACACUUCUUGCGAAAGGCGUUAAUCGGAAUAAAGUAUGGUCUUUCAAAUGGGCAUCCAACUUUAAAAAAGUGUGAUAAUUGUAGGGGCAUAGUGUAAAGUGAAUAGAGUAUUGCUAUGACUAAUAGUUUACUAAUCAUGCGGAUUCGGAUCCUCUACUCGGUUUUAUUGUAUUUGUUGUUUGUUAAUUAUCACUGCACAUCACAAUUCAAAAGUGCUUGAGCAGAAGAGUGGUGGAUUUUUCAUUUUUAGUAUGUGGAAACAAAAAAAAUUUGGAACACAUAAAUUGCAACAUGUGAAAUACAUUUGAAAUAAAAAAAUAAAACAUAAAAACCUCAAGCGUACGAAGAGGAGUUUUAUUGAAUUCCUAACCAUUUUUUUCAUCUUGUUUUAAAGAGUCGUAAUUUCAAUUUUUUUUUAAAAAUUAAGAUGGUUUAAUCAAUUGUCAAUUCAGCAUUUUUGUAUUUAUUUAAUAUACAUCCACAUAAGCAAGCUACGACCAUCUCCAAAGGAGAUGUCAAAUUUUGAACAUAAAAUUUAAAUUUGACAGCCUACAUGGCACUUUGACAUAUUAACGUUUCACUCUCCACUCGAUAUGUCAAAUUAAAUUAUUAUUUUAUUACAUUAUUUUGUAUUCUUAAUUUUUGUUCUAUAUUUUAAAUUUUACACAUAUAAAUCAUUCAUGAUAAGUGAAACCCAACAAAUAACUUUUUUUUGGUUGAACACUAAUAAGGACAUGAUCCUCAUCUUUGUUGAACGAAUAACUUUUUUCUUGCUUCCAAACGCUGAAUUAAAGGAUGAGGCGAAAAAAAUUCGAGGCAUGUUCACUGUAUGAAGUUCUUUGUUGAACCCAGCACCACGAAUAACUUUUUUCUUGCUUCCAGACAACACACAAACUAUCAAGGACACACUUGAUAAGCUAUGACACUCACUUUCUAGAAAGACAAACUCUAGACCACUCUUGCUUCUCACUCUCUUACUUAGCUCUCUUCUUGGCUACUUUCUUCUUUGAUUGAUUGAUACAAAUGGUGUGGAUGACUUCUCCUUUUAUAGGCAUGGAUGGAACCUUGGAGAAGCAUGGAAACAUCAUGCUAGAGAUAUCUAGAUAAUUCCACUACCUUCCUAAGCUAGAAUUAUCUACACUAAUCUUGUAUGUUGGUGGAAUCCUCACCAUUCUUCUAAACUCUUCCACCAACUUGAACUUUGCUAGAAUUCUCCAACAUGUGUAUAGAUCUUUCUUUGUCUAUAGGCUGGAUCCAUCUUGGGCCAAGGCAAGAUUACACUUCAACACAAACUCUAAUUGGGCUGGUGUUGAUAUUUAAUACUCCCCCUCAACACCAACUCAUUCUUUCCUCCAUGCCGAGUUGACAAUGAAGCUUUUUCUUGCACACCCAUUUGCAUGAUAUGGGUUUCACAUCUCUUUGUUUUGGCACUAGAUUCCAAGCUUGAUUUAGCUCCACUGCAGUAACCUCUUUUCCCAAUUUUGAGCCACUCAUGUUCAUCUGCUUCUUCUUUAAUGGCUGCAUUGGUGUAUUUAGGAUUUUGUUUUCGGAUUCUUGUUGACCUCCUUAGUUGUGAUUGUGGAGUUGGUACUUCCACUUCACUAGGUCUAUCUUCUUCUGGUUGUUGAUAUACGCCAGCUUGCCAAGGGUUUUAGGGCACAACUAGCUCAACACCAUUACCAUCAAGUGAAUCCUCAUACUCAUCUAGUCUUGAUUGGAUUCGAACAGUUUGCUCCCUCAUCUUCUGUUGCAGCUUAUCAUCAACAUCUCUCGAAUCAGGCAAUGCCUCUUUUUUUCUGAAGACCACCAAGAAGAUGGUUCAUCAAACACCAUAUCUUGUGAUGUGUAACACCUUACAGUCGUAGUAUCACAACAUUUCCACCCUUUUCUUUGGCUGCAGUAUCCCACAAAGAUACAUCGGACUGCCUUCCUGUCAAACUUGCUACAUAGAUGGCUUGGAACAAAUGCGUAACAUACAUAGCCAAAUACUCGAAAGUAACCAACUGUAGGUUUCAUAUCCCAUAGUUUUUCAAAGGGUGAGACAAAUUCUAACCUUGGUUGAGAAAGCCUGUUGAUCACAUGAGCUGCAGUUCUCAUAGUUUCUGCCCAAAACUUUCCUGGUACAUUCUUGGCAUGGAGCAUACUUCGACAUAUUUAUGCAAGAUGCCGGUUCUUUCUUUUCGCUAUGUCAUUCUGUUAUGGCAUGUUGACACAUGUGAAUUGGUGACGUAUUCUAUAAUCUCUUAAAUACUGGGAAAACUCAUUUGAGGUAUAUUCUCCUCCAUUAUCCGUGCGUAUGCAACAGAUCUUCUUUCCCACUUAACUUCAAUUGUCUCCUUAAACUCUUUAAAUUUUGAAAAUGUUUUAGAUUUUUCUUUCAUAAAGAAAACCCACACAUACCUGGAGAAAUCAUCAAUGAACGUCACCAUGUACCGCAUCCCACUUAUCAAUGGUUGUUUGACAAGCCCGAACACAUCGGAAUGAACCAACUCCAAAGGUUUUUUCGCUUUAAACUUUGACUUUUAGUGUAGUAGCUGAUGUCCUUUACCAUAUUGGCAUCCUACACAAACCGUGUCUGUUCUCACGUCAAGCUGAGGUAGUCCAUUAAGCAUUGACUUCUUCAUCAUCACAUUUAGCUUAUGAUAGCUAACGUGACCCAAUCUCAUGUGCCAUAAAUCUGCUAUCUCGUUCUUCCUUGUCUUGUCUACGUAUGCAGUUUCUGUUCACAUUACAUAGACUGAUUGCAAUCGCUGUCUCUCCAUUGUUGGCGUCCCUAAGAACUUGAGGUGUUGAUACACCUUCACAUCUCGUGGACCAAACAAGACAUAAUUUCCUAAUGACGUUAGUUGCGGCACUAAAAACAUAUUUUUCUUCAUACCUGGAACAUGGUAAACAUCUUGAAACGGCACAUGGUUAAUUUUAUAUCGGGGCUCAAUUACUGUCUUACCGAUGUGAGCAAUCGGUAGCCUCGAGUUGUUGGCCGUCACCACCAAGCGGCCUCCUUUGCACUCAGUUAGACUUUGUAACGUUUUCUCAUCACUUGUCAUAUGGUUUGAGUAGCCUGAAACCACGAUCUAAUCAUUUUAGUAGUUAAUCGACUCUAGACUUACUGUUGUGAGAGCUGACUCUUGCUUCUCCAUAGCAGCGGAUGCUUCAACAUCUCAUUCUUCCUCCAAGGUUAGAGAUGCUACGGCAUCCCAGACAUCUUCACUUUUCUUCUCUGAAUUAGCGAUGUUACUUUCUGCAGACUUUUUGAACCAUCAAUCUUUUGCCAUAUGACCUUUCUUUCCACAAUUGUAACACUUACCCUCAAACCUUUUAUUGUUCUAGGACUGACCACGGUUGCCUUGAUACUUCAGAGCUCCCCCUGGCUGAGAAUUCCCUCAUUCUUGAUGACCAUUUUCCUUGUCACCAUUUCUUUUAGAUCCACCAUCAGUAUGCUGCUUAAAGCUACCUUUACUUUUGGUGUAGAGUCCUUCCUCCUCACCUCUUAACGAGACCCCUCCCAUUUGGUUUGCCAAAGCUUUAUGAUCGACAAGCAAAUUCGUAAACUCAACAAGUGAUGGUUGGGUCGGCCAUUGUUGUACAGCGGCAACGAAGCCUUGAUAUUCGGGUCUCAAUCCAUGGAUAAUUAUUCUUUUUAUCCUGGAUUCUACAAUGGUAGCAUUAGGAUCUAAUUUAGAAAUUUCACAGCAAAUAGACUUUACCUUGUGGAAAUAUUUUGCAAUCAUCAUGUCUCGUUGGGCCACCCAUAGCAACUCGUUCUCGAGAAGCUGGAGUCUUGUAUCGUUCCUCUUUGAAAAUAUUGUGGCGAAGGUGUCCCACACUUCUUUUGGUGUCUUGGCCUUCCGUAUGUGCUCCAACAUGUCAUCUUCAAUUGUGGGUUUUAAGGCAAACAUGGCCUUACCUGCCUUGAUCUUCGACUUCCUUAAAAUGCCGCUGAUGUUUUCUUCCGGCUGCAUAACUUCAUUACCGCCGACGACAUCCUAAAGGUCUUGGCCUUAUAGGUAAGACUCUAUGCACUCGCCCAUGUGUUAUAAUUUUUGUUGUUCAACUUCUUAAUUCCUCCAACAACUUGAAGAUCUCCCAUCGUGUCAGUAGAACUUCAAUAAGCUGAACAAGAUUAACGAAUAAUCUUGCGAAGUACUAAACUUCUCACGAUUCUAAAAAACUUCACUAGAGACGAUCUCCGAUCGUACCGUUCUGAUACUAAUUGUUGGGGAAAAACUUAAAGUACACAACUCUAACACAAGUAUUGGAGAGACAACACAAGUAAACAAAUUAUUUGUAUUACACUCACAAAAGAUUACAACACACAAACUAUCAAGGAUAAACUUGAGAAGCUAUGACACUCACUUUCUAGAGACAAACUCUAGACCACUCACACUCCUACAAGACUACUCUUACUUCUCACUCUCUUACUUAGCUCUCUUCUUAGCUACUUUCUUCUUUGAUUGAUUGAUACAAAUGGUGUGGAUGCCUUCUUCUUUUGUAGGCAUGGAUGGAACCUUGGAGAAACAUGGAAACAUCAUGCUAAAGAUAUCUAGAUGAUUCCACUACCUUCCUAAGCUAGAAUUAUCUACACUAAUCUUGUAUGUUGGUGGAAUCCUCACCAUUCUUCUAAACUCUUCCACCAACUUGAACUUUGCUAGAAUUCUCUAGCAUGUGUAUGAAUCUUUCUUUGUCCGUAGGCUGGAUCCAUCUUAGGCCAAGGCAAGAUUACACUUCAACAUAAACACCAAUUGGGCUGGUGUUGAUCUUCAACAUGUUUCUCAUCCAUUAUGUACACACAUAUCCCAUAAACAUUCACCAAUUUUCUUUACCAAUUAAUUAAUCUUUUUUCAUAUCCUCUGUUUUGCCUCCCCAGAGCUUCGGGAGCUAAUCCCAAGAGGCCUUCAUUCUCUAAUCUUUAUCGUAACUCUAUCAUUGAUUAAAAACAGAAAGAAAGAGGCAGGAUAUGAACUGACUACACGUUCAACAAUCAACAUUUAUUAUAAUAAAUGAUUAAACUAAUUAAAAAAUAUUUAAUAAUUAAUUAAAAAAUAUUUGAAGCUGCUGUCAAAUUUGAUAGAAGCCCCCUUCGCUGCCAUUCCAUGUCAUGCCACAUAGAAUUUGACACUUUGGUUGGAAACAAUUAGUGGCUGUCUUUUUUUACUGUUAUAACUUAUGUGGACAUUUUGACAUCUACUUUGGAGAUGCUCUAAUAACUAUUUCCUACAGUCUAAGGAUUUUAAAUUUGUGACUUUAUUAAUUAAAAAUAUUAAUUUAACUAAUUCCUUAUUGUCAUUGCAAGUGGCAUUUUACUACAGUAGUAGAAAUGUGUUGAGUCCUUGCAUGGCGGCGUGGGUUCAAACUUUGUCGGUGACUAGUCUAACAUAUAAUUUAUUAAAAUUUAAUAAUCUAUUGUUUGACCAAAAAAAAAAUCUUUAUUGUCAUUAAAAAAAGAGAGAAUUUUUUAUUUCUAUUAUUAUAUUUAAUUAGUCUCUUGCUACAUUAAAAAAAAGAAGUUAUUAAUACUUUCAUAAGAAAGCUUCAUUAAUUUGGUAAAAUUUUACAUAUAGUUAUAUAAAUGUAUUUAAAACUUAUGGUACAUUUGAAAAUAAACGUACCGACUUUUAGUACGUUUAGAUUUUAAAUGUACUAAUAAAUAAAUGUACCAUAAAACCAAAAUUGCUCAUAUUAUAGGUAAUCAAAUGAACUAAUACAAUCAAACGAUCAUACAAUCAAACGUACCUUUACUAUGAUUAUGUAUGUGAUAAUGAGUUUUGAACAUUCUAUUUAAUUCACUAAACUAAAUAGUAUAAUAAACAAUAAAAAAAAUCUAAAAUCUCCAGAAUGAGAGAUGCAUAUAACUACAACAAAUUCAUAGGUAAGGAAUGAUAGGGAAAAAAGGAAAACGAAAGUAGAGAUGUAAUGUGAAAUUUUUUAGGGUGGCUAGCAAACAAUUUCAUGAAAAUUACCCAAAAGGUUCAAAAAAAAAAAAAAAAAAAGGAACUUCUAAAAUUGAACUUUUAAUAAAAUGAAAUUAAUCACCAAAACUGUAGAAAAAAUGUUUAAUCAAAUUCUUAAAAAUAAUAGAUGUUUAAGCAAUGAAAUUGAAAAACUAAGCGUUUAUAUCAAUACGCUCCUAAAAUAUGUAAAAUAAUCAUGGGAACACAAACCAUACCCCUAAGAAUAAAGAGGCAACACGUGAAAUGCAUGGCUUUUCAUUUUUAGUAUAAAUACUUGAUGGUGUUCUUGGAUGAGAUUGUCCAUCUUUUACAUCUCUUUGUUUUUCGAGCUUAAUUAUGGCAGAGUUUGAAAGUGUCAAAUCUUGACGAUUUUGAUUUUUGACGUUUAUUUGUCCAGCAAUAUUGCGCACGAAUCUCUGCUUCUGCACAGCUACAAGAGAAGCUUCAAUGGCAUUGCUGCCAGGCUAACAGAGGAAGAAGCACAGAAGUUGGCUGGUUGUCUUAUGAACCCAACUUUAAUUUAUUUUUCAACUUGCAUAAACAUUAAUAGUGACCAUUGUAUGACGAGAAAAAUAUAUGCAGGAAUGGAUGGUGUGGUGUCUGUUUUCCCUAGUGAAACUAAGAAGCUCCAAACAACAAGGUCAUGGGACUUCAUUUGGUUUUCUGAAAUGGUGAAGAGAAGCGCCAUUGAAACUGACAGGGCCGGCCCAGGUCCAGUGCAGGCAGGGUGACCGUUUAGGGCCCAAAAAAAUUAGGGGCACCAAAAUUAUUAGGGCGGUAUAUUUAUAUAUGUUUUUAUAAGAGUAUAAAUUUAUAAAAUUUGGUUCAAAGACACAGAAAUUUAACUAGAAGUGGUGGUUUGUAAUUUGAAAAUGAUGAGGAGGUCUUGGGUUCAAAACACCAUGUGUGCUUAUUUACUUUCCAUUUUUUACAAAUUUCUUUUUAUAAGAGUAUAAAUUUAUAAAAUUUGGUUAAAGGAUCAAGAAGUUUAAUUAGAAACAAUAAUUUUUGUUGUUUAAAAUUAACAAAAGAUCCUAAGUUCGAAAUGCUAUGUGCAUGUUUAUUCUUUUCAAUUUUUACAAAUUUUUGUUUGGUUGUUAAUUUAUUUUUAGUUACUAUCUAGUAACUAUAUGGGUUGUUAUUUUUAAAUAUUCGUUUUAAUUCAAGUCUAAUCUUCAAAAAGAAUAAUACAUAGACCAAAUUUGCAAAUUAUAUGACGUGUCAUCAAAAUUUUUAAUUUAGCGCCCAUUCAUUAAUAAUACAUAUCAAUUAAAUACUCGAAAACAUCAUUAUUUUUUAGUCCCAUUUUGACAAGGUUAGUAAAUAAGAAAAAAAAAACUCAUGAUUUAUUCAAAAAACAUUCAAAGUUCAGAUAGAAAACCAAACUCAUCAUCUAUCUACUUGUAAGCCCGAAGUUUUUUUGUUUCCCUCUCUCAAUACAAAAUAAAUUAGUCUUUCUGUGUUUCUAAAUUAUUGAGUUUGAAGUGUUUUUCUAAGCAUAAUUUUUUCGAUGUCUUAUGUGUGAAAAUAAAUAAUUUUCUUACAUGAAGUUAAGGCAUUUUUUUUUAGGUCGCCCCGAGCCUCAAAAAUCUCUGGACCGGGCCUGGAAACUGAUAUCAUUGUCGGGGUGAUUGACUAUGGAAUUUGGCCCGAAUCUGCCAGCUUCAGUGACGCCGGGUUUGGUCCACCCCCCACAAGGUGGAAAGGCGCAUGCAAGGGCGAAGACAAUUUUACUUGCAACAAGUAAAGCAAACCAGUUUAUUUCAACCAUCCACUGCACAUUUCAAAAAAAUAUAUAUAUAAAUAUAUCACGUGUUGUUGUUAAUUACACUUGGACAGAAAAAAAAAAGUGCGAACUUGAUUAUAAUUUGUAUGAUAUGUUGUCAAAUUGUAACUCUGACUUAAAUAAUAUGACAAAUUGUUGUUACACUUGGACAGUAAAAUUAUCGGAGCACGGUAUUACCGCAGUCUACCCUACCCCAAAAAUAGCAGUGAUAUCCUGUCUCCGAGAGACACGGAAGGCCAUGGAACCCACUGUGCAUCAACAGCAGCAGGGAACUUAGUUAGCAAGGCAAGUCUGUAUGGUUUAGGGUUGGGGACAGCAAGAGGAGGGGUGCCAUCAGCACGCAUUGCGGUGUACAAGGUUUGUUGGUCAGAAGGGUGCCUGGAUGCUGAUAUACUAGCGGCAUUCGAUGAUGCCAUAGCUGACGGUGUUGACAUACUCUCUGUCUCCCUUGGGGGGCUUAAACCGUUAGACUACUUCAGAAAUUCCAUUGACAUUGGAGCUUUUCACGCUUUAAGAAAAGGAAUAUUUACUUCCGCAUCUGCUGGUAAUGAAGGUUCAAACCUGAAAACUAUUACAAACUUUGCACCAUGGUCUCUUGCUGUGGCUGCUAGCACCAUAGAUCGUCACUUUGAUACCAAGGUUCAAUUGGGAAACCACAAAAUUUAUGAGGUAAUUGAUACAGAAUCUAACCUUUGCUCAUUUAGGGCUUUGUUUGGUAGUGAUUCUGGUUGGGCAAUAUAUAAUCACUUUGGAGAAUCAACAAUAUAUAUACACACACACACACACUCUGAAGAUGCACCAAAACACUAGAGAAGUGAUUAACCUGAGAGUUGAUUAUGAUUUGUGUUGAUGCACAACAUUAAUGAGAACUUUGGUACAACAGAAAAUGUUAAGUUUGUGACCUUCGCUAGAUUGCUCCGGUCACUAGUGUGGAUAAGUAUGUAAAUGGAUAGAGACAGAGGAGAAAACACAAGAUGUACGUGGUUCACCCAGAUUGGCUACAUCCAUGAAGUAGAGGAGUUCUCAUUAAUUGUGAAGGGUUUACACAAGUACAUAGGUUCAAGCUCUCCUUUAGUGAGUACAAGUGAAUGAUUUAGUACAAAUGACAUUAGGAAAUAUUGUGGGAGAAUGAUCUCUUUUUAUAGAAGAGUUUCUAGCUUUGUCUGAUAUUGACACGUGUCGUGUUGUGAUUGGCUUCUGAUGUUGACACGUGUCGCGCUGUGAUUGGCUUCUGAUGUUGACACGUGUCACAUUGUGAUUGGCUUCAUGGUUUGAUGGAAACUCUUCUGGGUCAUUGACGGCAUAACGUUGACCGGUGCUCAGUAGUUUCGGGAUUGGUCAAGUAUGGUACAAAUAAUGCUCCCUUAAGUUCCCGAGUGAGGGAAACUCCUCGGUUGGGGACUUGCAAAAUCCAAGUCGCUGAGUAAUCACGAAACUUCUAAGUACUGAAGUGUGGUAUCGUCUUCACUUGCCUUAUUUGUCUCAUAGGUAGAUGUGGCAGCUUCUCUGGAAGUACUCUUCCUCCAUCUAUGGGUGGUUUCUUUAAUCGGUGGAGAUGCACAAGGUACUGUAUCAAUUUCACUUGAAGCUUACUUGUAGUUUCAGGCUUGGUCAAGCGCGAUACAAACCAUGUAGUAGGAGUCCCCCAAGUUGCCGAGCUAGAAGAUCUGCUGAAAGAGGUGACAUACAAGGUAAGCAAUCAGUCCCAGAUCAGAAGUUUGAUUUCGAGUUCCGGCUGAUUGUUCUCAUUCUCCUUAUCUUGUAGGCAGCAUGAAGGAUAAAGAGAAGAAAAAGGAGAAGAUAUGAUAUAAGAUACCUUUGCUUUUGAAGAAGUAACUUUCCACAUGCUUAUUCUUGAAUUGGGCUAAAGGGUUUUCUAGCUUCCUCCAGAGUACAAGGCCGACUCAAGAAUUUGAGGGUCAAAACAAGUCUAUCAAAUCAAGAGUGUGUUCGACCUUGAUGAUAUGUGAUACUUUUUCUAUUGACAAAGUAAUAGAUGAAUCGGCACAUGUUCUAUUGCGUUUGUCUCCACAUGCUUCCUUGUAUCCUUCUCACUUGCCCUAUCUGUUCCUCAAGAAGAUGUGGUAUCUUUUCUGGAAGCAUAAGAUGUUGAAGAUGAGUACUCGAGAGCAAUGCCAGGUAAGUAAUCAGGUAAAGAGUUCCAGGUAGUCAGUUCCUGACUGGAAGCUUGAUUCCAAUUGCUGACUCUAUGCUCUCUUUCUCAUUGUCUUGCAGGUAAGAACAAGGUCAAAGGAAAAGACAUGGAAAAAACAUAAUAUGGGAUACUCUUGCUUGUAACCCUGAUGAUAUGAGAUACUCUUGCUCUGGUGUGGCUUGUUUGCAGAGGUAUUAUCAGGGAGAAAUAAGCUGAGUAUUUUGAGAGACUCUAUUGAGAGUGUCCUCUCAGAUGUGAAGAAAAGUUGAGCAUUUUUUUUUUAUUUGCAGGUUUACUUGGCUGUGGAGGAUGAAGGUUGACAUAUAUAGGAAUUAUCCCAACAGCGAGUAGUAACGUUGUUCCUUUACCCUUCUCGGUUAUAGCAAUGUAGUGGGAGCUGCAAGAUUCACGUGUUUUAACUUUGCCAGAGCACUUUGAAAAAGUGGUAUGUGGUAUCUGGAAAGCUGAUGUUGCGUGUGAAGAUUGCAGAUAAGCUUUAUCCAAGGAAAUCUGGCUCUCAAAGUUUGGAGAGUGGUGUCUCUUCAAUUUUCGAACAAGCAAUCAUGUCGGGGAUCUAGCUUUCGAGAUUCGAAGAACGAUGCCUCUUCGAUUUUUAAGAAAGCAAUCCUGUUGGGAGUCUGGCUUUUGAGAUUCAGAGAGUGGUGCCUUUUCGAUUUUUGAGAAAACAAUCAUGUUGGAAGUCUGGCUCUUAAGAUUUGGAGAGCCGUGCCUCUUCGAUUUUUGAAAAAACAACCCUAUUGGGGUCUAGCUCUCGAGAGUCGGAUAGCGAUGCCUCUUCAAUUUUUGAGAAAGCAAUCAUGUUGGGAGUCUGACUCUCGAGAUUCGGAGAGCAGUGCCUCUUCGAUUUUGGAGAAAGCAAUCCUGUUGUGAGUCUGGCUCUCGAGAUUCGGAUAGUGGUGCCUCUUCGAUUUUUGAGAAAGCAAUCCUGUUGUGAGUCUAGCUCUCGAGAGUUAGAUAGCGGUGCCUCUUCGAUUUUUGAGAAAGCAAUCCUGGUGAGAGUUUGGCUCUCGAGAUUCAAGGAGCGGUGCCUCUUCGAUUUUUGAGAAAGCAAUCCUGUUGUGAGUCUGGCUUUCGAAAAAUAGUGCCUCUUCGAUUUUUGAGCAAGUAAUCAUAUUGGGAAUGUUUUCUCGAUGUGAGUAAAGGUUGGGUAUUUUUGCCAAUCUGCCCUGCCACGAAGCACGGAGGUUGACACGCAUAGGGACUUUCCAGUUAUUAAGUAGUGGUGCUGUUCCUUUACCCUUGUGGGUAAUGGUAGGGUAGCUGGACCUUCAAAAUUUAUAUGUCUAAACUUUGUUAGAGAUCUUUGACAAAGUUAUCUGUGGUACCCGAGGAACUGAUGUUGCGUGUGAGGAUUGUCGACAUAUUUUACUUAGGAAAAUCUGCUUCUUGGAAUCCGGAAAGUGAUGUCUCUUCGAUUUUUAAACAAACGGCCUUGCUGCCAUUUCUUUUAUAAGGGCACCAAUUGUGUGCAAGAAGUACGUUCAGAGAGUUAUUGCUUAUAGGAAUUUUCCCUUUAUUUUUGUACUUCAGAGAUUUAUGGGACCUCAUUUCUCCUUCAUCAUUUCUGAAAAUGUCUGGCCCAUCCGACCAUCGUUUUGACUUGAACUUUGGUGAAGAGGCCGCCAUGCCUCCUCAAGACAACAUAUGGCGCCCAUCCUUCUUAUCCCUUAUAGGUCUUCUUACCGUUGGAGACUCUGUGACGAAGAAUGAUAUGACCGUUAUGGUGGUGGCCAGGAACCUUCUCACUCCCAAAGAGAACAGACUACUUUCCAAACGGUCUGAUGAGUUGGCUGUUAAGGAUGCUCUGGCUCUCAGUGUUCAGUGUGCAAGUUCUGUGUCUAAUAUGGCCCAACACCUAUUUACUCAUUGGUGACUGAAGUGAUAAGUCUCAAACAGAAGAUUAGAGGGCUCAAGCAUGAGAAUAAAUAGUUGCACAGGCUCGCACAUGACUAUGCUACAAAUAUGAAGAGGAAGCUUGACCAGAUGUAGGAAUCUGAUGGUCAGAUUUUACUUGAUCAUCAGAGGUUUGUGGGUUUGUUCCAAACGCAUUUAUUGCAUUCGUCUUCUAGGGCUGUACCACGUAAUGAAACUCUAAAUGAUCAACCUCCGAUGACUCAUUUUUCUGGGGUUUUGUCCAGUACUGAGGGUCCGAAUGAUCACCCUCCGGUGCUUUUUCCUAAGCAACCCUUGUGAAGUCUAACUUUUGUUUGUUUAUUUUGACUCAUGUAUAUGUACAUAUUUGUAACUUAUCAGAGAUAUCAAUAAAUAAGUUUUGUUUCAUUUCAACGUAUUGUGUUAAAUACACCAAAGCCUUCUUCACUAAGUUCUUUGAAUUUUUUCUUUUGUUGAAGCUUAUAUGUUGAAGCUUUGUGAGUGAAGCAUGUAGGUUGAGGUAGUGUUCCCUUAAUUUCCCGAGUGAGGAAAACUUCUCGGUUGGAGACUUGAAAAAUUCAAAUCACUAAGUGGUCGUGAGACUUCCAAGUAUCAAGGUGCAGUAGCAUAUAGUGAGAGUCCACCAAGUCUCUGGUCGAGGGAGUUGAUGAAGAAGGUGUCUUGCUAGUAGCCAAGUUUCUAAAGUAACAAAACUUCACCAUUUUCUUUUCUAAGUGGUAGCCCAAAACUCCUCCUUCAUAUAUAUUUGUUAUGAAAGUUGUUAGGCCUAAAGAAGAUGAGGCCUGGGCAAUUUUUUUUUUUUCGAAUUUUCGAAUUUUUUAAUUUCCGAAUUUUCGAAAAAAAAUAGAUAUAUAUAUUUUUAAGAUUUGUAGGUGAAGUUUUGGUGUUGAAGCUUUGUAGGUGAAGCUUUGAGGUUGAAGCUUUGUUGGGUACCAUGAAUUGAUUUUGCUUCACACUAUCUUGAUCAAAAGUGUGUGAAGCUUUUGUAGGUGAAGCUUUUGUGGGUUAAGCUUUUAUGGGUCAAGCUUUUGUUGGUGAAGCUUUUGUGGGUCAAGUUUUGUGGGUGAAGCUUUUCUAGGUGAAACUUUUAUGUUGAAGCUUUGUAGGUGAAGAUUUUGUUGGGUACCAUGACUUAAUUUUGCUUCACACUAUCUUGAAACUUUUGUUAGUGAAGCUUUUGUGGUGAAGCUUUGUAGGUGAAGCUUUUGAGAAUUUGUAAUUGCCUUCCAUUUGUUGAAGCUUUUGUUUGUGAAGCUUUUGUGGUGAAGUUUUGUAGGUAAAGCUUUGUUGGGUACCAUGAAUUGAUUUUGCUUUACACUAUCUUGAUCAAGAUAAUGUAAAGCUUUUGAGAAUUUGUAGUUGUCCUCCAUUUAUGAAGCUUUGUUGAAUUUCCCAAUUUUUUUUUUUUUUUGGGAAACUAGAAAUUUGAAAAUAUGGGAGAGACAACAUAUACAAAUUUUGCUUCCACACUAUUGAGCAAGAGAUUGUGAUGCAAGCCACACCUUGUAGUAGUCGAAGGUUUGGAUGAACCAUAUAAAUUGAAUUUGCUUCGAACAGUCUUAAUCAAGAGUGUGUGAAGUUUUCUACGAGUUGUAGUUGCCCUCCAUUGAUGAAGCUCUUGUUGGCACCAUAAAUUGGUUUUGCUUCACACUGUCUUGAUCAAGAGUGCGUGAAGCUUUUCAGAAUUGUGGUUGCCCUCCAUUGAUGAAGUUCUUGUUGGCACUAUAAAUUGGUUUUGCUUCACACUUUCUUGAUCAAGAAUGUGUGAAGUUUUUGAGAAUUGUGGUUGCCCUCCAUUGAUGAAGCUCUUGUUGGCACCAUAAAUUUGUUUUGCUUCACACUGUCUUGAUCAAGAGUGUGUAAAGCUUUUCAGAAUUGUGGUUGCCCUCCAUUGAUGAAGCUCUUGUUGGCACCAUAAAUUGGUUUUGCUUCACACUGUCUUGAUCAAGAGUGUGUAAAGCUUUUGAGAAUUUGUUGUUGCCCUCCAUUGAUGAAGCUCUUGUUGGCACCAUAAAUUGGUUUUGCUUCACACUGUCUUGAUCAAGAGUGUGUAAAGCUUUUGAGAAUUGUGGUUGCUCUCCAUUGAUGAAGCUCUUGUUGGCACCAUAAAUUGGUUUUGCUUCACACUGUCUUGAUCAAGAGUGUGUGAAGCUUUUGAGAAUUAUGGUUGCCCUCCAUUGAUGAAGCUCGUGUUGGCACCAUAAAUUGGUUUUCCUUAAUUGAUAGGGAAUGAACUGAAGGGUAAAUUCUACCCCAUAGUAUAUGCUGCAGACAUUCCAGAUAGGGCAGUAGGUUACGAUGGGGAAACUUCCAGGUAUGUGUACGCAUUUUGAGAAUAUAUAUACCAUUUAUAUUGAAGAACCACGGUAGUCUAGCAUAAGUCUAACCAGGUGCUAAUAUCAUGGAUAUAUAUAUAUAUAUAUAUAUAUAUAUAUAUAUAUAUAUAUAUAUAUAUAUAUGGAACAGGUUAUGCCAAAUAGGCAUGUUAGACUAAAAAUUGGUGGAGGGUAAAAUUAUUCUUUGCGAUGAGACUACUGGGGAUGGGGCUAUAUAUGCAGGCACAUUUGGUUAUGUUUUGACAAGCUGAAAUGCAGCAGAUGUAAUAGAUCCUGUUCCAAUACCAGCAACUUCCGUUUGGUUCCAUGUUGGUAACCAAAUUACCCAUUACAUGUUAGAAGCUAAAUAGCUUCUGAAGUUGAGGGAUCGAAUGCAGCAAGGAACUCUCGAGCUUGGAUUCGGUCUGCAUCGAAGAAGAAUGAAGAAUGAAGGGUUUUAGUCUCCAAUGGCUAGUUUCAAUUUGAAUGUAUGUGUGAGUGUGUGAGUGACAAGUGUACACUCCAAAUUAAAUCACUUAAACCCAAAUGAAGGGGUAGGAUUAAAUCUGGAGACAUAAGGUAGAAAUACUUAAACUGCCAAUCACUCUCUAAAAGAGUAUGGGUUAUUGCAAUACACCAUACCCUUCAAUCACUCAUCUACUUAAUGAAAUUAUGGCUAUUGCAUUUUGCAUAGCCUUGAAGUCAUCAGUACCAACUCCAAGUUCUCUCUAUUCUCUGCUAUUCUAAUUCUAAGAAACCUAUCCAAAACAAUCCAUCAAAACACCUAAAUAAACAAAUUUCAUCAUGGCCUUAGAGCCUAGUUUCUGAUCUUACAACUUUCUGGGUGUAAUCUGGGCAAGUUAAGAUCUUUAGGAGCACCUACGUAGUGUCUUCAACAACAACAACAACAACAAAAAACAACCCUACAAAUGAAGGGAUCAAGCAGUAGCAGUGAGCUAAAAGCUCCAAUCUUUGAUGGGGAGAACUAUGAUUUUUGGAGAAUAAGAAUGACACCAUUUUCAAGUCCUAUGAUUUAUUGGAUAUGGUUCAACAUGAGUAUGAACUACCUGAGAUGGAGGUCGAUGCUCUAGAGGAUGACCUCACAGAAACACAACUCAAAACAUUAAAGUGGAAUCGGAUGGAGGAUGCUAUAGCACUUAGGAUCAUCCAGGGUGCUGUUUUAGACACCAUUUUCCCGAGGAUAACAAAUGAAGAGUCUGCAAAGGGAGCUGGGAAGUUUUACAACAAGAGUACAGAGGAGACACCAAAGUCAGAAAGGUAAAACUUCAGUCCCUUAGAUGAGAUUUCGAGUAUACAAAAAUGAGGGAAAAUGAGCUAUUAAAAGACUACUUUACUAGGCUAUGUGAUGUUGUAAAUAAGAUGAAAACAUAUGGUGAGGAACUGCUUAAUGAGAGAGUUGUCCAGAAACUGUUGAUCAGUUUGACUAAACCCUAUGAUUUAAUAAUGAGUGUCAUUGAAGAAACCAAAGACAUUGAAACUCUUAAUGUGCAAGAUCUGAUGGCAUCCUUAAGAGCUUUUGAUCAAAGGCUUGAGAGGCAUGCAGAUUCUGCCACUGAGAAAGCAUUUCAAUUACUCUCUGUUGGAUCUAGUAGUCAAGCUAGUGCAAGCAGACAAAAACCACAAUGGAAGGGCAAGAACAAGAAAUGGGAAGGAAAUGGGUAUCAAAACCCUAGACCUAACCAAGGCAGCAACUCAAAUGAAAAUCCAAAAACUAAGAAACAAUGCAAGCGCUGUGACAAAUUUCAUCUUGGGGAGUGUUGGUUCAAGGACAAGCCUAGAUGUCAUAAAUGUAACAAGUUCGGGCACAUCAUGAGGGAUUGCAGAUCAAAGAAUGUGCAGCAAGUGAACUAUGCAAACCAAAUUGAAGAAAAAGCAAAUGUGUUUUGUGUUUUCAAUGCAAAAGUGGAGAAAAAACAAUGAAGUAGGGUACAUUGACAGUGGCUGCAGGAACCAUAUGAUUGCACAUGAGUCAUUACUCAUUGACCUUAACACAAACUUCACUGGAAAAGUGAAAAUAGGAGAUGGAAACAUUGUCAAAGCCACUAGAAGAGGAACUCUAGUCAUUAACACCAAGAAAUGAAGAAGAUGUAUAAGGGAAGUGAUGCUAGUGCCUGGAUUGGAUGAGAAUUUACUUAGUGUGGGUCAAAUGAUGGAGCAUGGUUAUUUCCUACUCUUUGGGGGAACUGUGGUCGAGAUUUAUGAUGAUAGAUCCCUAUUAAACCUAGUGACUAGAGUGGAAGUGAAAAACAUAAGCUUUCCACUUAUGUUGAAGUACCUAGAAAAGGUGGCAAAGAAAGCAAGUGUGACAGGUUCCAUGAAGCUAUGGCACAAGAGGUUUGGUCACUUAAACAUGACAAGUCUAGAAAAUCUGCAAAAACAUGAAAUGGUACAAGGUAUACCAAAGUUGGAUCAAUGCAGUGAAACCUAUGAAGGGUGUGUGUUUGGAAAGCAUCACAGAGAUCCAUUUGAAGUUGGAAAGGCUUGGAGGGCAACAAAGCCACUCGAAUUGGUUCACACGAAUGUGUGUGGACCAAUGCAAACAACAAUAAUCAGUGGAAACAAGUAUUUCCUAACCUUCAUUGAUGACUACUCACGGAUGUGUUGGGUGUAUUUCAUGAGGUUCAAGUCUGAGGUAUUCAGAAUAUUCAAGAAGUUCAAGGCAAUGGUGGAAUUGCAAAGUGGAUAUCAAAUCAAAAGACUGAGAAAUGAUAGAGGAGGUGAGUACACCUCACAUGAGUUCAAUGCAUUCUGUGAGGGUGUGGGAUUAAAGAAGUAACUCGCUAUGGCAUAUUCACCACAACGGAAUGGCAUUACAGAAAGGAAAAAUGGGACUAUAGUUAAAAUGGCUAAGUCUAUGAUGCAUGAGAAGAACAUGCCCUAUACAUUUUAGGGUGAAGCGGUAAAUACUACAGUGUACCUAUUGAAUAGGUGCACUACUAAAGCAUUGAACAAGAAGACCCCAUUUGAAGGUCAGUGAAAAAAAAGCCUUCUGUAAAGCAUCUGAGAAUGUUUGUCUUAGUGUGCUAUACUCACAUUCCUCAACAACUAAGGCAAAAGUUGGAGAAAUCAAGCAACAAAGGUGUUUUUGUGGGUUAUGGUACCAGUGAGAAAGGGUACAAAGUUUACAACCUGUCAACUUAGAAGAUAAUUUUAUCAAGGGAUGUUAUCUUUGAUGAAGCCUCAACAUGGAACUAGGAAACAAGGGUAGAAGAGAAGGACAAUGUCUCUGUACAACUUAACCUCAACAAAAGGCAAACAAUAGAGCCUAUGGAAACUUCAAUUCAAGAAGAAACCAUAUAGAAUGGUGACACACAAGGGACUUCACAUCAAGCAAGCAUGAGUCCACAACCGAGUUAAUCACAGAUAACAAUUCCAAGUUCAACUCCAAUAAGGUUGAGAAGCUUGGAUGAGAUCUAUGUUACAUGUAACUAUUGUGUAGUGGAAUCAGAAACAUAUGAAGAAGCUGUGAAAGGCAAGGCUUGGAAGAAAGCAAUGAAGGAAGAGCUUGAAAUGAUUGAGAAUAAUGACACUUGGGAAAUUGUAAAUCGACCAAGUGACAAGUCGGUGAUUAAAGUGAAAUGGAUGUACAAAGUGAAGCUAAACUUAGAUGGUUCUGUGCAAAAGAACAAGGCAAGGUUGGUAGCUAAAGGCUACUCACAGAAGCCUGGUGUAGACUUCAAUGAAACCUUUGCUCCAGCAAUAAGGUUAAACACCAUAAGGACCUAGAUAGCCCUAACAGCCAAGAAAGGUUGGAAGCUACAUCAAUUGGAUGUUAAAUCUGCAUUUCUAAAUGGCGUGUUAGAGGAAGAGGAGGUGUUUGUGAAACAACGUUAAGGGUUCACAAGUGAAGCAUUUCUAGAGAAGGUGUACAAGCUAAGGAAGGCACUCUAUGGCCUAAAACAAGCUUAAAGGGCUUGGUACAAUGAGAUUGAUUCUUAUUUCACUGAGAAAUGAUUUUAGAAAAGUCCUAGUGAAGCUACAUUCUAUACUAAGAUAAAAACCAACAACAAGAUACUUAUUGUCUCAAUCUAUAUGGAUGAUGUUGUCUACACUAGAAAUGAUGUUGCAAUGAUUGAAGAGUUCAAAGAAGAAAUGAUGAAGAGGUAUGAAAUGACUGACCUAGGCCUCUUGCAUCAUUGUAUUGGCAUUGGGGUAAUUCAAGAGGCAAACAGCAUCUUCAUUUAUCAAAGGAAGUAUGUUGAAACCUUACUUGAAAGGUAUGGUUUGAAAGGUUGCAAACCAGUCUCUACACCUCUAAUUGCAAAUGAGAAGCUUAAGAAGGAUGAUGGAGGUGAACCUGCAGAUGCUAGUCACUACAAAAGCAUUGUUGGUAGUCUAUUGUACCUAACUGCAAUAAGGCCAGAUCUAAUGUUCUCAGCAAGCCUACUUUCUAAGUUUAUGCAGAAUCCUAGUAAGAUACAUAUGGGGACAACAAAAAGAGUUCUAAGAUAUGUGCAAGGAACGCUUUAUUAUGGCAUCAAGUAUGAAAUGGGGAAGUCAACUAUCCUAAUUGGAUUUUGUGACAGUGACUGGGGUGGUAGUGAAGAUGAUAGCAGAAGCACAUCGGGCUAUGCUUUCACCUUUGGAUCAGGGGAUUUUUCAUGGGCCUCUGUGAAGCAACAAAGUGUUGCACUAUCCACAGCCAAGGCAGAGUACAUGAGUGCAUCAAAAGCAACGGCUCAAGCUAUUUGGCUAAGGUUUAUACUCAAAGACUUUGGCAAAUUGCAAGUUGAAGCCACACCACUUCUGUGUGACAACACCUCUGCAAUUGCCAUGACCAAAAACCCAAUUUUUCAUCAAAGAACAAAGCACAUUAAGAGAAGAUAUCAUUUCAUCAAAUAGACAUUGCAAGACAACACAAUCAAGCUAAGAUAUUGCAACACAGAAGAUCAGAUCGCAGACAUUUUCACAAAAGCAUUACCGAAUGAGAGAUUCAAUUACAUGAGGAGAUUGCUUGGAUUGACUCCCAUAAGCAGUUUAGAAGGAAGUGUUGGAAGCUAAAUUGCUUAUGAAGUCGAUGGAUCGAAGCCAGCAAGGAACUCCCGAGCUUGGAUUCAGUCUGCAUCGAAGAAUAAUGAAGAAAUGAAGGGUUUUAGUCUGCAAUGGCUAGUUUCAAUUUGAAUAUAUGUGUGAGUGUGUGAGUGACAAGUGUACACUCCAUAUUAAAUCACUUAAACCCAAAUGAAGGGGUAGGAUUAAAUCUGGAUAAGUAAGGUAAAAAUAUUUGUUUAAGUCUCUUGUCAAUCACUCUCUAAAAGAGUAUAGGUUAUGGCAAUGCACCAUACCCUUCAAUCACUCAUCUUGUUAAUGAAAUUAUGGCUGCUGCAUUUUAAACAGCCUUGAAGCCGUCAGUACCAACUCCAAGUUCUCUCUAUUCUCUGUUAUUCUAAUUCUAUGAAACCCAUCCAAAACAAUCCAUCAAAACACCUAAACAAACAAACUUCAUCAUUACGUAAACUCAACCAGGUAUCAAUAUUUGAGAAUGACAAUGCAUGAUUGAUUUAAAAUAUUGCUAAUGUGCGAAACUAACAUAAAUCAAAUGACCCCUUAUUAUGUUAUUACUAAUAAAUCCUGAAUCCAUGUAAUGAUUCGUAGGAACCCAACAACAACAAUUUGGAAAAGUACUGAGGGUAGGGAUGCACUGGCCCCAUAUUUACCUUCAUUCUCAUUAAGGGGUCCAAAUCCAAACACUCCUAACAUUCUCAAGGUAACUUCAAGGCCCCGUAGGUGUGUGAAUGCCGACUUAAAAAAUGAACAAACCGAAUCAUGAAUAUUGAGGGGUCUUAAUUUUCCUCCUUGUUUUCUCCUAUAUGUUGCAGCCAAAUAUCGCUUCUCCUGGAGUUUCCAUUCUAGCAGCAUGGCCUCCAAUUCCCCCAGUUUCAGGUGUUGAAGAUGAUGACAGAGUAGCUUCAUACAAUAUAAUCUUGGGAACAUCAAUGGCAUGCCCACAUGCUGCGGGCAUGGCUGCAUAUGUCAAAUCAUUUCACCCCAAUUGGUCACCUGCUGCUAUCCUGUCAGCUUUUUCGACUAUUGGUAUAGAUGCAUUUUCAUAAAUGUACCCAUUACAAUACAGCCGUUCUCUCACAUAUUUGAUGAGUCGUGUGACCAAUUAUUGUCAGAUAUCAUGUUACCAAGUCUUGUGAAAGAGGCUCUACAUAUAAUUAGACUUUGUCCAUGAUGUACAUUGUAUUACCUAAGAUUUAUAUGUUUGAUUAAUUUGUAACGAUUUUGCCUAUGAGUGCAAUCUUAAACCUGAAGCCGAAUUCGCAUAUGGUGCUGGCCUAAUAAAUCCUAGUAGGGCUCCGUAUCCUGGUUUGGUAUAUGAUGCUACUGAAAUCGAUUACAUAAAUUUUUUGUGUGCACAUGGCUAUAGUACCAAAUUAUUGAAAGCUCUUACCGGGGAUAGUUGCUCAUUAUCACAAUCUAGUCAUGGAACACUCAGUGGUCAUCUAAACUAUCCUUCUGUUGCACUUUCCACCUCGAACCCUAAAUCCGUGAAUGGCAUUUUCAAUAGGACCGUCACAAAUGUUGGAUCACCAAAGUCCACAUAUAAAGCUAAAGUGAAUGCACCACCAGGACUUGAAAUCAAAGUUAAUCCA